AGCUACGUUAUGGCAAAUGCAAUCUGCCCUGUUACCAUUGUCAAGGAUCAUAGUGCUUGAUUAAGAAUGUGUACCUCUAAAACGAGCUUGAUGAGGGAGAUAAAUGGAUGUUGUACUGCUUGUUGCUAAAUGUUAAUGAUCUUGAAUUAUGUGCCUCCCAAUUUGCAUGUAUCCAAUAAUUUAAUCUUUGUUUGUAUGAAACUACUCUUGUUGUAUCAGUUUGAAUAAUGAACUUGAAUUAUGUGCCUCCCAAUUUGCAUUUUCUUUUAGUUGAAUUGAUAAAAAAUCUUCUUGAUAUCUGUACAAGUUCAAAAUUCUAAAAUUCUAAAAUUCUAAAAACCUAAUAUUCCUUUUUCUCCCAACUUUUUUUUCCUCCAACUAUGUGGCACUCAAUAUUGCACACUACCUUAGGAUUGAAAACCAAAAAAUCAUAUCGUUAAACCUCGUGUGAUGGCGUCAUUUUACUUAGAGAAACAAGUAGGAGAAUUAUACUACAUGACCUCGCUUAAUGAGCGAUAAAUCUUCUGGUGUCAAACCUAAACCUUGCAUAAAUAUAUAUAGGGUAAAAGACUGUUUACUACCCUCAUGUUUCGUGGUUUUCAACAUUUAGUACAUCAUGUUUUUUUCGUCUCAGAGUCAUACCUAAAGUGUAAAUUUUGGGACAGUCUCAUACAUCCGUUAGUCAAACUGUUAAGUUUUUCGUUAACUGUGACGUGGCGCACUGACUGGGCGCCACGUGUCAUCCACGUUUUUUUUUCUUUUUUUUUUCUUUUCUUUUCUUCUUCUUCCUUCUUCUUCUUCUUCUUCCUCCGACUGCAACUUUCUGUUUUUUUUUUUUUUUUUUGCUUCUUCCUUUCCCUUUCUUCCCCUUCUUCCUUCUUCUUCCUUCUUCUUCCUCCGAAAUCUGGGGAAUGUUUUUUUUUUUUCUUUCUUCUUCUUCCUCCUUCUUCCUUCCCCUUCUUCCUUCUUCUUCCUUCUCCUUCUUCUUCUUCUUCUUCUUCCUCCGAAAUCUGGGGAAGUUUGUUUUUUUUUUUUUUUCUUUCUUUCUUCUUCUUCCUCCUUCUUCUUCUUCUUCUUCCUCAAAAAAAAAAAAAAAAACACUUUUAUCUUUUCUUCCUCUUCUUCUUCUUCUUCUUUCUCUUUCCUCCUUUCUUCUUCUUCUUCUUCUUCCUCCGAAUCUGCCCACAUUCAAUUUUUUUUUUCCUUCCUCCUUCUUCUCCUUCUUCCUUCCCCUUCUUCGUUCUUCUUCUUCUUCCUCCGAAUUUGGGGGAAGAUGAAAGUGUUUUUUUUUUUUUUUUUUUUUUGAGGAAGAAGAAGAAGAAGAAGAAGAAAGAAAAAAAAAAAAAUAUUCCCCAGAUUUCGGAGGAAGAAGAAGGAAGGAAGAAGAAGAAAGAAAAAAAAAAAUAUUCCCCAGAUUUCGGAGGAAGAAGAAGGAAGGAGGAAGGAAGGAGGAAGCAAAAAAAAAAAAAAAAAAAGCAGAAAGUUGCAGUCGGAGGAAGAGGAAGAAGAAGGAAGAAGAAGAAAAGAAAAGAAAAAAAAAAAAAAAAAAAAAACGUGGAUGACACGUGGCGCCCAAUUAGUGCGCCACGUCACAGUUAACGAAAAACUUAACAGUUUGACUACCGGAUGUAUGAGACUGUCCCAAAAUUUACACUUUAAGUAUGACUCUGAAACGAAAAAAACUUGAUGUACUAAAUGUUGAAAACCACGAAACAUUAGGGUAGUAAACACUCUUUUACCCAUAUAUAUAUGUUCGACCUUAUAGUCGACCUAAGCAUUCGGGGUACUUUCACAGGCCAAAGGGUUAUACUAGGUGUUAACUUGACAAACUUAAGAGUUGUUUCAAACAUUUGCCUUAAAAAGCCUGGUCUCGACUUACAGUGAACUGGUGAUUAGCUUCUUAUAAUCUAAAUAUAUGAUGUUAUAUUCUCAUCUCAACAAGUCGUUGUAGUAUAGUGGUAAGUAUUCCCGCCUGUCACGCGGGUGACCCGGGUUCGAUCCCCGGCAACGGCGUAAUGUUUUGCUUUUCCAAACAUAUUUUUUUUUCUUUCACACCUUUCAAACUCUCACUAGUCUCUUGCUUCUUCCCCUUCCUCUCAGUUCCUUGCCUGUAAAAACACGUUACCCAUAAAAACACACACGCAAACCCUUGAUUCCAAAUUUCAAGCUUGAAAGCCACUCCACUACUAUCACCGUACAAAGCAAAAAAACACACUCCCAUUAAAUCACAAAAAAAUAAAUGUUUUUUUCCGUUUUCUUUUCCACCACCUACACCGCCACCAAAACCAAGAAACCGGAAAUGUCCGCUGCGUCACGGUGCCUUCCAAUAUCCACCACUCGAAUCCACAUAAUGGCCUUAGACGGAAUCGUCAACGUCAACUCACUCUUCUCUUUCGCGCUCUUCGUCGGCCUCACGUUUUACCCCACCACCGAUCCCGCCGCCAUGCUCAUUGGCUCCGACACGGCCUGCGCCGCUGGGGUCUCCUCCGCAGAGGGCCUCAUCGCCUUCCACGUGUACUCCUUCAGCUCCUUCCUCUUCUCCAGCCUCGUUGCCUUGGCCCUCAAGCAAGCCAUCAAGAUCAGCAGAGACAUUGUGGUUCAAAAUGGCGGUGACUCCGGUUCACACGUGGGUCAUGUGAACCGGGUAGCUUUGCGGGUCGGGACGCUGGUUUCGGCUUUCGGGUCUGUUUUGGGAUGUGGGUUUUUGAUGAUGGCGCUGGUGGACUUGGUUCAGAUCAAAUUGGGGAGAUUGGGUUGUGGGAGUCUCUACACUUUGGCUGCAAUUGGUCCUCUGGUGACUUUGGUUCCUCUAGCUCUUGUUAUCUAUGUUUUUCUUGUGCUACAUGCUUUUACUAGAUAGAAACGUAUGAUUAAUCAAACGAAAUGUUAAAUUUGUGCAUCUUCUUUGCAUCUUUAAUAUAAAUUAUAUUUACAUAAAUUCAGUAUAUAGGAUGUCGUCUUGUCUGAAUAAAUUUCACUUGCCCUUAAUAGAGAUGGUUAAUGGAUGCUCAUGGAUACUCUAUAUAUCACCAUCAUUACCAUUACAAGUACAAACAUCACCACUCAUCACCACAGACAGCACAUAUCCACACUCAAAUGGAUCUCCAUUUAAUUAAAUUGGUACCCAUUAACCAUCUUGAUCGAUGAUGUUAAGCUUUGAUAAAUUGAUAGGUUUGAUUAUUUAUGGUGUAGAAUCUUCCUUUAGAGCUUCGAUUUUAGGCUCUAAGUACUAAGUUGUGAGCAAAUUCGAGAUUAGAAUACUGAAGUUUAAGUCUAAUUUAAAUGGUCAUUUUAGGGUUGAUUAUUUAGGUUUUGAUUGUUUAGAUGCUUGAUCAUUAUCUAGGUUUUAAUUGAGUUGAUUUGAUGCAAGUUAGAGUAGAUGUCAUGCUUAAGAACUCCUAUUUGUAAAUGUAAGGUUUGUCUGAUUUUUCAACGAUUUCCAUAGCAUUUAAUGAGUUUUUACUUGUUUAAAUACAUCUAUAGGCAUAGAGAGAACGUGCAAAUAGAUUGCCAUGCUCAUUGAAUAAUUUAGAGAAAAUCAAUCAUCAGUCUUGGAGAAUUACUUAUUCAUAACAUUAAGGAGAUUAAGUAGAAUUGUUUAGGUCCUGUUUUCUUAUGUUGUCAAUCUUAUAUUCCGUGCGUUUUAUUUCACGUUGUAUUUAAUUUCAUUUUAAUUCAAAAUCUCAUAUCUUUACAGUAGAAGUCUCAAUUAUAAUUUGUUUCAAUUUAGUCAUAAAGAUUCUUAAAAUAAUUUGAUUUCUAUAGGACAAUAUUCGUGCUCAUUUGCUAUACUAUCAUUUGAUUCGUAUACUUAUAAGUACUAAAAUUUGAGAUUUAAUGAGGUUAAUUUUGGUUAUUUAAUUUUUACAACAUUUUGUGUGAAAAUAAAGUUUUCUCAACGUGUCUGUACGUUCACGUUGUCCAAAAUUUAACUGUUAAUUUGGAAGUACAAAGUACAUACGAGUUGUGUUUAAAUGAAUUUACUUCUGACUGAAAUUUUUGUAAGUAGGCUAAUAUUAAUUUAUGAAAUCAAAGGAUGUUGCUUGUUUUACAAGGUUCGUUAAUUCUUCAUAAACAAUCUAUCGAGAAUUCGAGAUCGCCAAUUUUUCUCUUGAACUUGUUCUUUGUAGAUCCCCCAUGUGCAAGUACCAUUUGAAUCAGAAACCAAGUCUGAUUUCAUCACUUUCCAAAUUUUGGUAUAGUUGUUUUUCUUGCAUACUUCUUCCAUGGAAAAGGAUUCAGUUACUCUGCUCAAUUUUCUCCGUCUUUGCCGCGUCGUUUCGGUGUUUUGUGUCUGCUCAUUCAUCUCAUUCAUUUACUGGUACAAUUACCAUAUAUAGUCCAUGCUACCAAAUCAACAACCUACUUGCAUUCCCUUCAGCAUAGGGAUGGGCAAAAUACCCAUGGGUAUGGGUAACCGCGGUUACCCACCCAUUUAAAGUUGAUGGUUAUGGUUAUGGGUAACCGUUUAAACAAAUAAACGGUUAUGGGUAUAACCGUUUAUCCAUGAAAUUUAAAUGGACGGUUAUGGGUAUUAUCCGCGGUUAUAACGGGUAUCCAUCGGUUAUGGUUAAUAUUCAUGGUUAUAACGGGUAUCCAUUUACCUAUUUAAUUUAAUAUAUGUAAAAUUAAAAAAUAAAAUAAAAACCCUCAGAGUUACAAUGAUAUAGCAGUCGUUGGAUUGAUUUGGAGCCUCUGGUUUGGUCCAAGUUUCCACCUUUAGUUGCAUGUUCUAUUACUUUUGAAUAGAACCCAUCAUUUAUGAUUAUUAAUUAAUUAUCCCUUAAUUGUUGAUUUGGUUUUGUUUCUUGUAAUCGUUGAUUUCAUUUUGUUGCGUUUGAUUGGAGCUUUCAUCAUUUGGGACACGAAAAAUUCAACAUAAAAAUUCAUCAUUUGCGUUUGAUUAACUAUCGUUAAAAAAAUAAUGUAGACGUGAGAAAAAAAAGGGUAAAUGGGUAAAAAAAAGGAUAAACGGGCGAAAAAUAUGGGUAAACAGGUAAAUGGUUAUGGUUAUGGUUAAAUGGAUAAAUGGUUCUGGGUAAAUGGGUACACGGUUAUGGGUAUGAAUAACCGUUUAUAAACGGUUAUGGUUAUGGGUAUAACCAUUUAUGUAAUUACCCAACGGGUAAACGGUUAUGCGGGUAUGAACAUAAACGGUUAUGGGUAAAAUAACCGCGGUUACCCGCCCGCAUAACCAUUGCCCAUCCCUACUUCAGCAUGGAACCAGCUUGCUUUUUCCUCAAUGCCGCCUUCGAGGCUUCGUAAAAUUGCUCUGUUUGUCAGGCCUCAUAGAUCUCAAGCUACCCGACACUCAAUUUGUACUUUCACCUUUCGAAACCAACUGCUGCUCGCUAUCUGGACCAAGCUCUGAUUUGGAAGAUGUUUCAAUCUCAAAACCCUACGGUAAGGCCUUUCAAUGUGAUCCACACCGAAAGCAUUGGCCUCUUGCAUACUUGAGCGCGUAACCAGAUGAAACUUGGUGUUUCUUGCAUGGGAUUGCAUACGAAACCCCAUUCAUUCCGACAUCAUACAAGAACUUCUACGGAGCCAUGAAAAACCACAAGGGUAUGUGUGGAGCCAAAAAUAUUCACUAGGCGAUACAUGGACUUUUGGACAAAAGAGGACAAAAAUACCCUCGAGGUAUACCGGGUUUCCUACACGCGAGCAGUGGAGAAUCAUCCAUCAACCAAGUCAGGAGUAUCCAAAAUGGGUAACAAUUCAAAACCUAUUUCAUUCCAUAUAUGUUUUUACCCCAUUUUUUCCUUAUUCAAUUAACCAUUUAUUUCAAACAUUCCAUAACAUCCUCAAUCAAUUAAAUUAUCAAUUAAAAGCCAAAAAUCACCCUAAAAGCCGUUGGUCCUUCUCCAAAAUGGGGGCCGGCCAUUCCCUUUGAUUUCCUACCACAAUUUGCCUUUUUUUACAUUGGUUAGCUAAUCUUUUCAACCAUUAUUUGAUUGAUUAGCUGAUCAUGCCAUGAAAGUCAUAAAAACAUUCCCUUUAUAUUGAUAAUUAACCAAUUAAUAUAUUAUUCUUAAUUAAUAUAUUAAUUGCUAAAUUAAGCCACCUCCUAUCCCUAUAUAUAUGCUCCCAUUUCCACCAAAAACUCAUUCCAAUUCUCUUACAAAAAAAUCACAAAUACUCUAAACACUAUUUCUCUCUAAAAUUCUAACUUUGGUAUCGGAGGUUCUUCGGCCAAAGCCCCCCCAUUCAUCGUGGGCGCGUGAGGCUUUUGGCCUUAACCUAAGGUGCUAGUUGUUUUGUAGGUGCAAAAUCGUCCAAGAUCGAGGAGGAGAAAAUUUGCAUCCACAAAUUGGUGCUUUCAUUGAGAGUUGAAAUCCAUACUCGUAGAAGACUCUCGCACAAAAAGGUUUUUUCUUUAUUUUCUAGUCCAUUUGAAUAUUUUUCAUACGUUCUUAUUAUUAGAAUUUUUUACUUGCAAAGGUUCUUUGAUAAAACGUAUAAGCAAAAUAUAAUGGCUAGAAAUUUAGAAAAUUCCACAAGUGAAAAUUCUAAUGUUCAAGAAAUGGGAUUGCGGAGAUCCGUGAGGCUAAAUGCGACAAUAAGGGGAGCGGCAUCAUCACGAGCUUCCACCAUGGGAACCACCGUGGUGGCUACCGAGGUAGCCACCCGCGGCGAGGUCCAUGGUGCCUUCACCACGGCCACCAUGGGAACCACCGCGGUGGCUACUUCGGUAGCCACUCGUGGCGAGGUCCAUGAAGCCUUCACCACGGCCCGGAGAUCCGUGAGGCAAAAUGCGACAAUAAGGGGAGCGGCAUCAUCACCACAAGCUUCUACCAUGGGAACCACCGUGGUGGCUACCUCGGUAGCCACCCGCGGCGAGGUCCAUGGUGCCUUCACCACGGCCACCAUGGGAACCACCGCGGUGGCUACUUCGGUAGCCACUCGUGGCGAGGUCCAUGGAGCCUUCACCACGGCCCGAGCCGUGCCAUCCAAGGCUCACGGUACCAAGACCACGAUCCAAGCCGUGUCAUCCAAGUUUACGUGGACCCAAGCCCAAGCCUCGCAUUCACAUGCACCGCGCAUUUAGCAGCCUGCUCCAGUGAUCCAGCAUGCUCCCGUCAAGCAACCCACUCUCACGGCUCAACCUGCUCCUGCCGAGCAGCCUGCUCUCGUGACCCAGCCUGCUCUCGACGAGCAACCCACUCUCGUGGUCCAGCCUGCUUCCAAUGAGCAACCCACUCCCGUGGCCCAGCCUGCUUUCGUCGAGCAGCCCACUUCGGUGGCCCAGCCUGCUCCUGCCAAGCAGCCCACUCCCGUGGCCCAGCCUGCUCCUACCAAGCAGCCUGCUCUCGUGACCCAGCCUGCUCCCGACGAGCAACCCACUCCCGUGGUCCAGCCUGCUUCCGUCGAGCAACCCACUUCUGUGGCCCAGCCUACUCCUGCCAAGCAGCCUGCUCUCGUGACCCAGCCUGCUCCCGACGAGCAACUCACUCCCGUGGUUCAGCCUGCUUCCGUCGAGCAGCCCACUCUCACGGCCCAACCUGCUCCUACCGAGCAGCCUGCUCUCGUGACCCAGCCUGCUCCCGACGAGCAGCCCACUCUCACGGCCCAUCAUGCUCCAGUGGCUUUCCAAGCAGCCCAAGUCGACCCAAGACUAUCUCAACCAUCCGGACCUACCAUCGAGCCGGGGGCAUUCUCACCACAUGUUUUCGUAGAUUUGACAUUUCCCAACUCAAAUCUCGCGCCCGGAGUCUACCACCUUUCCACUGCCCAAUGAGGCGUAUUCCUUCCAAGCUAUUCCAAUCCAAAUGGCGAACAACACUUGUCUCGACAAGUCAUAGAGUUGACGAGCGCCCUUGCACAACAGAAAACCUUGGUGAAUCAACUUUUGCAACGUAUCGGGAUCCAACGUGCCCCGGACGAAGUAUCCCAAAGUAGGACAAGGGCAGACGAACAUUUCCAGCAGCGUCCCGAUAAGCAGCCACUCGACCAGCCACGAGCCGAACGUUUGGGCAGUGUACAUUCCCGUCUUAGAGCGCGAAGGAGCAUGCACUCUCGACUAGGCCCACGGAGGAGCAUACAUUCACGGUUGGGGUCAUACUCCGAUGAUAGUCAACAUGAGCAAACCUUCCGGGCAAAGUGUCUAUUCGCAGCUAAGCCCACAAGGAGCGUCUUCCACCUCACAUCAGAGUAGGCAGCACGACGGACGGAGAGAAGUAGUCACUCAAUCCAGCUCAAGUUCAACCAGCAGCCUGCGAAGAACUCGCUCGCCUACUAGGAACUCACCACAUGCACUGCAUCUGCGGCAUAGACGAGCCAAACACAUGGAAGAGCAGCUUAGACCAGCAAGUCAUGACUGGGGGCAGCCGAGAGCUUUGCUACCCCAACAAAGGCAAAUUCAGGAAGAAGUAGAGAGACUCUUGACCAAGCGAUUGCAUGAUUUCCAACGCAACGAGGUCACCGACGAGGCACUACGACGGAACAUAACCAACAUAAGCAGGUCACCCUUCACGGAGGAGAUCGAGCAGGCAGAGCCUCCACGCGAGUUCAGCAUGCCACAUUUCACAUCUUUCAAAGGGGAUGAACACCCGGAGAGACACUUAAAACGUUACCAAAGCGCAAUGAUCCUUUAUCGAAACAACGAUGAUCUCAUGUGCAAGAUAUUCGCCACCACUCUACAAGGCGAGGCGCAAGAUUGGUUCUACACCCUGCCGCCACAAUCCAUCCGAAAUUUCUAUGAACUUUCUUUGGUUUUCACCAAAGAAUAUUCAUCUUAUCGCUCGAUCAAAAAGAAGUCUGACCAUUUGUUCGAAGUCAAGAAAAACCCAAAGGAAUCGCUUCGCGACUAUGUGAGGAGUUUCAAAGUAGAGAAGGCAAAAAUAGUUGGAUGCAACGACUCGAUAGCUAGAGCAGCCUUCCAAAAAGGACUUCCGGCAGACCACCCGUUAUUCGGAAAAUUGAUCAUGAAAGAGGAUCUAACUCUAGCAGACUCUUUUGCUUUGGCAGAGAAGCAUGCACUUUGGGAUGAGGCUCGCCAAUGCACAUUCAAGAACCUGAAGAAGUACCCGACAUCACCUCCCUAGAAGCAGCGGAGGGCUUAUUCGCAUGUUUGACGGUAUCUAAAGUAGCAAUAAGCUCUACCAUCAUGCGAGAAGAGCUGGGGGCCCGACUACCUAUAUUCCACAGUUUAAAAGCUCUCCUCGAUGCUAUCAGUUGUAUUCCACAGUUUAAAAGCUAUCAUUGAUGUUAUCAGAAAUUCAAAAGCUAACUUUGGCGAUUGUUGUUGUAACCUAAAAGCUUAAGUUUUACCUUCAAACGCACGCAGUCAUCCUAAUGACGUACUAUUCUGCCCAAUCCAGACGCGUGACGAUAAAGGCGUAGACCCUGGCGGAUGUAAAGUUUUCUGACGAACGCAACACUGGAAGGACACACUCGAAAGCAAGUUUUGUCCUCGUCACCCUAAAAGAUUCUACAUAGGAGCAACAUGUACCGGCAGUUGAGUACCAUUUCUUGCUGCGCAUCACACGGCCCUAGCCGACCCUUGCUCAAUGAUUCAACUCUAGAGUGGCCCAAUACCGGCAGUUGAGCAUCUCCUGUUGCGUAUGACAUGGCCCCAUCUCCACAGCUCCCUACUGCGUCUUCACGCCGAGCCUAGGUGACGCAACAGAGCGCCCAACGAUGCCUCAGAAGUAGCCGAGCACACUCUAGCUGCGCCUACUCCACCCGAUGGAGACUUCUGGCAUUUACAUGUCGACGACGCAGAAAAGCCUUCAUCACUGCCGGCAGAGAAGGCUCCAAAAAGAUGGAUCCCAUCUAGGAAGGUCCGUACAAGAUCAGCAGAGUAGGGGGCAAGAGUAAUUACACCCUCACCACCAUGAAGCGGCAAAAAGAUUGAAAAGAAAUGAAUGGCCUACAAUCUGAAGAAGUACCAUGUGUGACCUCCCGCUACAUCAAAACCCGAAGACUCAAUAAGCUCGACGGGCACCACCUCACAAGCUGAGGACUAUCCAGUUGUUAUGCAGUUCCUACCUUACAGCUAAAGUUCUCGUUCGUUUCACUCGUUUUUCAAUGAGGAAUUUAGAAGUAAUCACAACUUGGCUUGGCUGCAUGCUUACAACAACUAAUCACUCAUGCACUUCAAAAGAAGACUGCGCCCUUCUUAGGGACUCAUCGCAGGAAUUGCACCCCCCGAGGGACCAACCAUGCUCUCCAGUGCGAGAGGGUAAACCAAUUCUCCGACACCCAUAUGGGUCGGCUCUCCAAGACGGGAGGAUAAACUUUACACUCCGAAUAUCCAGACGUGGAUGAGCCUGGCUACCCUAGUAUAACUAGAUGCACGAUGGCUUGCGCCGGGAUUCCUAGAAGUAGCCGCAAUGGUCUUUUUCAAGGCUUAGCUAACUGAAGGAUUUUGGGUCUCUUGGCCUAAUCCGUGGGGGAACCGGGCCCUAGAGACGGAGAGGGCACAUUACGCAGUACAUCCGAUGGACGGCUGCCCUGGAAUCCUAAAGCUGCUACCGAGUGCACUAAGGUAGCCUACGGAUUCCGGAAGACUGCCUACGGCUUGCCCCUUCGAGCAGUGAAGCCGCACUAGACUUAUACAACCGCACAUUCUUGUGAAAGGUUAAACAAGCUAGCGCGCAUAUACGAAGUUUUAUCCACUGCCGACAUGCUACGUAGUCGAUAAGCUUCACCUCUGCCAAGCGCGGAACAACCUACACCAAGUCCUAAAGUGUUGUGAUACUUGCUACGCAACCUACGGAAUUGAAAAAAGUCAAGGUUAACAGCCUAGUGGUUACGCGGACUUGUCUGCUUCUGUAAGUAAGGCAUCCGGCUGCCAACCCAAUGGCUAACAACUUUGCAAAGUUCUACACCAACACCUACGACUGCAUAGGCUACGCGAGCUUGUCUGCUUAUAAAAAAGUAGCAUGCUUGCCACUGGUCUAUCAAGUCUAAAGGUUAGGGCAUGAACAAAAGAAGAAAAAAUGAAGAAAAACGAAGGAAAACAUGUUUAUAAACAACUAGCAAAGGCCGAAGGAGUUCAAGCAAAACAAGAGCUACAAGGAAAAACAAAGAAAAUCCUAAAGGCUACCUAAAAUACUACACUACAGCAGGUUGGACAUCCCACGACUACUUGGUCGCCACACCUUCAGUAGCCGUAACGCUCUUAGCAACGGCAUCAUCCGGUGUUUCACCCCCGGCUGCCCCAGCCUGGGCACUAACUUCUCCAACUACUUCACCAAUGGAAGCCUUAAAAGUAAAAGCAAGCAAGUCUUCCGGAGAAAUAGAGAAGCUCAUCCACUCCCUUUUUAGCAUAAGCAGCGAAACGAAGCUCAGAAACUGCAAACUUAAGAUCUUGAAUCUGAGGCGAAUCAAUCUCAGCAGCAAAGGGAGUAGGCUUUGGCGCCACUUUAGCAGCAGAGUCCACCUUACCACUCUUCAUAAUAGCAAGUCUCUACAAAGGUGAACCGGACUUGGCUCCCAACGAACGUCCUAGUACAGACUUCGGCACUGGGGCAUGAUAAAACCUUUACGUUGAGCAAUCUUAUCAACAAUUGUACUAGCCAUUCUCAACAUGGAAGACGCCACAUGCUCAGAUCUAGCAGCCUUAUUUUUCUUCCCAUUGGAAGAAGUCAUGUCAAUCACAUACCUCUCGGUAGCAGGCGGACCCUCAUGAGCAGCGGAAGAAGUCUUCAGUUUUUUCUUAACUGGCAUCUCAUGAGCAGGCAGGGAAGAUUUCUUUUUUCCAUCUUCAUUCAUAGUAAGCUCCACGACAGCGAUCAGACAAGCCAAUGCAUCCGCCUUGAUCCUCUUUACCUCUUCUUUCGGGAGCAGCCCACCUUUCUUUCAGCAAAGAGGACUAAGCAGCUAACGACAUUCAUGGUACUCAGCAUGGGAGCUCAACCCAGCAUUCCAGCAGGCAGGAGGCCUGCAUGCCCAACAUUCCAGCAGCCCAUGAGACCCGCAAUCUCCUCAUUUCUCUCAAUCGCCAGCCUGGCCCGAGUCAGGUCCAAGAGCCCAAAGGACAUGAGCCAUGCGGCUCGCCUAGCACUGCGCCCCAGCGCCACAAUCCGCGACCCUAGCUGCACAAGCUGCAUUUUGGCUCAAGCCAAACCAAGCUGCCCAAGCAGUAGUCCCUGCCACGACAUCUCCUCGGCCCAUGCCGAGCCAACUCUUGGCCCCUGUCAGCCGACGUGCCGCACCACCCCGACGGCUGCCCUGCAAUAGCACUAUCCAAGAAGAGGCAAGAAAAAUUAAAUUUUUUCUUACAUUGGUGCGGCACGGAGAAGACGAAGAAAUCAACGAAAGACGGUCUUUUGCACGGGCAAGAUGUAGAAGAUUGCUAGAGGAGGGGGAACAAAUAUCCUCUAACUUUCUCUCUCUUGUUGGGUAGAAUAAAUCGCUCUCCAAAUUUGAUUUAAUAACCCACUUAAGGUGGACUUAAAUAGGCUUUGAGAGAAAUUUAUUUCCCUUUCCUAGAAGGAUCUAAUUUCCUAUUAAAGAGAGAAUAUACAUCAAAUUAGGAAGCAGUCUUAAGUUUCCUAAAGCAAGAAGAUCUCUACACCUGCUGCCCUUUUCUGCGAGCAGCCCAACAGGUGUGGGGCAUUUGUGGAGCCAAAAAUAUUCACUAGGCGAUACAUGGACUUUUGGACAAAAGAGGACAAAAAUACCCUCGAGGUAUACCGGGUUUCCUACACGCGAGCAGUGGAGAAUCAUCCAUCAACCAAGUCAGGAGUAUCCAAAAUGGGUAACAAUUCAAAACCUAUUUCAUUCCAUAUAUGUUUUUACCCCAUUUUUUCCUUAUUCAAUUAACCAUUUAUUUCAAACAUUCCAUAACAUCCUCAAUCAAUUAAAUUAUCAAUUAAAAGCCAAAAAUCACCCUAAAAGCCGUUGGUCCUUCUCCAAAAUGGGGGCCGGCCAUUCCCUUUGAUUUCCUACCACAAUUUGCCUUUUUUUACAUUGGUUAGCUAAUCUUUCAACCAUUAUUUGAUUGAUUAGCUGAUCAUGCCAUGAAAGUCAUAAAAACAUUCCCUUUAUAUUGAUAAUUAACCAAUUAAUAUAUUAUUCUUAAUUAAUAUAUUAAUUGCUAAAUUAAGCCACCUCCUAUCCCUAUAUAUAUGCUCCCAUUUCCACCAAAAACUCAUUCCAAUUCUCUUACAAAAAAAUCACAAAUACUCUAAACACUAUUUCUCUCUAAAAUUCUAACUUUGGCAUCGGAGGUUCUUCGGCCAAAGCCCCCCCAUUCAUCGUGGGCGCGUGAGGCUUUUGGCCUUAACCUAAGGUGCUAGUUGUUUUGUAGGUGCAAAAUCGUCCAAGAUCGAGGAGGAGAAAAUUUGCAUCCACAGUAUGCAUGGACUGAAAAAGUUAUUAAGGUUGUUGAAGAGGUAAGGAUUUUCCCUAGUUACGCUCACCAUGUCGCUACCAGUGACCAUGUUGGAGAAGUACUCAAGAGGAUUUACAUGAUCCCCGAUGAUCGCUUCACAUUAUUCUUAACGGGGUUGAUGAGGAGGUUUUCAAGCGGGACAUUGCCUUGAGAAAGGAUUUUAGGAGAAAGUUUGGGGUGCUGGAAUCUAAGACUAGUUCUGGGAAUGGCUGGGAGGUUGGUGAGGGAUGAAGGGCAUCCGCUGAUGUUCGAAGCGUUGAAGCAAAUUCUCAGAGAAAAUGAUGCGUUUAGGCAAACUGUUGUUGUUCUGGUUGCCGGGAAUGGUCCUUGGGGUGCAAGGUACAGAGAUCUUGGAAUGAAUAUACUUGUUUUGGGACCACUGGAACAAGCUCAGCUUACUGAGUUCUACAACGCAAUUGAGCAAUUGAUAUUUUCGUGAACCCAACUCCUCUCGUCAGGUAUUGCAUCAUACAUUGUUGGAAACAAUGCUCUCAGGGAAGCCAGUUAUGGCAACAAAGCUUGCCAGCAUUACAGGCUCUGUCGUUGUUGGCAAAGAACAGUAGCGUCACUAAAGAAGAUCCUCUAUAGAGUUUGGAGUGAUGGCAGAAGAGAUUUGAAGCAGAAAGGCCGGGCAGCAAGACAGAGAGGAUUGCAGUUGUUCACUGCAAAGAAAAUGGUGGCUGCUUACGAAAGGCUUUUCCUCUGCAUAUCCAAUGAUGAGAAAAUUGGGGAGAACUAUUGUCAAUUUCAGAUUCCAUGACAGUAACUUAGCAGAUGACUAAUACUUAUAUAGCCCCCGAUUGCGGCAUCAUCUUGUCACCGAAAUUUCAGUGUUAGAAACAAAGCUUUUCUAACAAGGAACCGGCAUAAGGAUAAAAGGCUAGAUAGCUGUACCUUAUACAUUCUGUGUUGAAGUUAAGGAACCGGCAUAAGGAUAAAAGGCCAGAUAGCGGUACCUUAUACAUUCUGUGUUGAAGUUGUAAGUAUCUUUGACAAUUUGGAUAUACAAACUGGCUGAUUGGCCAGGAAUCUUGUGACAGUUGUUCUCUGCUAAAAUUCCAUGCAUCAUCUAAAUCUUUCGAACGAACAAGGUUCGAGCUUUGCUUGGCCAGCAACUAUGAGCACUUUUAAUCUAAUGGAAAUGCAUUACUCUUAACAAACCGUAAACGCAUCAUAAUACAAAACACAUUGCAUAAGAAACCGUAGUCACUUCAAGCAUAUAUGUUCACAAUGAAAGAGCAACGGGCUCAUAUCAUUCGCCCGUGAGUCCUCCACAGGCUUUAAUUUAACAGGGUAAACAACUUUCAAACUACACACAGAAACAUAGUUCGGCGGAGAGUAGUAAGAACAUUACAUUUUCGGAAACCAUCUUCUUGAUAAAAAGUCCAAUGGAACAGUUGACCAUACCGACAUAAAAGCUUGCACUUCCUGUCCAGCGUCUUUAGCAGCCAAUGCGCACAUCAGCCACUUAUUUAUAUUACACUUCCAUACUUAAAACCCCAGGCCUAGUGAAUUCCUGCAAAACAUAAAAUCUUCUUAGAUCAGCUCCUUGCGUGAUAUCUUUACAGUAUGCCAGGCUUCAUGAAUUCGUAUAAAUUGAAAAGAGUAAAAUAUAUUGUGACUAUUUAUCUUGUGAAAGGGAGAAAAAUCAAUGCUAAGAGACGUUCUGAUCUGUUAAAGUGUUGAAAUAAUAAGAGAAUUUAUUUCGAGAAAUUGAUCUAAGAGUGAAUGAAUGUACCUUGAAAAUAGAUGAAGAAUUCAUAUGGCCAGUGAAGGGGAAGUCCUAAUAAUAGAGCGAACCUGCAGAAACGCAAGUCAGAAGUUCAUACGCUGAUCUCCUCUUCAAUGUAGCUCUAAAUUAUUAAUACUACUAAUUUCAUCUCCAAUAUCAGUACCUUGCCACCAAUUUCCUCGGGCGGCACUGUUCGAGUUGGUUCCAUUUGGAUCAUCUUCUCCCGCAUCUUUCUUGAACUAAUUCAGUCAGAGUAACAAACAGAAUCAGUUUUUCAUAUCCUUUUAUCCGUUAAUCAUGUUGAUAGCGUUAAUACUACAGUACAAGUCUGUAUAUUAUGUGAUCAACUCAUCAAGACUCACUAUAGGAUAGGAUCCAGAGGCAUGGGUCCUUGGGGACUGGGAAUACACCUCUUGCCCACCAUAGUAAAUAGAUGAACUUAGAUAACAUGGUUCUGCUCUUUCUUCCUGAAGGACUGAACUCCGGUCCUUGUUGGGUACGCUAUAGCGUGCACCUUCGCUACUUAUAGCUAUAUAGUUCGAGAAAAAGGCAAAGGCCGAGGCAAUAAACUUUAAAAACAAAGAUCAAUAUCUAACAUCAAGAGGUUGUAGAGAAUUGCAAAAGCAACAUACGAUAAUCUAUAUACAUAUACAUAAAGAAAGCGUUAAAGGUUAAACAUUCAAAAAUCCAUUAAAUGCCCUUUUUGUUAAUGAAAAUGCUAAAAGAGAAAACACUUCAUUAUAUAUGGAUAUAAUAUCACAUUAACAAACUCUUAAAUUGAAAAAUGAAAACAAAAAUAUGUCCAGAAAGUGUCGAAAAGAAUUAGGCAGGGAAUCUGAUGACGAUGGAACAUAAUCGUAGCAGAGAUUAAACAGUACAGUUCUAAUAACUUAAACUUCUAUCAAAGUAGAAAUGUUGCCUAUCAAACAAGAUUUCUUCCAGUUAGGAGUAAUACAAGAAAUUCUACAUUAAUUAGGCAUAAAUGAUCCAAUAAAGUUCGUUAGUCGGAAACUUUGGACAUGGUAGAACAGAAAACAAAGAAACUAAAAUCAACAUGAUACAAACCUGCAGUACCUUGCUUGGUGUUCCGUGCAUGAUUUCUCAAGGACUGCUGCUGCCAAUAUUCUGUCAGCUCAGAGAUUGAAGAGUUCCUCCCAACCACCUUAAAAUUAAAUCAGGUAAAAAAUGUCAGAUACUAGAGCAUAUAUUCAACAGAAGAUCUAGUAGUGGCCAAAGACACUUUCAGUGGACGGAACACUAACAAGCAGAGGUGUACAAUGGGCCGGACCGGCCUGGAUCCUUCAAAAGACCAGCCCGCUUAAGGACGGCCAUUUGUACACCUCUAUUCACAAGCCCCUCACUUUUCCAACCACUAAGCUAGAGAAUAAUGCUAUACAAAGAGCUAUGAGCACUACGAGGAAAAAUAGUGCUUUUUUCUUUUGGGUUAUCAGCUUUCCCCCUUCUUACAAAAACUAACCAACAAAUCCACUAGGAACCCAAAUCAUGUUUUGCUUAAACAAACCAAAAAAACUUUUUCAUUUCCCCUUUUGGUAUUUCUCUGCAAUAUUUCACAUUUCCUUUCUAAGCAAUUUUCAAUUCACUAUUAUACAUAAAGUCCAGAAAUUAUAUAAAAAAUUAUAACAAGAAGCAUAUAUAUGCACCCAAUGAAUAAAGUUCAUCCUCUGCUUUCAAUUUUAAAUCAACCCUGAAUCCUCCUCGGGCUUACGCAAAUUAAGUGGAGCAGUGUGCCCUUAGUAUUCAAAUUUGAAUCUCCCUUUCCGUAUUGCUCAAGUUAAAAAAAAAAAAAAAACAGAAAGCAUAAAUAUGAACGCAGUAGAAGAAUCAUAACUACCUGUGAUGGAGGUGGGAAAAUGGAAGCAAAAAUCCCAGUAGAAGACUUGGGAGGAGAUUCCUUGGUACCAAAAAGAUCAGCAGUCAAUGAGGAACCUGAAUUGCCCGGCUUCUUAUUGUUACUCUCCAUUUUUUACUUCCUCUCUUUCUCUAAGUCAACCAGAAGAGCCAACUCCAGAAUAAAAAAGCACUUUCCAAAAAAGCAGCUUCCAAGAGAAAAACCCAGUUGAAGAAACAAAGCAGGUAAGAUUUGCAGAGGAAGAAAGAAAUCAGACAGAAAGUUGAGAGAGAGCACGGGGUGAAGAUGAUGACACACAGAGUAUCCAAAACUCAAAAUUUAUAUAGGCACUUGCUGUAUAAAAGAUGGUACUGCAUGUAGUGCCGCUCAUGUGCCAUCUUCACCCAAAGAAAAACAAACGCUCUUCUGUUUUCAUGCAACCAAAGAUUUGUUUCUCCUCAUCAAAAAAGAUUUGGAACUUGCCCUUCUGUUUUCCUCACUAUAAUCAUCUUUUUUUUUUUUUGGUUGAACACUAUAAUCAUCUUUUCCCCACAAACAUAAUGGAUAGGUGCCACGUGGGCUCCACUCCUUUUGCCAAGUGGAUGUACAGUAGUGCCAUAUUAUUUUGAGAGAGAUCAAAAUUUUAAACCAAAUUGCGUGUCACCAAUAGGAAAUAAGCAUGUGAAUCAACAUUUAACUAAUAAUUCAAUCAUCAACAACCAUAUCAUUUGAUUUAAAAUAUAAAUCGAAUUCAGAACUUUCAUACUAACGAUGACAAUUUCUGUAUUGAUACUGUGGGGUAUCUUCAUCUCAUCUCUCUCGAGCACUCUAGGCCUGGACUCGACUUUUAAUUCCUCUCGCCCAUUGGCCCCCAUUGUUUGAUCAUAUUCUGUGGGAUGUAUGAGUUGAUGACUUCAAGUGAGGGAUAGGAGAAAUGAAUCUCUGAAAGCUUCUGUUCCCACCAAGUGGAUAAUCAGAUAAGCUUUGCUUUGUCCGAUAUGCUUCAUGGUCCAACAUUCUCUUGCUAUUGAUAUCAAGGCACGAUUCAUGAGUAAACCCACCAGUGUUAUGUAGGACCAUAGCUCUUGAACAUGUAGAAAACUUAGAUAAAACUUGUGGUGUUAUAAGUGCAAAUCGGAGCAUAUUAUGUACUGGAAUCUUUGGCAGUUGAAUUUGAAUCUUCACACUCAAUUACGUAAAAACUUUAAAGUAGAUGCUCAUAUAUCAGAACAAAUUAUCCACUUGCUGCGUCCAACCUCCACACAAGCUUCCAUCUGACGUUCUUAUGAGGAUUGGAAUCAAUACCCUGAGAUGUCAUGAAUAGGAAAAAGGCAGAUUGUGUGAACAUGGUAUUAUGAAUGUAAUUUUGUUUGGAUAUGGGUUUUGGUUUGAAGUGGGACUUGUUGUACUAAGUGGGAUGCUUACGACAAAGUUGGUACAAUUAUUUGGUUUGAAAGAAUAUGUAUGGGUUUUGGUGAUUCAUUUUAAAGCUGGAUGUGUCACUUUUGCUUACUAUAUAGGUCAGUUGGAUUUCUUCAAUAAAAAAUUCCCAUGCUUUGGUCUUUAGUGUGAAAAAUACGUUCGAGUUGUAGUAUGAAUUUAGUGAGGGAAGAAAGAGGAAGAUCGGUCAGAGAGAAGAGAAUUGCUUGAGGAAUUCUUGAGUGUGAUAUUCUUUUGUAUCUUUAUUUAUAUUAACAAGGGAGAGAGAACCUUGUUUCCUAAGUAAUACAAGUUGUACGAGGAAAUAUCUUCUCAAUCUCUUCGUAAUGAUCCCAAAUCAGUUGUUAUUGUCUACUUGAAAGAUUGGCUUCAGGCAAAUAUGGUUUCCUCCAUAAAGCCCCUUCGAACACACGCUUUUCUUCAUUGGGAACCUCCUCUUGAGGGUUGGGCAAAGCUUAAUGUUAAUGGUGUCGCAAGGGGGUGGCCAAUUUCAUUGGUGUUGGUGAUGUCCUUAGAACGCAUUGGGGACAUGGGCCUUUAGUUUUUGUGCUAAUCUUGGUCGAGGUGAGAUUUUAAGUGCUGAAGUUUGAGGUGUUUUUAUUGGGUCGCAGCUUGUGUAGACUAAUGGAAUUAAGAAGAUUAUAGUUGAAUCGGAUGCUGCACUUGCCCUACAAUUGAUUUUAAAUGCAUAAAUAGAUAAUCACCUUAUGAGAAGUUUGGUAUUGAAUUGUCAUGCACUUAUGCACCAAGUUGGUCUUGUGAAAUUUGACGUAUUUACCAUGAAAAUAAUUUUGUUGAUGAUGAUUUGGCUUGUUUGGGUUUGUCAUGCAAUUUGGGUUCGGUCUUUAUUGAGCAAGCUCAUCCUUCUUGUCAUCGGUCGUGGAUAUAACUGGAGUUUCGUGGCCUCGUAAUAUGUUUAUAGUUUUUCCUUUUCUUUCAGAUUUAUGCCCCGUUUUCAACAAAAAAAAUAAAGAAUAAAGAUAAUAACAAUCUAAAAGUAAAUGAGUAAAGUGUAAAAGAAAAGUAUUAUUUUCACUUUACUUUGAACAGAAAGGGAAGAAAUACGAAUUAUUCUCAUUCGAAUGUCUACUUGCAUUAUAAGAAUCAAAAGACAGUUGGAAUUCACAUAGGAUUCACAUGAAAGAAAAAUGUUAUUGGUUAUUCUUGGUUUUUGAGGAAUAAGACUUGGGGAACUUUUUUAUUAAAAAUAAUAUAAAAUAAGGGUACUUGAGAAUGGAAAAAAUUUCCACCAGACUUUCUCAGGAUCUUGAUCGAACCUUCUCAUUCUGUAUUUUCGGUUCUCUUUUUCGUUAUGCAAUGUUGCACAAUGAUUGGAAUCGUCUAUUUUCUAGUUCAACUUUUAAAGAUCAACUUUGUUGAAAAUCAAUCAAAUAAAAAAUCAUUAAUUGUUCGUUUAAUAUUGUUAAGAUUUAAUUGUUCUAACUGCAUAUCUUUGAUCUAUAUCAUUAGAUGACUAAAUGAGUUUGGAAUUGGUUGAUUUCUACUAGAGUUUUCAAGGGUGACUUAGAAAAUAACGGCAUAACUCAUCAUGCAACAUUGUAGAAUAAGGAGAGCCAAAUAAAUAGAACGAGAAAUUUCAAAUGAGAAGGAAAAAUCUUCAAAAAUUUGUUAAUCAAUGACUUUCUUAGCAAAGCACUGUUACUGGACAAUUCUCUAUCUUAGAAAGCCCAAUUUAAAUUCAGUCAGGCCCAGUCCAGUUUAAACCCGACCCAAAACCAAGUUAUAGUUAUUUCUAGGGCUCCUCACAUUAAAGCCCCUCAACUGCAUUGCAUCCCAAGUAUUACUGCAGCCUCCUAAACUUGGAGAGAUUAGCAGUACCAAGAUACAAAGGGUACAAAAACCACAGUCAAUCAUAUGUGCUCAUCUUUGUCAACAUAGUCAGGUCAAAAGUUUACAUGCCUACAAGAACAUGUACAAAAUAUGACAAGUUACGUUCCAAGAACUCCGAUCUUUGAUGCUCUAAAGAAGGAUAACAAUUUUACAUGUAUGGGAUAAACCACCUAAAGGUUUUAGCAGGCAAUCCAUUACCCUAUAAUCAGUUGGGAUACAACGAACCCCUCCAAUAAAGAGAGAGAUUUAAGCCCUGAAACCAUAUAACCUUCAAUCCGGCGAUGAAAUGAAUAUAACAUCUGUGUGGAGAGAAGCGCAUGCUAAUUUCUACAACAGAUUGAAGUAGGAGCAAAGCAUAGAAUACAGACCUCAGCCGCGCAUGCCAAAUAUCUCUUCCGGAGGAUCAUACACAUGCUGUUCGGGAAACAGCUCCUCAAAGUCUUGCUUGACUCUGUUUCUCAAAAGGGGGUGUGGCAGAAGUCCCUUUAACAAAAUCCGGAAUGGCAGCUCCUCUGGUGGAUCUGGAGACUGCUUCAUGUCCUCAUAAAUGUUCAUUGCAUCUGUAGGACAACCAGAGUUCAAAAAACCCCUGAUAACUUCUGUAUAUGUUUGAGAAUCAGGAAACAGAUCCUCCCUUUUCACGCUGUCCCACAGUAGCAUAACAUCCUCCAUUUUCUUAGAUCUUGCUAAUGCAAUAAUUAAGUCCUUAUACAGAUAGACAUCCGGUUUGUACCAGUCUUGCUUUCGAAUAACAUUAAAUACCUGAAAAUUCACCGAGUCGCUUGUAAUUCCAAUAAACAAAGACAUACGUUCAUUACAUACGUAGUUAAACAGAAAUAAAGAUGUGCAGUCUAGAAGGAAUUCAUUCCAAAUAAUGGUCUAAAUGUGCUCUGAUAAACAAGUCUGCAAAACCACAGCAGGAAAUAAUAAAUCCGCAAUUCAAAAUCAAACUAGUCUGGUUUCUCGUAGAUUCAAAUGGGAAAUAUGGCAGUGAGUGUUGAUAUGGUCGUCUUGACUCUCAUGAAUGAGAUUUCAACAUUUCACCAUUACUAGCUACUUCAAAUUCCAAAGAACUGUCCUCGCACCUAUAACUACAAGUGAAAACCACGUCACUCCGAUCACGAAAACCACGUCACUCCGAUCACGCUUUACCAUACACCAUGAACCUGCACUACUAACAGGAAUACCCAGAAACACUUACACUAAAGCUAAGCAUUGCUUCUAAUACUGUUAAACAUAUUGACAAAGCAUUACUGAAGGUGCCCAAGAUCACACAUUGAGUCAGGCAUUCAACCAAAUACAUAGCGUGCAACCCACGGAGCCCCAUUUCGCAACGACUGUAAACUAACAACACAUAGGUGGAUUCGCACAGCACAACUUCAACACCCAAAGUACAAAAAUUUCAGAACAACCCACAAGAUCAAAUGCAAAACAUUCACAAAAUUUAAACACAGAAAUUCGGUACCUUAAUUGCCAAAGCGACUUCUUCCUGGCGCUCGAGCUCAGUGAGAACAGCAAUCAUAUCCGUCUUCAACAGUCUCAAAACGUGGGUAUUUACAAACUUCCCGAGCUUCUCUUCCACGUCCUCGAACAGCUUCAAACCCGAGAUUACGAAAAGCGCUUCUUUGCCGAUCAGCUUUUUGCCCCUCCAGAGCGGUCCUCUGGGCCUCCCGUCGUGAUACAGCCUCAGCCCACAAAUGGGCCUCCAGGACUCGAGUGCUAGUUCUGUGGAUUUUAGAAGCAUUGGGUUUGAUUUGAUGGGCGUUGUUUUCAGGUUUUGGAGGAGUAUUGAAGAUAAAAAUGCGAACUUCGAUCGCGAAAAUGCACGAGUCGCCAUUGCCAUUGGAGGUGUGAUGAAGGGGACGAGUUGGUCAGUGAGAUUGAUGAACGGUGUUUGAGAAAUGAGAAUCUAACCCUCCUCCAAAAUCGUGUCACGAGUCGUUUAACUAACUAUGAUUACUUAAACAUUUAAUUAAGAGCUUAAUUGGAUUAAUAGUCUAUGUGGUGACAUGACCGUUGGAAGAUAAUUUUGCGGUAAUAAAAUAAUAUUUAAGCCCAUGUGGUGGAGCUUGUUAGAAUUAAUGCCUAAAAUUGAAAAUUCCAUCAAUUUAACAGAAAAGAAUAAUAACUAACUGAUUAAUAGUAAAAUUGUCAUUUACUCAAUAUCCUAUCAAUUAAACAACAGUAACGGUAGGGAGACUUAAUUUGUAAACAAAAUUUGCAAACUAAAUGAUGUGUCACCAAUAGUAAAUGAGCACGUUUAUCAACGCUUAAGUAAUAAUCUAAUCAUUAACUUCUAUAUCAUUUAGUUUACAAAACUUUGUUUACAAGUUUAGUUUCCCUAACAUUUCUCAUUAAACAAUUGUUCAAGUAUUUUUUUUAUUUUUUAUAAAGAUUUAAUUAAAUGAUGAAUACCUAUAGUUGGUUAAAUAGACACGUGACACGAUUCAGAAAGAAAGUAACGAUUACCUUAUAUUAGGAUAGUGAACAAAUACAGGCUCCUAUUACGAACUCAUGAACUGAAAAUAGUUGUACUUUUAAAAAUGCAAUCUCUUUUAAUCAUCUUUAACAAAAAUACUCUCAACUUACUAUUCAUAUUGUAUUAUCCAUAUUGUUAUUGGCAAUGAGGCUAGUUCAUAUAGUGUUUGGGAGCAACCUAUUUUUUUAUUUUGGCUUUGUAAUCUCAUGCGUUUUGAUCUCACGGGAACCUCAGCUGAAGAGACAACAGGGAUGGGGACACUUCCAAAAUGGACACGGGAACCUAUUUUUUUUAUUUGGUUAUUUUGGCUUUGUAUUAUCCAUAUAGUUAUUAACAAUGGCAUUGAGAUAAAGCUUGAAACGAGCGAUAAGGGUAAAACCCUAGUUGGUGCAACUUUCCAAUGAUGGGGAGGUUGGGUGGAAGAGGCGGCGACGGGGUUUUGUUGGUGGUGGUAGCCAGAUGCGGAGCCACAGUGGGGUCAAUGGGGUGGCACGACCCUUUGGAAGCCAUGGAAAUAACAUUGGAGGUCCCUUUGAGCUGCUGGUGCAACCCCCUGGAGUUGCUGGUGCGACCUCUUGGAGCUGCACACCACGUGUUCGAUGAAAUGUCUGAAAGAAGAAAAAGACUUCGGUUGCAGGUUGAAGAAGAAGGAAGGGCGCGCGCGAGAAGAAAAAGACUUCGGUUGCAGGUUCUGUGUAGAGUUUCGUUGUGUGCACCUCGUUAGUUUCAUAGUUGUAAGCCUGGCUCUUUCCUUAUCAUACUGUUCGUACUUGCAAAGUUUGCAUUUUUUUUCAAUUUGAGAUCUAAGAUUACAUUGAUGCUGAUUAGUUGUGGUAUUUUUGGUUGUCAGGGAAAGUGAAGGCACCUUUCAGUAUGGUAACUAUCGACGAGAGGCUGAUCGCGCUAUCCUACCAAGACCCGAUGAAAUGACGAUAUGCAUGCUGUUUCUGUUAAAAAAAAAAUUCGCGCUACGCGCACUAUCCUUAUUGACCCCCCAAACAUUAUUUUCUGGAUCCGCCAUUGGUGGUAGCCGAGGAGCACAGCCUGUAUAGAAGGAUGAGGAAAAUGGCCAGCAGUAAGCCCAAGGGUUGCAGAAAGGAGGAGGUUUCGUUCACCAGCGUCACUUCUAUCCUAUCACGGAAAAUUAGAAGUUGGUAGUAUGCAUUUCCCUGCACAUCAUCAAUAAAUAAGUGAGGAACAAUGAUGAAACUCAUGACCACUUGAAAAUAAAGUUCUGAUACAACCCUCAAUGACCUUUGGAUUCAAAAUUCAAGUUGUAUGCACAUGACGUUGUUAUCCGAGGUAUCCUAUAAAAUUUAACUUUAACGUGGCGGCUUAAACAUGUCACGAAAACAUGUUCCCAUGCCGUCUAACGAACGUCAUGUAGACAACAUGUCAGUUUGGGUGGCGUUUUGUAAUUGACAUAAAACUAGUUUUCAAUAUGGAGCAUUUUUAAUGAUGAAAAUGCCGAAAAUGUCCCCUUUGUACAAGUUUAGUGAAGGUGUAUACCAGAAACACUAUUAGUUUGCUAUUGAAACUUAUUUUCUUUAUCCAUGUAACAAAAAAAAAAAGUUACUAAAGAACAUAAAGCAUCUUGAUAUUGACAAGAGACCAUCAAAGAAAGGAAUUUUGCACUUCAACAUCUAGUAUUUAGCGAGAAAUUAUAGCAAAGUGUAAUAUUCGUACAUUACAAAUAUGAUAUUUGUCCGGUCAACUUUAUGUGAAAUAAUUGAGAAAGGGUAAACGUUACAGUUUAGGUAAGUGAAUGAUAUGACCAGUAACAUAACUAAAAUAUUUUGUUUACUCAAAAUAAAUAGAAAAAAACUUAAAUUCAUGAAAAUUUGAAUGAAUGAGCAUUCAGAUAUUCACUAGUCAUACAAUCUCAAUUUGAGUUAUAUAUUAGUGAUUAACCAACUUAGUUCCUCAUAAGAAAACAAUUCCUACACUGCACACAAAUGCUUCGAUUAGGAAAAUUGCCAGCUAUAUAUGUGAAGGCCAAGGGUUGCAAAAACGAUGUUUUGUUCAACGGCUUCAUAGUCCUAUGUAGGAAACGAAAUUGUGUGUUUGGGUGUGUCCGCUGCACUUGUUUGUUUAUAUAAAGGUAAAGAUCAUCCUGAUACAAUGUAGUAGAAUAGGCCAAAGGUUGCAGAAAAGAGGAGGAGGUUUCAUUCGCCAGGUUGGUUUUCUCACGAGGUUUUGUAUAUGGACAAGGAUUGUCUGCCCUCCUUGUUCUCGUGCUCUCCUGUAUCCUCAUGUUUUGUGUGGUUAAAGUUAAGACACGUCAACAUUUUAUAUUAUUUUUUUAUAGAGAUAAUAAGACAAAAAUGAAUAGUAAUAUAAAAUGUUGAUGUGGCUUAACCGUGACUACACAAACAGGAGAGCAUGGGAGGGCACGGGAACAAGAAUGGCAGACAAUCCUUGUCCUUUGUAUAUAAUUCAAUGUUCAGUGGGUGCGUUUGGUACGUGGGACGGGACGGGAAGGAACGGGACGAGGCGUUCCGUCCCGAGUUUGGUGCGCCAAAAAUGGGUGGAACGGGCUGUUCCACGGGACAGAUUUUGGAUGUUUUUGCGUCCCACCUCCCCCCUGGAACGGGUUUGUUCCACGUCUGUGGAACACAAUGUUUUACCAUUUGAAGACAAAUAUACCCCAUGUCUUUUCAAAAAUUAUACCUUCGUUCCGUCUCGUCAUGUUCCUUCCCGUCUGCGUACUAAACGCAUCCUGAGAUGACUUUUCUACUGACCGAAUCGCUUUUUUUAAUUGAAGGAAUCGGGGCUUCCGGCCCGCUGGUCCCACUGGAGAGGAGAGUUUUGACUGCGAGGGCGCGUCUUAUGGCAUAGUCCUGUCGUAUCUAGGAAAAGAAAAUGUGUGCAUCUGCGUGUGCUUUGUUCGUGUGUUUAUAUAAAGGUCAUCUCAGUCUCCCAGUAUAUUAUUUUAAGAUCAUCCAUGAUUUCAUAUGAAAACAAAAAUAAAGUGCUAAUUGCUAAAAAAAGCUUGCAUGUGCGUGUGUAUAUAUAUAUGUAUGUAUAUUUGUGAAUUUCAAAUUAUUGAUCGAUACAUAUGAGCUAAAACAUUAAUAGUUCUUGACAUGUCCUCGAUCUCGAUGUCCUCGGGAUAUCGAGAUGGUCACGUGCUGGCUGACAUCCGAAGGGUGAUGAAAGUCAUUUAAUUAAUGCAAAUGCUAUGAACAUGUGAAACAUGCAUAUAAAUUGGGUUUAUUCAUGCAAUAGGAACGUAUAACACAAAACUUAAGUUCAACUAUCAACAAUGAAAUAUUAAGAUAAUGCAUGACAUGUUCAGAGCAUACGUCUAAUAUAGAGUACACAUGAAAAUUUAAGAUAGAAAAGUGCUAUUACAAUAGAUGUCGAAGUAGAGAGUAAAUAGCACGAUAUCACUGGUAGGGGAAUGCCUCGAAGCUCAUAUUGUAUUCCUCAUUCCUAGGUCUUAAAUGGGGCACAAAACAAACAUGAGUGGACCAAAUUGAUAUAUAUAUAUAUAUAUAAUAAAACAAUUAUCAACAUACUAACCCCCAUAUUUUAAGUGGCUUAUUCAAUACAAAAUCAGUUCAUAUUUUUGCAAAUUUCAGAGAUGCUCACGGAAGAACAGGGCUUCACUGGGCGUCCUAUUUUGGAGGAGAGGAAACUGUCAUUACAUUACUUCGAUUGGGCGCCGCUGCAUCUUUCCCAGAUCAAUUUCACGUGGCUAGUUCAAACUUCACUUGGAUACUCCAGAGUUCAGUUUGAGGGGGGAGUAAUAACUGAUAUAACAAAAAGGGGUAUUAUUGUAAUUAGGUUAUAUGGCUAUAUAAGGGAUUGUUUAGCUAUCAUUUCUUUAAGUUCUUUUGUAUACAUUUUCUCCAUUUUAAUCAAUACAAUCUUUCUGGUUUUUCUCUCUAUCAUCUUCAUCUUUAUUUGUACCAAUUCUUCAUCUUUUACAAUGUAGUUAAUAAUUAGUAAGCCUCACAAAAAUUUCGCUUAAAUUCAGAAGGGAUGAUGACGAAUGCUUUAUCUUGCUGAUCAUGGAUAUGGUUUCCUCUUCUCUCACCGAGCGAAAAGACCGAACUCUUUUGUUGCUCAAAAGAUUUAAGACGCAUAUACUUUUUACCUGCCUCCAGUACUCACCAUAAGGAGCAGAUGCAACGUCGUUGUAGUUGUAUAGAAGCUUCUAAACGAUGGUGGACUUGGGACGGUUAGAAAAUGUGAGGUUAUGGGUUUUCAUGAUCUCACGGGCAGCCUCAGCUGAAGACACAACUAGGACUGGAACACUUCCAAAGUGGAGAAGCAUGAGAGGGCCAUGGCGUUGAGACAAGGCUUGAAACGAGCGAUGAGGGUGCAACCCUACUUGGUGCAAGUUCCCAAUGAUUGGGAGCUUCGGUGGAGAAGGUGGUGAAGGGGUUUUGUUGGUGGUUGUAGCGGAGGAGUACCAUCGGUAUAGGAGGAUGAGGAAAAUGGCCAGCAGAGUGAAGGCCAAAGGUUGCAAAAAAGAGGAGGUUUCACUCACCAUCAUCAUAGUUCUUCCAUCUACCCUAUCUUGGAAAAGAAAAUGUGUUGUGUUGUGUGGUCUUCGUUUCUGUGUUUAUAUAAGUCAAGGUUAUCCCAGUAUACAAUGUAAAGAGUGAGCAUGUGUGGCUUUUUACCUUCACAUCCUCUCAUUCUCUCGAAUGUGUGACGAAUUUUCAAGUCAAACACGUACUAACACGAAUUAAGUGACGUGUAGCAUGUAUAACUGUUAGGCUUUAGAUAUAGGAUAAUCUACUCUGAUACCAUGAAAAAAUAAAAUAUGUGUGUUGCAAUUACACACAAAGUACUCUUUAUAUAAAGUCAUAUCCGUGACAAAAUAAAAUGUGAUACGAUCGCUUCUUGUGAAGAACUUCACGUAAUAACAAACUAUUACUGUAACCUUUUUGAAAACUUAAGAUAAUAACAAAUAUAUUACCGUAACCUUUUUGAAAACUUAAAAUAUGUGUUUGGAAGUUUUCAAACGAUAUCUGUAAGCAUUUUCUUGUUCAUACAAAUUGCAUGAGAUGGAGUAAUUUCUUAUGGAUUUAUGGGUCUCUCACAUUUGACUAUUCUGUGUGACUUUUGGGUUUUUUGGAUUACUUUAUUUGUUUAUGCAUCUGGUUUUGCAACUUUUUUUCUGUUGUUUUCAAGAUUUUAGUUCAGAUCUUUCUCCCCCCCUCUCUCUCUCUCUAUCUCUGUCUUUCUCUUUCUUCUCUCUUUUUCUCUCUAGACAAAGUGCUUUGCUUUUCCCCCUUUCCCUUUCCAAGUAAUUUCAUUUUGUUUUUCAAUUGUUUUUGUGUUCAUCAGGACUAUUACCAACUGUGUUUGAUAACUUCUGUGCAAAUGUGGUGGUUGAAGGCACUACUGUGAAUUUAGGCUUACGGGACACUGCUGGUAACUCUCCCAACCCAAAUUCUAAUUUCAUCUUAUAUAAAUGCGUUCUCCGCCCAUUGUUGAGCGAUUUCGGAAUUAGGGUUGGGUUGGCGUCUGUUUGGUUGCCUGGAAAAUGUGGAAAGGAAAAUGGGGUCAUGGGGUUUCUUGAUUUGUUGUUAGAUUUGUGGGAACUGCAAUUUCUGGUGAAAUUUUUGUGUGAAUGUUCUUAGGGGAAAAAAGUUACUUACUUUUUUUGGUUUUCUUAGCCACCAAAUGGGAAUAAUUUCAUUUUCUUUUAUUUGUAUUUGUAGUGAUGUGAUUCAGGUUCUAUUUAUUAUGAUUUUAAAUCAAAUGCCUUACUUCGUUUAGAUUUACUACAAGAUCUAAUCUGUAUCUUGCGGAAAUGGUAAAUAGGUCAUUUUCGGAAUGACAUGAAAUUAAUUAGAUAUGGCAUAAAAAGAGGGGAUACUUAGUCUCAUAAAUCUAUUGCAGUUGAAAAAUGUAUUUUGGCAAGGGUUCUUUGAGCUGAUUAGGUGAAGAACCAAAUUGUCUUGCAUGCUUCUCAUUUAUUUUAAAAAAUGGAUUGGAUUCCUAUAAAUAUCUUAGUGAAGAACCAAUUUCACGACCUUGCAGAGCUUUUUGAAUUGAAGCCUUUUCUUGCUUGCAAUUUUGAAUUAUUUCAAAUUAUCAAUGACUAUUUUUUUUCUUUCUUUUUUUACAACAUUGUUGAGAAUGGUUUUGCUUAAGCUUUGGAGUUCUUAACUCAGAUACUCUCUUGGGUACGUUCCAUAUGAGUUUCAACUGCAUAUAUGUAUGUGGCUUUAGACUUGUUGGUUCAAUAAAUUGCAAGCCUUCAUUUUAAAAUCACUUUAGUCUAAAAUGAGUGAGAAAUGAAGUUGGUCGUAUAGUAUGUGUCGUAGUGUCAUAAAAAUCUGCCGCAAUAGUGAUACUGAGUAAAUAUUGGGAUUUGUUGGAUUUCCUUUCUUUUAUUCACCUCUCCCAGACCCUGCGUAAAGUGGGAGCCUUGUGCACUGGGUACGACCUUUUUGUUUAGUGUGGAUUCUCUUAGUCUUUUCUUUUGUAAUUUUGGGUGCUUUCACAUACCAUAUGUGAACUGCAUGCCGCUUAUGUGUUUUAUGCAAACAGACUAGUUUUUUGAGAUUACAACUUUUGUGAAUAAAAGCUUAUAAGUUCAUCCUUUUGAUUGUAAAGCGGCUCUUGAUGUCAGCUGAAUUGAAUAUAAGUUAAAAUCAAACUGCUUUGAUUUGUUCACCCAUCUCUUGGUUAUUUAAAUUCUUUAGAGAUGCCAAUAUUGAUUUGUGAUUUUAUUGGAUUCACUUUGAUGAAAUGUGUGUUAUCUGCAUUGUUGCAUUUUAGGGGUGACACCGUUCGUACCGCCUUUGUAGUGCAUCUUUUUAUGCAAAUUAUUUACCAUUCUGCCACUGGCUCUUUCUGCCCCUGCUGCUGUUGGUGGAUUUCACGUUACUAACAAAAUUACCACUGCCUCUUCAUUCUUCGUUCGGUGAGGGUUUUGGGGAUGGGAGGCCAUGCCGCCUCUAAGAUAGAGAUAGAGAGGGAGAGGGAGGAGGCCAUGCCGAUAGACAUAGACAUAGAGAUAAAGAGAGAGGGAGACAGAAACAGAGCGACUGAGGGAGAUGGAGGAGUGGGGAUCUUAGUGCCAUUGCUACAUAUCCUCGAUUUCAUGAGUGGGAGAGGGGGGGACAGUCAGAGAAAACCAUGGGGGCCGUCGGGAUUUGAGGGAGAGGGGUAGGGAUCGUGGCUGGGGGUCUAGGUUGGUCCCCUUGGUCCGUUUUCUACAGCACCACUGUGCUCAAACACUCUAUCUCGCAGUGGAACUCUCUCCUCCCCUUACUCAAUCCUCUGCUUCUUCUCUGAUUCAUGGUUGGUUGAUUUCUAAAAAACCUUCGAGGAUAAAUUUGGGGUGGGAUCUGGGUUUUCUGUGCAUUACUUAAAUUUUGCAUUUUUUUCUUCUGGAUUUUCAAUUAAGAAAUGAAUAAAUUUGGGGGUUUCUGGUUUUGUAUUUUGCUGUUUAUAUGCUGCAAUUACAGGAAAAGGAGGACAAGGAGUUGGACCCUGGAUGUGCUCUCCUUCGUCCAUCCUGCGUCUGCAUGUCCUCAUUCACAAGAUAAGUACCAUUUUUAUAGUUGAUUUUCUACUAUUUGGUUUGGUUUUAAUUCUCUCUGCCAUUCUCACUCCACACUCUCUGUCUCUCACUCAGUUCAAAGCUCUUCAACUUUUUCGCACAAAUUGCUCAAACAUUCCAGCUCUCAAACAUCUUAGAUCCCUCACUCAGUUUAAAAGUAUGUUUUUUUUGUUGUUUCUUGGUGAAAGAUUGAUCAGUGAUGAUUGCUAUUGUUCAUUCAUGGUUGAUUGAGCAUUUUUGUUAUAUGAAACCAUAGAGAAUAGUUGCCUUUAUGCUGAGUAUUUUUAUUUCUUGAUGCAUUUGUGUUGAUCAGGCACGAAGGGACCAGUCGAUACGAAGCGCAUCUUUAGGAUAUACAGGUAUAAGCAGCGUGGCAAAGAAGCUAUAAUGGCAAAUAAUUUUUUCUUUUACAUUACCUAUGAAGGGAGAGGUCGCACUUGGUGCGAUGACAAGUGUCUUCGCCCAUGAACGGUAGGUCUCGGGUUCGAGACUUGGGAGCAGCCUCUCCAUAAAUGGGGGUAAGGCUAGCCGACAUUCACCUCUCCCAGACCCUGCGUAAAGCGGGAGCCUUGUGCACUGGGUACGACCUUUUAUUACCUAUGAAGGGACAGUCGAUAUUGAUAAGAUCUCAGACCCAGUAAGUAUAGUUUCUGUUGACAUUUGUAUGAUUUUUUCCAUUAUUGUUUGAUAAUUUUUUUCAGUACAUUCUUUUUUCCUCUGUGCCAAAAUCAGGUACAACAGCGUGCAACACAGGACCAAAUUGCAUACUUUGGGCAAACGCCAUCCCAACUACUUACCUUCCCUCACUUGAAGAGGUUGCCAUUAGCAGAUGUUCUUCAUUUACAGGUAACUUUCUUUGGAGAAACAAGAAACUUAGCUGAACCUUUCGGAAUGUUUAUUUUAUUUCUGGAAAUUAUCCAAUCUAAACAUAUUACAUUGGGAAUAACUGAUGAGGAUUCGAUUUCUUAUGAAAAUAUUAUGCAUGUUUUCUGUUAAAGAAAGAUCAUCUUGAUAUUUUGGAAUGUCAGACCAUCUUCCAGAACCCAAAAGAAGUCAAACCAUAUGCUGAUUCUGCUCCUGAGCACUGCAAUCUUCCUGCAGCUGCCAUUCAUGCUUCUUCAGAUGCUGUAACACAAAACCCAGCUUUCGGCUAUCCGCUGGCAUCUCUCUGAAGGUUUGUGUACUAUCUUAUGUGGAAUUGGGAUGGGAUGACUUUGAAUACUUACCGUAUAUGAGGAAACGAAAUUUGAAAUGUUGCAUUGAUUAAUUAGUAGAGAACGAAAGCAUUGAUACUAUAUGAUUGUGUAGAUUCAGUUAUGUUGAUUGAGUAUUUGUUGGUGCAUUGCUAAUCAAAACUUUUUGUGGAUUCAGUUAGAUGUGUGAACUACAUGUUUGUUCUGUUUCUUAAGGAAACAGAACUUUUUGGGUAACCAUCUCUUCCUAAUCAAACCGUACAAUUUCUUCCUACUCAUUGUACAAUGUGUUUAUAUGCCAGCUCACUUGAAUGUAUAAAAACAAAACUGCUUAUCUUAUUGAUCUUAUUCACUCAUUUAUUCCUUUGUUUGUUCAUAAUUGUGUUGAAUUUAUUCAACUUAAAAGUGUUUUAUUCAUCCGAUUACGCUUUAAACAGCUGGUUCCUGCGGCAACGUGCAUGCCUAAUUUCUAGUACAAUCUAAAUUUGAGAUUUAUAUAUUAGUGAUUAGCCAACUCAAUUCCUCAUCAGAAAAACAGUUCCGACACUGCACACAAAUGCUUCGAUUAGGAAAAUUGCCCGCAAUAUAUAUGAAGGCCAAAGGUUGCAAAAACGAUGUUUUGUUCGUCGGCUUCAUAGUCCUAUGUAGGAAACGGAAUUGUGUGUAUGGGUGUGUCUGCUGCACUUGUUUGUUUAUAUAAAGGUAAAGAUCAUCCUGAUACAAAGUAGUAGAAUAGGCCAAAGGUUGCAGAACAGAGAAGGUUUCAUUCACCAGGUCAUAGUCAAAUCGAAUCUAGGAAAAGAAAAUUGUGCAUUUGCGUGUGCUUUGUUUGUGUGUUUAUAUAAAGGUCAUCCCAGUAUAUUAUUUUAAGAUCAUCCAUGAUUUCAUAUGAAAACAAAAAUAAAGUGCUAAUUGCUAUAAAAAACUUACAUAUAUAUAUAUAUAUAUAUAUGUGUGUGUGAGUUUUCAAAUUAUUGAUUGAUACAUAUGAGCUAAAACAUUAAUAGUUCUUGGUCUAAAUGAAUAUGGAAUAGCAAUAGCUUUGGAUUUUUCUUUUCAUUUAUCCAAUAGAUUUUUACUGGCAUGGGAAAUUUGGAGGGAUGGAAAGUAGGUAAGUAGGAAAGUCGGAGGGUGUAGUUGUCCAAUUACCAAACUAUGCGUAUAGAUGACAUUGGAAAAGUAACCGAUGGAGUCCACAACUAUAAACUCAAUCAAUGUAUCUAGUAGUUAAACUUAAGGAUCGCUAAUUUUAUUUUGAUAAAUAAACAUACAAGGACUAUGGAUUCAUAUUCUUAUAUCCAUCAUUCAAAGUGAAUAUGGAAUAGCAACAGCUUUGAGAGGAUUUUUUCUACGUACGGUUAAACCAGUAGAUUCGGUCAUGUCUAAAUCCUCCGCACUUGCUCCGCUAGGCAAUUCCCAAUCGUACUUGUGCACAGUACUUGCUAAGGCGAUCUCAAUAAUAGCAAUCGCAAAAUGAAUUCCCGGGCAGAUCCUCCUACCAGCUCCGAACGGAAUCAACUGAAAGUCAGUCCCUUUAUAAUCUAUCUCACUAUUCAAGAACCUUUCUGGCUCGAAAUCUUCUGGUUUUUCAUAGACCUUGGGAUCCCUUCCAAUGUGCCAUGCAUUGAUCAUAACUUGUGUCUUGGCUUUGAUGUUGUAACCAUUUAUUUCCACGUCUUGGGUCGACAACCUGGGCACUAGUAAUGGAAGUGGUGGAUGUAAUCGAAGAGUUUCCUUUAUCACCGCCUUCAAGUAGUGCAUUUCGACCAAAUCAUCCUCCGUGAGUACGUCUGUUUUGCUUACGGCUAUUCCCCUUACUUCUUUCUGCAAUUUGUUCAUGACCCUUGGAUUCCUUAAAAGCUCAGUCAUUGCCCACUCUAGUAAUGUAGAUGAUGUAUCCGUACCAGCAGCAAACAUAUCCUACAAGAAUGAAAUGUUGAUUAAGACAUUAGCCUCUAACUUCUAAAGUAGAGAGAGAGAGAGAGAGAGAGAGAGAGAGAGAGAGGGUUACCAAGAUGAGAGCUUUUAUAGUAACUGUAUCAAUAGGAAAACCUGCCAAGUUUUCUUUCUGAACUGCAAGCAAAACGUUGACAAAAUCGUUCCUGUCAUCAUCUUCACUCUUUGAACUACACUUCAUAUGCUCUUGAAUAACUCCACAUAUAAAGUCAUCAAACUGCUUAGCCACCUUGUCUACCUUGGCCACCAAACCAUUGACAUGGCGCAACCAAGAAAGCCACGGUAUAUAGUCCCCGAUGUCGAUAAUUCCCAAUAAUUCUGCGAACUCCCUCAAAAGCUCCGAAAACAUCCUCCCAUCUUCUCCACCAUUGUACGUCCUCCCCAGAGCCACUCUACAUACCACAUCAUUAGUAAGCCUCACAAACAUUUCGCUUAAAUUCAGAAGGGAUGAUGACGAAUGCUUUAUCUUGCUGAUCAUGGAUAUGGUUUCCUCUUCUCUCACCGAGCGAAAAGACCGAACUCUUUUGUUGCUCAAAAGAUUUAAGACGCAUAUACUUUUUACCUGCCUCCAGUACUCACCAUAAGGAGCAGAUGCAACGUCGUUGUAGUUGUAUAGAAGCUUCUCAAAGAUGGUGGACUUGGGACGAUUAGAAAAUGUAAGGUCAUGGGUUUUCAUGAUCUCACGGGCAGCCUCAGCUGAAGAUACAACUAGGACUGGGACACUUCCAAAGUGGAGAAGCAUGAGAGGGCCAUGGCGUUGAGAUAAGGCUUGAAACGAGCGAUGAGGGUGCAACCCUACUUGGUGCAAGUUCCCAAUGAUUGGGAGCUUCGGUGGAGAAGGUGGUGAAGGGGUUUUGUUGGUGGUUGUAGCGGAGGAGUACCAUCUGUAUAGGAGGAUGAGGAAAAUGGCCAGCAGAGUGAAGGCCAAAGGUUGCAAAAAAGAAGAGGUUUCACUCACCAUCAUCAUAGUUCUUCCUUCUACCCUAUCUUGGAAAAGAAAAUGUGUGUUGUGUGGUCUUCGUUUCUGUGUUUAUAUAAGUCAAGGUUAUCCCAGUAUACAAUGUAAAGAGUGAGCAUGUGUGACUUUUUACCUUCGCAUCCUCUUAUUCUUUCUUAUCUCUUAUGUGACCAAUUUUCAAGUCAAAUGCGUGCUAACACGAAUUAAGUGACGUGAAGCAUUUUUUAGCUGUUAGGCUUUACACAUAGAGCAAUCUACUCUAAUACCAGGAAAAAAUAAAAUGUGUGUGUUGCAAAUAUAUUACCAUUCUAAAGUCUUCUCAGCGUGUGGGCAUUCACCCCACUACUUUUACAACAUUACAUACGUAUUUGGAAGUUUUCAAACGAUAUCUGUAAGCAUUUUCUUGUUCAUACAAAUUGCUUGAGCUAAAACAUAAAAGUUCUUGGUCUCAAAUAGGCCACGUGUAAGAGGAGAUGGUCCACAUAAUCUGCAGUUUUGACUGAAAAGACAGCCAAUUUGGGGAGCCACAUAAAAUUUACGGACUCAAUUUUUUCUACAUACUAAUAUUUCUGAGCUUUUUGGGUGGUUCUAGGCACUGAUAGAUUUAUUAGGAUGCAUUUGUUACAUUGAAUUAUCUUGGAUUAAACUAUCUUUAGAAACUAAGCUGAACUAGGGAUGACCAAAAUACUCAUGGGUUUGGGUAAUUACGGUUACCCGCUCAUUUAAAGUUCACGGUUACGGUUAUGGGUAACCGUUUAGACAAACAAACGGUUAUGAGUAUAACCGUUUAUCUAUGAAAUUUAAAUGAACGGUUAUGGAUAUUACCCGCGGCUAUAACGAAUAUCUAUCGGUUAUGAGUAUUACCCGCUGUUAUAAUGGGUAUCUAUUUACCUAUUUAAUUUAAUAUAUGUAAAAUUUUAAAAACUAAUCUUUAUUUUUAUUUUUUACUUUUGUAACGAAAAUCACCUUUGUUUAUAUAUUGUAAUAUUCAAUAUAUAAUGGUUAUAACCGGUUAUAACGGAUACUAUAUCUACCACAGGCUGUAUUCCAUUGCCGCGGUAUGUGCUUACCAGUGACUUCAAUUCAUCUUUGUUUAUAUAUUUUGUAUUGAGAUCAUAGAGCCUUCCCGGCAUGUAUCCGUAGCAAGGAAAGCUAUAAGGUGAAGCCUCAGUACAAGAAUUGUCAUAUAACACAAAAAACUUAAAACAAAAUCUGGUCUGGACUAGUGACAAGGUUCGAAAGAGAGUUUAGGACAGAUAAAUACCAUCAUCUGAAAUAGCAUGAGAGGGUGGAAAAAGCCGAGCAUUUGUGAUUCCAGAACUAGCUAGGUUUUGUACAGACUGCUUUAAAUUGAUACCCGUUAUAACGAUAUACUGGUAAGCACAUACCGCGGUUAUAAUGAAAAUUAUGAUAAUUUUUUUUUUUGUAAUUUUCAAGUUGUUAAAAAGAACAUGUAGACAGGUGAAAAAAUGGGUAAUUGGAUAAAAAAAUGAUAAACGGGUUCAAAAACGGGUAAACGGUUAUGGUUAAAUGAGUACACGGUUAUGGGUAUGGUUAACCAUUUAUAAACGGUUAUGGGUAUGGGUAUAACUGUUUAUGCAAUUACCCAACAGGUAAACAGUUAUACGGGAAUGAACAUAAACGGUUAUGGGUAAAUAACCGCGGUUACCCGUCUGCCAUAACCGUUGCCCAUCCCUAAGCUGAACUGAAUUAAGCUAGAUUAAACUAGACUAAUUUAAUAAAAGUUUUGGUGCAUUGUCGAACUAAAAAGUAAGAGAAUAAAAAUUAGUAAAAAGUGAACCUGAACAAUCACAACAGAGGAAUUUCAGUCAACAACAUGGUAUAUUAAUCAACCCACAAUCAAAUCCUAAUUUGCAAAAUCAAUGAAUUCACACAAACUUUUAUGCUUCAAAGAUUCAUGUUAUCAGAAAAAAUCCUUCAAAGAUUUAUUUCAACAUCAAAAUCAAUGAAUUCACACAAACUUUUAUGCUUCAAAAAAUCAUAUCAGGUAAAAAAAAAAAAACCUUCAAAGAUCAAAGAAAGAAUGACAUGAUGAAAAUUUCCCAAAUCUAAAGGAAAUUUCCCAAAAUAUGAAGGAAAAUUACUGAAAUUCAACAUGAAAAAACAGAAAUGGAAGAUAUUCUGAAAACCCAACCCCAAUUAGAGUUGUAAAUUUCAAAUAAAGCAAAAUCUAGGGUUUAAGAUGGCAAUCCAAUCCACUAACCCAUCAAAAGAAAAUUAACCCAACUACAAUUCAACAGAGAUCGACAUGAAAGACCAGAAAACCCAAAUGAAUUUAGAAAUCAGAAAGCUAGGGCACCCAAAUCCAAGGCAAACUUGUUCGUCUUCUUUUCCUUCAACUGCUAGGACUCCGAUUUCAUGACGCGACAGAAAGCACCAAACGAAGACCAUCGCCAGCAAUACAGGUCCGUUGUCGAUUGUUUAUAUGUUGGGCGACUACGAGGUGGUGCGACAAGGAAGGAGAAGGGAAGGGGCGAAGGUGCGAAGGCACGAGGGAGCAAGCUACUGCUACGGUUGAUGUGCGAAUGUACGACGGAGAAGGGAGAUCACGGGAUUACAAGGUGGCUUAGCAGUUCUCUCCGAAUCGGGGGGGGGGGGGGUCUCGCUAAGACCUAUUAGCAAGGGAACUUAGUCCAGUGAAAGACAGUAAGUGCAAACAAACACACCUUUAAGGGACCAGAGUGAUCUUGGACCAUCCAAAAGCUUGAAUGAGUGGCCAUGUGAACCACCCAAGUCUGGGCUGUGGGGGAGGAGGAGCAGUCAUGGCUGCAAAUUAAGUUACAAGUUCUGCUGCAGCCAAAGGAAAGAGGGAGAAGAAACAAUUUUUUCUUAGAUCCUCCGGCGGAUCUGGAGACUGCUUCAUGUCCUCAUAAAUGUUCAUUGCAUCUGCAGGACAACCAGAGUUCAAAAAACCCCUGACAACUUCUGUAUAUGUUUGAGAAUCAGGAAACAGAUCCUCCUUUUUCAUGCUGUCGCACAGUAGCAUAACAUCCUCCAUUUUCUUAGAUCUUGCUAAUGCAAUAAUUAAGUCCUAAUACAGAUAGACAUCCGGUUUGUACCAGUCUUGCUUUCGAAUAACAUUAAAUACCCCAAAAUUCACCAAGUUGCUUGUAAUUCCAAUAAACAAAGACAUAUAUGUUCAUUGCAUAUGUAGUUAAACAGAAAUAAAGAUGUGCAGUCUAGAAGGAAUUCAUUCCAAAUAAUGGUCUAAAUGUACUCUGAUAAACAAGUCUGCAAAACCACAGCAUACCUGUAAUGUGGUUCGGCAUUUAACACAGGAAACAACGAAUAAGGAAAGCACCAUUGUGUAUUUGAAGAGUUGGGUUUCAACAUUUCACCAUUGUGCAAAACCACAGCAUACCUGUAAUGUGACUCUCAUGAAUGAGAUUUCAACAUUUCACCAUUACUAGCUAUUUCCAAAUCCAAAGAGCUGUCCUAGCACCUAUAACUACAAACAACAACAACAACAACAACAAAGCCUUUUCCCACUAAGUGGGGUCGGCUAUAUGAAUCCUAGAACGCCAUUGCGCUCGGUUUUGUGUCAUGUCCUCCGUUAGAUCCAAGUACUCUAAGCCUUUUCUUAGAGUCUCUUCCAAAGUUUUCCUAGGUCUUUCUCUACCCCUUCGGCCCUGAACCUCUGUCCCGUAGUCACAUCUUCGAACCGGAGCGUCAGUCGGCCUUCUUUGCACAUGUCCAAAUCACCGGCCCUGAACCUCUGUCCUAGCACCUAUAACUACAAGUGAAAAAAAUGCCCGUCUUGAGUCAAAAGAUGGAUUUGGCCACGAAAACCACGUCACUCCGAUCGCGCUUUACCAUACACCAUGAACCUGCACUACUAACGGGAAGACCCAGAAACACUUAUACUAAAGCUAAGCAUUGCUUCUAAUACUGUAUUGACAAAGCAUUACUGAAGGUGCCCAAGAUCACACAUUGAGUCAGGCAUUCAACCAAAUACAUAGCGUGCAACCCACGGAGCCCCAUUUCGCAACGACUGUAAACUAACAACACAUAAGUGGAUUCACACAGCACAACUUCAACACCCAAAGUACAAAAAUUUCAGAACAAACCAGAAGAUCAAAUGCAAAACAUUCACAAAAUUUAAUCACAGAAAUUCAAUACCUUAAUUGCCAAAGCGACUUCUUCCUGGCGCUUGAGCUCAGUGAGAACAACAAUCAUAUCCAUCUUCAACAGUCUCAAAACGGGGGUAUUUACAAACUUCCCGAGCAUCUCUUCGUCGUCCUCGAACCGCUUCAAACCCGAGAUUACGAAAAGCGCUUCUUUGCCGAUCAGCUUUUUGACCCUCCAGAGCGGUCCUCUGGGCCUCCCGUCGUGAUACAGCCUCAGCCCACGAAUGGAUCUCCAGGACUCGAGUUCAAGUUCUGUGGAUUUUAGAAGCAUUGGGGUCGACUUGAUGGGCGUUGUUUUCAGGUUUUGAAGGAGUAUUGAAGAGAAAAAUGCGAACUUUGAUCGCGAAAAUGCACGAGUCGCCAUUGGAGGUUUGAUGAAGGGGACGAAUUGGUGAUCCGCAGUGAGGGUGAUGAAGGGAUCGAGUUGGUCAGUGAGACUGAUGCAGGUUUUGUUUGGGAAAUGAGAAGCUACUGCUGCUCCAAAUGAAAGAAGGAGAGUGGGGCGCUGGGGGUUUGGCAUAGGGCUUUACGGUCGUAGAUAGAAACCUUCUUAUGUUUUCAUGUUCCCGAAAAGAGAGAAAAAUUAAAAAAAUUUAAGUAUGUUAUUGCCAAUCCAACAUUCUCAAUUUCUUAUUAUACACUUGUUAUAAAUAUUUUUUUAUAAUUUAAAAAGUUUGAAGUGCACGAUAAAUUGUUUAUAAAUUGAAAUUGGCUUUAGUCCUUUGUUUUUACAAAAGUUGCAUUUUGCUCACAUUCCUAAUUUCAGAUAACCGUUAUAUUCUCUUUAAAAACUUGUAAUGAAUUUGUUUAAGUAACUAAGUUUACUUAUACAUUUAAUUAAAUCUUUAAAGAAAAGAAUAAUAGCCAAAUGAUUCAUAACAAAAUUACCGUUUAUUCCUUUAUCGAUAUCCUAUCAAUUAAACAAUUGUUGAAUUUCCUAUUUGUAUUCCCCAAUAUUUUAAUUAUUUUUCUUUUUCAUAAAGACUAAAUUAAAUUAUAGAUAAUCAUAGUUAGUAAAUAAACUCGUGACACGAUUUUAGAGGAAGAUAACAGUUAUCUUGCGUCAGGAGCGAGCAAAAAGACACUCCUCCUACAAACUCACCAACUAAAAAUGGUUUUACUUUAGAAAUACGGGAACUUUAACGAAAAGCUCCUGAUACUGUUCAUUUUAACGAAAAAUCACAUUUUUACACUAAAAUGUCAAUCCUGAUACUAUUCAUUUUACCCUUUAUUUUGCCUUAUUAUUAAAACUCAAAGUUUUCAAAUCAUUUUCAUUAAUUUUCCUUAGAAAUACACUCUCUUUAGUUAUUUUUAACCCAAAGCACCCUUAACUUACUAUUCAUAUUGUACUUCAUCGAAAAAAAUUAAAUUAGUGGUAUUUUGGGGAAAGAAGUAGAGAGGAUUCUCGCCGGAUCAUCGCGCGGAUUCUUUUUUGUGAGGAUUAUAAAAAAUUUCUAUUCAUAUUCACUCAUCGUAAAUUAUGUGGUUAGUUUUCGUUAAAUACGAUUUAUAUUUAAUUUUAAAUAAUAAUUUAUAAUAAUUUUUUACCGCACAAGUAUGUAAUUUUAGGAUCCGCAAGGAUUCUCGCCCGAAUGAGGAAGCUGUAUUUUAUUAGUCAUUGACCAACUCAGUUCCGCAAAAGAAACAGUUCCGACACACACAAAUGAUCUGAUUAGGAAAAUUGGCAACUAUAUACGCGAAGGCCAGGAUGUUUUGUUCAUCGGCAUCAUAGUCCUGUGAAAAAAGAAAGAAAAAGAAAUAGCAUGUCUGCUGCACUUGUGUGUUUAUUCACCAUCUUCUUCCUCUAUUACCUCUUCUGUUACCUGGCCAACCCUAUCCACCUCCAACUUCUGCCUCCGUCGAACCCACCUUCUCUCCUCCUCCAAUCUUUGCCUUCCUUGAACCCACCCACAACAUCUGCUUCCGUCGAACCCAUCCCCGUCUCCUCCUCCUAUAUCCUCCGUCGAGAAGGAAUGGAGUCAUUGCUCGACUUCAUGUUCAGUGGUGAAGGUUCAAGAAGGUAAAGUAUUGUGCUGUUUUCUUCACAAAAUCGGGGAGCAGAGAGUUAAGGGGCUGAUGAGCAGCGGUGGUGGAAGGUGCGGAGGAUGUGGGGGAAUUGGUGUUGGUUUAGGUACAAGUCCAUAGCCUUUUAGGGAAUUUUAAAGGAACAUUUUUUAGUACUGUUUAUUUUUAAUAAGAAAUCACAUUUUACAUUUUUUUAGUACUAUUUAUUACACUUUUAUUUAUUAUUUUUUAUUAAAAUUAAAUUUUUUUUAAAUUUUUCGUUAGUUUUUCUUAUAAGAGGUAUACGUUCAUAAAGUGACUGAUACAAUCCACAGCUAUAAACUAAAUCAAAUAUCUAGUAGGUAAACUUGAGGAUCGCUAAUUUUAUCUUGAUAAAUAAAACAUAUACGGAGGACUAUGAAUUUCAUUUUCUUAUAUCCAUCUUUCAACAUGAAUAUGGAAUAGCAACAGCUUUGAGAGGAUUUUUUCUAUGUAUGCUUAAACCAGUAGAUUCAGUCAUGUCUAAAUCCUGCCCACUUGCUCCGCUAGGCAAUUCCCAAUCGUAGUUGUGCACAACACUUGCUAAGGCAAUCUCAUUAAUUGCCAUGGCAAAAUGAAUUCCAGGGCACAUCCUCCUACCAGCUCCGAACGGAAUCAACUGAAAGUCAGUCCCUUUAUAAUCUAUCUCGCUAUUCAAGAACCUUUCUGGCUCGAAAUCUUCUGGUUUCUCGUAGACCUUGGGAUCCCUUCCAAUGUGCCAUGCGUUGAUCAUAACUUGUGUUUUGGCUUUAAUGUUGUAACCAUUUAUUUCCACGUCUUGGGUCGACAACCUGGGCACUAGUAAUGGAAGUGGUGGAUGUAAUCGAAGAGUUUCCUUUAUCACCGCCUUCAAGUAGUGCAUUUUAACCAAAUCAUCCUCCGUGGGUCCGUAUGUUUUGCUUCCGACUAUUCCCCUUACUUCUUUCUGUAAUUUUUUCAUGACCCUUGGAUGCCUUAAAAGCUCAGUCAUUGCCCACUCUAGGAAUGUAGAGGAUGUAUCCGUACCAGCAGCGAACAUAUCCUACAAGAAUGAAAUGUGUUGACUAAGACAUUAGCCUCUAACUUAUAAAGUAGAGAGAGAGAGAGAGAGAGAGAGAGAGAGAGAGAGAGAGAGAGAGAGAGUUACCAAGAUGAGAGCUUUUAUUGUAACUGUAUCAAUAGGAAUACCAGACAAGUUUUCUUUCUGAACUGCAAGCAAAACGUCGACAAAAUCGUUCUUGUCAUCAUCUUCACUCUUUGAACUACAUUUCAUAUGCUCUUGAAUAACACCAACUAUAAAGUCAUCAAACUGCUUAGCCACCUUGUCUACCUUGGCCACCAAACCAUUUACAUGGCGCACCCAAGAAAGCCACGGGAUAUAGUCCCCCAUGUCGAUAAUUCCCAAUAAUUCCAUAAACUCCUCCAAAAGCUCCGUAAACAUCCUCCCACCUUCUCCACCAUUGUGCGUCCUUCCCAGAGCCACUCUACAUACCACAUCAUUAGUAAGCCUGACAAAUAUUUCGCUUAAAUUCUGAAGUGAUGAUGACGAUUGCUUUAUGUUUCUGAUCAUGGAUAUGGUUUCCUCUUCUCUCACCGAGCGAAAAGACCGAACUCUUUUGUUGGUCAAAAGAUUUAAGACGCAUAUACUUUUUACCUGCCUCCAGUACUCACCAUAAGGAGCAAAUGUAACGUCGUUGUAGUUGUAUAGAAGCUUCUCAACGAUGGUGGACUUGGGACGGUUAGAAAAUGUGAGGUCGUGGGCUUUCAUGAUCUCACGGGCAGCCUCAGCUGAAGAUACAACUAGGACUGGGACACUUCCAAAGUGGAGAAGCAUGAGAGGGCCAUGGCGUUGUGAUAAGGCUUGAAACGAGCGAUGAGGGUGCAACCCUACUUGGUGCAAGUUCCCAAUGAAUGGGAGCUUCGGUGGAGAAGGUGGUGAAGGGGUUUUGUUGGUUGUUGUAGCGGAGGAGUACCAUCUGUAUAGGAGGAUGAGGAAAAUGGGCAGCAGAGUGAAGGCCAAAGGUUGCAAAAAAGAGGAGGUUUCACUCACCAUCAUCAUAGUUCUUCCUUCUACUCUAUAUUGGAAAAGAAAAUGUGUGUUGUGUGGUCUUCGUUUCUGGGUUUAUAUAAGUCAAGGUUAUCCCACUAUACAAUGUAAAGAGUGAGCAUGUGUGACUCUUUUACUUUCACAUUCUCCCAUUCUCUAUCAUGUGUGACAAAUUUCAAGCCAAACAAGUGCUAACACAAAUUAAGUGAUGUAGAGCAUGUGUGGCUAUUGGGCUUUACAUAGGGCAAUCUACUCUGAUACCAUAAAGAAAGUUGAUGUUCUAUCAUAAAACCAAUUAGCAAUAUGAGGAGUAGCUCAACGUCUUAUAAGUCCUUGCAAGAUUUCUCUUUUCAUUGCUGUUGAAUUGUUUUACCUUCAUAUCCUCACAUGCGUUGAGAACGAAUCUCACCUUGAUCAGAUUAGAGACUUCAUGGACUUAUAAAUAAAUUGGUCUCCUUUUAUUGGAUGAAACUUUUUUACCUUCACAUCUUCACACAGUUGAAAAUGAAUUCAUAUUAAUAGAAGAAGAAGCCUUGAACUUGUGUAGACUUACAAAUAAAUUGAGAUAUUCCCAACAUUACCAAUUAAUUUCAUAAAGAAACUUCAACUUUCUUUAUAAAAAUCACCCAUGAUUCUAUAAGUAAAAAAAAAAAAAAUACUAAUUGCUAAAGAAGCUUAGAUGCUAUAAAUAGGGAAAAGUUAGUACUGGUUAGAUACUAAGAUACUUUUAUAAAAAGUUGGUAUAAAAAAAGUUGAGCUCAAAAGGUGUUUGAUAAACACUUAAAAACAACUUAUUUUCACAAUUUCGGGUGAAAAAAAACUGAAAAUGUGAAGUAGCAAAAAUGAGUUUAUUCUCAAAGUACAGCAGAAACAUGUUUUUUCAAAGCACAACAAUACCUAACCUUUACUAGGGAUAUGAGAUGACACUAUUAAGUUUCGUAACUAUAAUACAAAAGAUUGCAGGAAUGAGGAAAUGAGAGAUAUUGAUAUUAUUGAUUUGCUUCUUUUCGUAGCUGUGUGUGUUACAAUUACACACAGAAUGCUAUUUAUAUAAAACGGCAUCCGUGACAAAAUAAUAUAUGAAAUGAUCGCUUCUUUUGAAAAACUUCGCAUAAUAACAAACUAAUACUGUAGCUUUUUUGAGAACUUAAGAUAAUAACAAAUAUAUUACUAUUCUAAAGUCUUCUCAGCGUGUGGGCAUUCACCCCACUACUAUUACAACAUUACAUAUAUAUUUGGAAGUUUUCAAAACGAUAUUUGUAAGGUUUUUUGCUUCACAAGAACAUAAAGGUACUUGGUCUCAAAUAGGCCACGUGUGAGAGGAAAUGGUACACAUGAUCUGCAGCUUUGAUUGAAAAGACAGCCAAUUUGGGAAGCCACAUUAAACUUAACGGACUCAAUUUUUUCUUAAACAUAUCCAUAUUUCUGAGCCUUUUGGUACUAGGCACGGACAGAUCUAUUAGAAUACACGUUUGUUACACCGAAUCAUCUUGAAUUAGAUUAGUUUUAGAAACUAAGUUGAACUGAUUUAGAUUAGAUUAAAUUGAAAUGAUUUAGUAAAGUAUUUGGUGCAGUGUCGUACUAAGAAGCAGUAUAAUAAAGAUCAGUAAGAAAUGGAAUUGAACAAUCACAACAAAGGAAUUUAAUACAAUAACAUGGUAUAUUAAUCAACCCACAAUCAAAUCCUAAAUUGCAAAAUACCCAUUAUUUAUAUAAUAGACACUAUUCAGUUUGGUUGGAGAAAAUGAUUAACAUAUGUAUGUAUCGGUCAGAUCGAAACCUAAAUAUAUUCUACACAUUGUAUACAAACACACAACAAAUAAUGUGAUUAUGUUAAUUGAAUGCCAGCAUAAGUAUGUAUCGACUAGAUCAAAAUUACGAAUUUGCUCUUACCAAAAAACCAGCAUAAGUAUGUUAUUAGAAAAAAUCCUUCAAAUAUUUAUUCCAACAUCAAAAUCAAUGAAUUCACAAAAACUUAUAUGCUUCAAAGAUUCAUAUUAGCAUCAUAUCAAGGAAAAAAAAACCUUCAAAAAAACCUUCAAAGAUCAAAGAAACGAAUGACAAGAUGGAAAUUUCCCAAAUCUAAAGGAAAUUUCCGAAAAUAUGAAGGAAAAUCACUGAAAUUCAACACGAAAAACAAAAAUGGAAGAUAUUCCGAAAACCCAACCCUAAUUAGAGUUGCAAAUUUCAAAUGAAGCAAAAUCAGAAACAAAGGUGGCAAUCCAAUCCACUAGCCCUAUCAUGUCCCGAACCCGACAUACGUCCAGGAUCGACACAUGACGUCACCAAAUACCCGUAUCUCAACCUACCCCGCAUCCGAGAUAUGUACAUAGCAUAAUUCAAGAUCCAAAUCUCAUAGAAAUUUUUGUAUAUUUUAUGGCUGCAUCUAACCUCGUCGUUAGACUGCCCACGUACCCUCAAUAGGGAUCAAGCCAUUUGUAGUUCAUUGUUUCACUACAAUCGAAUAUCCAUCACAUAAAACGUUUUGUCCCAACAAUAUACCACAAUGCAUAUUAUGCGAUAUAUUAAAGAACAACGACGAAACACAACAUAUUUUCUAGCCAUAUUUAUCAACAAGUCUAAUCAUAACAAAUACAAUGAUAUCCAACAUAACAAUCCCACAUGACGAUUAACAUUUCCACUUCAUGCAUCACAUAAAUCAUCAUGUUUCACAUAUCACCACAAUUCAUAGUAUGCAACAUCUCAAAGAACGGUCAACGAAGCACAAUGUUAUUAUCUAGCCACAUUGGUCAACAAGUCUAAUCAUAAUGACAACAAUCACAACCAACAUCAUUCACAAUCACAUCAAUCAAUAUCACAUAUCAUAGACCGAAAUGCAGGACUAGAGUGACACAGUUUGGUCGAAGACUACAUUUCUAGAAAAGGGGAUUUUGGAUCAUCCAACAUAAUCAAAGCACCAAAGGGGACUCUGGGCCAUCACUCAACAGAAUCCAAAUCAAGAUACGAUUCUGGACCAUCACUUAACGGAAUCCAAAUCAGGAUACGAUUCCGGACCAUGACUUAACAGAAUCCAAGCAGAACUUAGUUCCGGACCACUCAACAGAAUUGAACGGAAGUCCAAGAAGCAUAACUACGACACGAAGGAACAAGACAUGAUUCAAGUUAGUCAAUUCACGAAGACUAACGAAACGAAACAAUAUCGAGCAACAAAUCCCCAUCAUAAUGGAUUAUCGGUCUAUUACCAGACCUCACAUCACCCAAGCAAUUCAAUAAGAAUUUCAAUCACAUGUCACAACCAUUUCCAAUACACAAGUCAAAUCACAUUUCACUACAUCAUACCAAUCACUAAAUUUCCAACAUUAUAUCUCAAUCCAUAGCUUGUAACAUAACAAGGAAUCACGAAGCACAAUAUUAAUAUUUAAUUACGUUAAUCAAUUAGUGAGAUAGCAUAUCAUUUCACGAAUUUAAUUAAAGAACCCUACAUAAUUCCCUACUUGGGUUAUGAAUAAUAACAUGGUAAUUCUAAUUUGUAUUCACAAGAUCCAUUGUGGGUAAUUCUCAUUCACUCGAAUCUAGGGUUCUAGACUAAUCUUAUGGGAAUUAGUGAAAGUAAGGAUUCCGGACCACUCAACGGAAUCCAACAACCUCGGGUUCUAGACCACUAAACGGAACCAAACUAUCAAGCGGUUUCUCACAAUAUACUCAGACCUGUUAUAGGUAAAAUCAAUGCCUACAUCAUGGAAAUGGUGCACUGGCCAAACGGAACUUAGAUAAGCUGCGGAGCUUGGGUGAGUGACAAUAAUUCAAUAUGAGAUAUUCAAUAAAAACAUACCAUCGAUCACAAUCUAUAAACAUCAAGUAUAGAAUCAUGCUUUAUGGAAUCAUAAUCAAGUCAUUGAAAACUCCAUAGGAGUCACCCAACAUCCAACGGCUUUUCCCAUUCAACCAACAAAGAUUCCCAAAAACCAUCAUUCAUAAGUGCAUUAAAAACUAGGGCUAGAGGGACGUGGUUCGGCUGAAGCCUAUAUAAGUAACCAAAUAAGAAGUGCCCCCCCCAAUGCGAAUUAACUAAGCAGAACCACUAGUGACCCUCCCCAAUGCGGAUUAACCAAGCAGGGUCAAGAUAAUCAAGUAGGUAGUGAUCACCCAAUGCGGAUAUACCAAGCAUGAUCACUCCUAAAAUGCGUAUGGUCCCCCAAUGCGGAUAUACCAAGCAGGACCAUCAACGUACAACUACUACAUGGUGUAGUAAGAUCAACACACAACCCACGUACCCUUAUCUCAUCCAUUAUGAUUUACAUCGUAAUCACUUGCACUAUCAACUUCUCAUGACCACUAUCUUAUCAUACAAGCAUAAAAGUUCUACAUAAACUUCUCAUAAGAUUUUAGGUUCACAUCGUCAUAAAAACAAUCAUAUACAUCAUACUAAUCAUAUCUAUCUAACCACAUUUCAUAAACGUCUCCAAGCUACAGUCGAUUCACAAUUAAUAAACACAGAUUGAUGCUAAAAAAAUAAAGAAAACAAUUCAAUAGAAAGUACAUUUAAUAAACAAGUAUAACUCAAUAUGGUGCCGCUAAUACAUAUAUCGAGACACGUCAACUGGACACGACACGUCAUCGUGAUGAGCCAACUAAGCUCCAUCAAGCCUCAAUAACAAACUAGAGAUAAGCGACACCCUAUAGUAGAACACGUUGACUAGAACAUCAACCGUCGAUAAGGUAGGUCCAUUAAGGUCAACAACCUAACGUUAUUCAAUCUGGAAGAUCUGUACAUCGGAUUUUUGAUCUGUAAGUUCUCAAAGGUCCAACAACUGAUAACUAGAGUGUUCACAAAAUUGUACAACGAACCAACGAUCGGAUUGUCAUCAAUCACACAAAUAAGUGGCGGUCCAAUUUGAUCACCACACCAAACAAUUGAAAUUCGGGAAACCAAGCUAGAUAUAGGUUCACAGGGUCACUAAAAGGUAUUUGGUACUUAGACAACACUCGUGGACGGUCCCACGCACUGCCACACGUGGGUUAGUCAAGGUGGAGGGUUUAUAAACCCCAAAUUUUCAACAUUAACUAAAUAAGCUCAAAUUUACGUGGUAGCUAGAGCUCAGCCAGGGAAACACUUUUCACAACUAGGCCGACGACAAAUUCUAACCGGAAACCGCCUAAAUUCACCGAUGAAAACCGAAUUUCUAAGGUUCUACACACCCAACUCUAAAAUGAAUACGAAAGCACAAAAUAAGCAUGCCAACUUGAAGAUUAUGAAGAGUAGAUGAAGUUUCAUACCUCACUUGAAGGAAAUGGUUGUCGGAAUCGCCGGAAAAAUGACAAAAUCGUCGGAAAACCCACGGUAUUUUGCUGCCUUGAACUGGAAAAAUGGAUAUGAAAAUGGAAAAUCUAACACUACAGAGUUGUAGGGCUUGUCAAGAGCUUUCCAUGGACACCAAGAUCACCCAAAACGGAGAUCGGAUGAAGGAGAUACAAGCGGGUCAAGUUUGUGGUUUUAUGGGUUGAAAACGCCCCAAAACGGGUAAAAAAAAAACAGACCCCUCCUUCCUUUUUUUUUUUUUCCAGAAAACUCCACCUUUCUAAUUGGUCCCUCCCUCUUUUAUUAAACUCCCUUAACCUUUAACCCACAUGAGAGAAUUACAUAAUUCCCACAAUCUAUAGUUCACAAUUUCAAACGUCCGUAACUAUACCAUUAUAACUCGGACUCGCAAACGGCUUUCGCCUAUGCGCUCGUGGCUUCGAGACCUAUUCGAAAACGUUACUUGUGAUCUCAAAAGGUCAAUGAAUUUUUUAUAAUUACCUUCCAAACUUCAAACUUCGUAACUAAUUUAAUUAAAAUCUAAAUCCAAAUAAAUUAAUAUAAUUUCUCAAAAAUAAUAUAAAAUCUCAAUAAUACAAAUAUGUAGAUUAUAAUAGUGAAAUCCAGGAACGAGAUUUCACAAGCCCAGCAAAUGAAAAUUAACCCAACUACAAUUCAACAAAGAUCAACAUGAAAGACUAGAAAACCAAAACGAAUUUAGAAAUCAGAAAGCUAGGGCACCCAAAUCCAAGGCAGACUUCUUCGUCUUUUUUUCCUUCAAUUGAUGGGACUCCAAUUUCACGAUGCAGCAGAAAGCACCAAACGAAGACCAUCGCCAGCGAUACAGAUCCAUCAUUGAUUGUUUAUAUGUUGGACAAUUACAAGGAGGUGCGAUAAGGAAGGAGAAGGGAAAGGGCGCAGGUGCAAAGGCAACGAGGGAGUAAGUUGCAGCUGCGCGGUUGAUGUGUGAAGGUACGAAAGAGAAGGGAGAUGACAGGAUUAGAAGGUGGCUUAGUAGUCCUCUCCGAAUCGGAGGGUCUUGCUAAGACCUGUUAGUGAGGGACUCAGUCGAGGCGAGUCCCUGCUAAUCCCACUAAACUUAGUAUGGGUAGGGAACAAACUCAAGGUUGGACUAAAACUUAGUCUAGUGAAAGACUGUGAGUGCAAACAAACAAACCCUUAAGGGAUCAAAGAGGUCUCGGGACCACCCAAAAGCUCGAAUGAGUGGCCAUGAGAACCACCUAAGUCUGGGCUGUGGGGGACGAAGAGCAAUCAUGGUUGCAGAUUAAGUUACAAGUUCUGCUGCUGCCAAAUGAAAGAGGGAGAACAAACAAUUUUUUUAAAUUACUUGGCCAAAACGACGUCAUUUUGAGCCAAAUCAAUUUUCUUUUCAAAGGAAUAUGAUAAUUUUAUUGAAAUGGAACUUAAUGAGAAUAUAUUUCAUGGUCAAGAAGCUCCCUAAUGACAUGAACAUCAAGAGGUUCUUCAAACCAACUUACUGAGACACCUCCUACUAAACUUCAUUUAGCAAGGCAAUGAGCCGCACUAUUACAUUCACGAGGAAUAUACAAUAUUGUGCACUCCAAGAACUCCACCAGAAGCUCUUGAAUAUCAGAGACAAUGAAGCCAAUAUUAGAGAGCUCUACGAGAACACCCUUGCACGCCUCCACAGCUUCGAGGGAAUCCAUCUCCACCUGCACUCUCAAGAAACCAAAACGCAUCGCAAGCAUGAGCCCUUCUCGGAUUGCCAGCAGCUCAACCUGUUCCACCAAGAAACAACUCUGAAACCGCCAGAUACCAGCAACCAUGAACGCCCCAUUUAUACCUCGGAUCUCUCUUCCAACUCCACCGACACCCUCCUUCACCUUCGCAGCCCCACCCCAUCGACAUUUAAUUUAAACUAUCCAUCCCUAAGGGCCACCCAUCUCAGUUGCUUGGGUGGCUUUACAUGACUGGGCUGUAGAUUAGCCUACCUAAACUCCUGCUGCCAGCUGAGAGUACGCUGGGCAACCUCCAUGGGAUCCGAGGCUUGUCCAUCCCAUAAAAGCUUAUUCCGUUCCGUAUUACUGCAGCCUCCUAAACUUGGAGAUUGGCAGUACCAAGAUACAAAGGGUACAAAAACCACAAUCAAUCAUAUGUGCUCAUCUUUGUCCACAUAAUCAGGUCAAAAGUUUACAUGCCUACAAGAACAUGUACAAAAUGUGACAAGUUACGUUCCAAGAACUCCGAUCUUUGAUGCUCUAAAGAAAGAUAACAAUUUUACAUGUAUGGGAUAAACCACCUAAAGGGUUUAGCAGGCAAUCCAUUACCUUAUAAUCAGUUGGGAUACAACGAACCCCUCCAAUGUAUAACAUCUGUGUGGAGAGAAGCGCAUGCAAAAUUCUACAACAGAUUGAAGUAGGAGCAAAGCAUAGAAUGCAGACCUCAGCCGCGCUUGCCAAAUAUCUCUUCCGGAGGAUCGUACACAUGCUGCUCGGGAAACAGCUCCUCAAAGUCUUGCUUGACUCUGUUUCUCAAAAGGGGGUGUGGCAGAUGUCCCUUCAACAAAAUCCGGAAUGGCAGCUCCUCCGCUGGAUCUGGAGACUGCGUCAUGUCCUCAUAAAUGUUCAUUACAUCUGCAGGAUACCUUAUUAAUCACUGUAUAAUUUUUAAAGAAGGUACAAGAGUUGCCUGGCAUCUUGUUCCGUGUAAUCACUUGAUGCAUCUUGAUAGAGAUUUUACUACACACGCAAAAGGGCUAAAAACUCCUACAAUACUUGUAAGAAUGACAAGGUUAUUAUAGUAUAAACAAAUCUCGCAAGAUCGUUCACCACAAGAAUUAUUAAAUAAUUUGAAGCAAACCAAAUUCCAAUUAAUUAUUGUAAAAUAGAAUACGAGAUGAUUGAUUUUUAUGACCUAAUUUAAUAAAACGAAUUUAAUUAAUAAAACAAUCUGCAAUAUUAAAGCUGAAAGAAAAAGAAACAGUUUUUUAAAUACCAAUUUAUAAAAGCACUAGGGUUCCCCCAUCACUUACCAAUCCUAUGCAUUUUUACCAAUUACUUAUUAUCUACACAUGCCACUUUGAAGGUUAGGUUUUCGUAAUAUAUAUCCUACUUGGAACCUCCAAAUAGAACGUAUAUCUAACAUGCAAUCUGUCAGAACGUUCGGAUCAAAUAUAAACAUGAGAGACUUAUUAAGUUUUAUGAAAACAUUUUGAAAAAUCAUGCAACCCUUAAGACGUGAUGUUCAUCUUAAGUGAAAUUACAAUUAUUAAUCACAAGAAACCAACGCUAAUUUCAAGGAAUUUUCCGACCAAAAUUACAUCAAAUUACUUUUCUAAAGAUCCUAAUGGUGAUCAGGCAUUAAGACAAUUAGAUAGUUUUAAUCACGGUAAUUAAUAAUUCAAAGUAUGCAUUCAAUCAAUCAUAAGCAAUUAAAUAAAAAUUACAUAUUCAUACUAAGGCUCAAAGCUUCGCCCUAGCAAAACGGAUUAGUUAUGCAUACUCAUAAUAAAAAUCAAAGAAAAUAUCAUUAACUAGAAAAAGAAUGAAAACACAUUUUCGGUAAAAAGUCCGAAAUUCUCCAAAGCUUGCUAAAUUCUCUCAAUGUCGCGUCAUGAACCCUAAUGGCUAAAAACCUUAUUUAUACUACCCCAAAUUAAAACCCUCCAAGAAAAGGCUUUCUAAAAACCAGGAAAUAAAUAAUAAAAUGAUAGGUAGGAAUAGGGCUGGUUCAGUAUGGGAUACCGAACCGAAAAUGACAUACCAAAUCCCGAACCGAAAAUUUUCGGGACGAGAAUAAGAGGACCGAUCCCAAACCGAAACUUCGGGAUUCCCGAAUUUUGGUAUUCCCAAAAAAAUUUCGGUAUUUCGGGAUUUCCCGAAACCGAACUUGCAUUGAAAUCCAAAUCAACUAAUUGAAAUCGAAAACAUUCGAACCUGCAUGAAAAACCCAAACUGAAAUCAGAGAAGUGACAGUGAAUCAGUGAAGAUUGAUGGGAGAUAGAGAGACAGAGUGAAGAGAUAGUUCGUCCUCCUCCUGACCCGAGCCCCCUAAUUCGAAACCCUAAUCCCCAAUUCGAAACCCUAAGCCCCAAUUCGAAACCCUAAUUUGAAACCCCACAUAGAGAAUCAAUGGAGAGAAUCGGAGGUGGGGAUGAAGCCGUGAUGUGUGGUGGUGGCCGGAGGGGAGAGAGUUCGUCGGAGUGAGACUGUGAGAGGGUGGUGGCUGCUAGGCUUCGAAUUCGAGAAUGAGAGACAGAGAGAAUCUGAGACUGAGUGAAGGGCCAAAGAUGAGAAAUGAGAGAGAGUGAGUAUGGAUGUGUCGGCUUGGGUUUGAAUUGAGUUGAAGGAAUGUUUUGGUGGCUUCGCCUUUCUGGGUUGCAAAGCAGAUGGAGAUAAUGAGAGAGAGAGAGAGAGAGAAAGAGAGAGCGCAGCAGACAACACCCAUGUGCUUUGAUAAAACUUCAAGCGCCAGGCACACAAUCAGAUCCUUAUCCCCACACUUAAGUUAUUCUAAUAAUAUAAAUAGGCCAUAUACAUAUAUUCCAACAUAUAUAUAACAAUAGGGUUUAAAGUUCGGUUCGGGAUGGGAAUACCGAACAAUUUUAAGUGUGAGACCGAAUCCCAUACCGAAAAAUUCGGGAUCGGUUUGGUUUCGGUACCAAAAUUUUCGGGAUUUUCGGUAUGGUUUUUUUCGGUUUGGUUUCGGUAUGGUUUCGGUAUGGUUUCGGAUUUUCGGUAUUUUUUUCCACCCCUAGGUAGGAAUUACAUUCCCAUUAUGACUAGGAAAUCUGCCCAACACAAAAAUAACCACGUUUCUAGACCUUGAGGGCUCCAAAACAGGCCCAAAACAACUCAAACUAAAGAUUAGGACCUCCUCUUCAAGUUCCAAGAAGAGCCCAAUUCCAAAAUCCAUCAUCUUCCAGCCCAAAAAUUACAAACAAGCUCUGCAGCCCAAUCUACCAGCAUUGCAGGCUGGACAUAAAUUAAUUCAUCACGAUCAGAUGCUUCAGGAUAAAAUUAUGAAAUUUUGAUAUAACCUUCUUAACAGAUUCACGAACCCACUCCAAUUAGAAUCACUCAAAAAUUCCACCGUCUGAUUACUUAAUGCUCCAAAAUACAUAGCAAAGCAUUAAAAUCUCAUCAAAAUAAUAACUAAAAUAUACCAAGAAUAGGGAAUAAUAUAUAUUAUAAAAUCGACUCAUUACAUCUUUUUCAUGAACAAGAGGAAAACUGGUUCCAUUUAAUGUGAAACUGUUCACAGAAUUCUCCCGUUUGUGUAAACAUCAUUGUAAACAAUAUACCAGAAAAUUAGAAAUAUGUAGGCGUAUCGGUACAAGAAUGAAGUUGAUGAUACGUACAACUAUUGUGUUUCUAUUUCCUAUAACAACUUUGUCAAUGAUCUGACGAUCCACGCUUCUUGCUGCAACUGUAAGCAUCCAUGGUGCUACAUUUGAAACAGUAGCACCUGAAGUACCAUUACUACCCGCAGCUUUGAUGUCAGUAUCCCUUUCUCCAUUGCAUGAAAAGCACCAAUUGCAAUAGGAUCCUCAUCAAAAUCUUUUAUAGAAGAAAAAGCAAUUGAAAUUGAAAUAAUGUCGACUCCAUCAGCAAUAGCAUCGUCCAAAGCAGCCAACGUUUAUGUAUACUGCACGAUUGUUCCUGGGAGCACACCUUAUAUGCUGCAAUUUUAGCCGCGGGAAAACCUCCUCUUGCACUAAUCCAUAAAAUAUUACAUCCUUUACAGCGUUCCCUGCUAUCAUUGAAUUACGGACUUGUUUUAUGUAAAUUUGGUUGUUAAACAUCCACUGGAAAAUGCAAAUCUCAUCACUCGUGUUCAGCUGGUGUAUACAACAAUUGGACUUCUGACAUUGUGAGUACCGUCAAACCAAACCAGCGCCGCAGACAUUUGUAACCAUUUGGCAAAUCGCUUCCAGCAACAGUCAUAUUAAAAGUCUUCUCCUCAUUCAGGGACUGGAAGGAAAGGUACAACCUUGAUCACAAACUUGGAAUAUGAGAAGAUUUUGGCUUUGUAAGUGGAGUUUGCAAGGCCAACAUUUUUCACUCUUCUCUGAAAAUCAACUGUGAAAGGUUUCACUGCUUCAACUUUAGCUCCCAUUGAAGGGUAAUUAUGAUCCCUUGGUGAUCCCUUAUCGCCUGUAGGGCAUGUGCUGUUAUCGCCUGCUAUGAGUUUUAACUUUGCCUUCAUCAUAGAUUGAGCAUAGCAAGUUUAUGUAAUCUUCUUUAAAAGCGUCAUACACUAGCCCUGGGUCUAUUGCGCUUACAGGAUUGAUAUGUCCAGAUCCAUAACCAAAUUCACCACUCGGAACAUUGGUGUUGGUAUCAUUCAUGGGCAAAGCUACAAGCACAGAAAAGAUUUUACAUCAGUAUGAAUUAAGCUUUCUGAUAUAUUGAAGAGUAGCAACUCUUAUUGCUGAAACCAACUCAGCUAGGAAUGGGAUGUUUUAAAACGUACACUAACAAUGCGAUUAAUCAAGAAAUAGUAAAUACCAGUAGUCAUAAGAGAUGAUUUGAUGGCUGCCGGAGACCAAUCAGGGUGUAAGCUUUUAACAUAAGCAGCUACACCAGCAGUGUGUGGGCAAGACAUGGAGGUUCCCGACAUUAUAUUGUAUUUAGCGCGCCUCUGGUCUUCAGGAACAGUACAGACAGAAAAAUCGGGCAAGUAUGCAAGACAUGGAGGUGCACUGAUACCUGGCUGAACACAUUAGAGUGUGUAAAUGUUACUACCAUAUUCGUGAAUCUAAUAGAUAAGGAUUGGUUAAUCGAACACAUGUACCUUGAUAAUAUCGGGUAAAAGUUUAUUCGGUCCACGUGAAGAGAAGGUAGCGACACAAGGUGCAGCAGAAUCUAUUAUGUGCUCACUCUUUAAUAUGGUUCCUCGAGGAUCACUAUAAAAGAAGAAGAGAAAGCAUUAACAAUUUAAUGAAAUCGAAACAUGUUGAGAAAAUGCCCUUAUCAGUAUCCCAAAAGAAUCUAUACCUAGUAGAGUUCAUGUAGGAUAUUAUCGCACCAUACUCUUCUAGGUGUAAAGUCGUUGCAGCUAGAGGGAAGAUCAAAGAAAAAUCAUCAACACGGCGAAAAUCAUAUAAAACGGAACCUAGUGCACCAGCGUCAUAUGCCUCUCUAUUUCCAAUCUCCUGAUCACAUAGCACUAUCUUUCCCUUUACUAAACCACUGUCCAGGCAACCAAAUUCGCAUCGUCUGCAAUUCAACCAGUCAGACUCUAGAUCUUACUAAUGCACUUUUAGUGUUUGAAGUUAAAUGAAAUUAGCACGAAAAUUACCCAGCUCUCGCCUCUGUGCAGUUACUUGAAACAUUUUUUCCAUGUACCAGAGGGAAGCUUGUUCCGUUUAAUGUGAAUGUGUUAACGGAAUUCCCCUGUUUUAUGGAAAGAUCAUUAAAUUGUAUAUAGCAGAAAAUCUCAGUAUAAUAUAGAAAAUUCCUUAGCAUUAUUUAAUUUUAAGGAUGAGGGAAAUUGAUGACACUUACGAGUACUGUUGUUCCAUUUCCAAAAACAACCUUGUCAGUGAUCCGUCGAUCUAUGCUACUUGCUGCAACUGUCAGUAUCCAUGGAGCUAGACUUGAUACAGUAUUAGCUAAAGGACCAGUGUUGCCUGCAGAGUUUGCGGUUAGUAUCCCUUUCUCCAUUGCAUGGAAAGCACCAAUGGCAACAGGAUCCCCAUAAAACUCUUGUACAGAACCAACUGAAAUAGAAAUUGUAAUGAUGUCGACUCCAUCAGCAAUAGCAUCAUCAAAAGCAGCCAAAAUUCGUGUGCCUUACACCCACGAGCAGUGCAGACUUCAUAUGCUGCAAUUCUUGCAGCAGGAACCCCUCCUCUUGCAGUCCCUUGUGCUAGCCCAUAAAAGCUUACGUCCUUUACAGCAUUCCCAGCUGCUGUUGAGGCAGUGUGGGUUCCAUGGCCUGAUGCAUCCCUUGCAGAGUCUUCUAUGUAAAAUCGAGCUCCAACGAGCUUGCUAAAAAAUAGCAUUAAUUUUAUUAUUGAGGGAGAAAAACUUAACAAGUCUUGCAAGAAAAACUGUUUCAAAAAUUUCGAAAUUGAACGUAUAAAGGUAAAUAUCAUAAAGUAGGUAUAUGAUUAAGUUUCCUAUUACGAAAACAAAAAUAAUAUGAAAGUAUAAAUUUGUCUAUAUGCAUAUUGUUGUCAGUAUAUAAAAAUUUGAUGGUUGGAUUUGAAGUAUUUUGACAUGCUUUCAAUUCAAUAGCACAGUUUGUGUAAAUCUUUUUAUCAAAGAAUUAGGUAUGCUUGAAGCAACAAUAUUGUGUCUAUGUCAAAGGGCCCAGGAUAAUAGCUAGUCUGGUAAAAGAGAGAGCAGCACUUAGAGACAAGAGAGGAUUGAUGGUUACACCAAAGAAGGAUCGAGAAUCGAGUGUCUAUGCAAAAUCGGGCCAAUACCUUGAGAGGGUGAGAAUGAAAGAGUGGGAAAUGGAAAAGAGUUGAGAGCUUGAGUGAAAUGUGAGUUGUGCACAGUACAUGUAAUCCUUGGUAGAUAGUUGAUUGUAAAGCUCUCUUUCCCAUUGACAUAACACAAGCUAUAUAUUUGAACCAUUUAAAUUUGUGUUCUCACUCCCUUUCUAUCUUCUCUUAUUCCUUCAGUUUUGUCAAAUGAUUUGUGUGGAGUUUUGUCGAAUGAUUUAUGUGGAGUUUUGUUUUCGCGACAAUUGGUAGUGUGAAUAUUGAAGAUUUUGAAUUGAGGGCACCUACUUGUUGCACGUAAAAUUCUGUCCACCUUUACAAGCACCUUUCGACUUCAUGGGAGGAAGUCCAAAACCUUCGUCUCUAAAACUCGCAGAUUCCUGCGCAAUUCCACUGUCAAUGACACCAACAACAUCAUCACUCUCAACAAUGGCACUUCUAUUGAUUUUCUCAUUGAAGCCCAUAAAGUCCCAAGAUCUCUUAGUUUGAAGUUCGAGCUGGUUUGGUAUUGCUGUGCUUUAAAAAAAACUGCUGUGAGAAUAAGCGGCCAUGAAAUAAAUCAGCAGAGUGUUUGGUAAACUUUUUUUGUAAAAGUGCUUUUGGAAAAAAAAUAAACAAUCUGAUAGUGGGUCUUUUCAUUAAAGGAGCACUGUAACUCCGUGUGCUUUGAAAAAAAGCCAGUUUUCCAAAGCUGCAAAUAGCAGCUUCAACUUUGUCCUUUGAUUUCAGCUUAUUCUCACAGCAGCUUCCAAAAUAAGCAUUUUUUUUUCAGUUUACCAAACACUUAAAACCCUCACAACUUUUUUUCAUGGGUGUUUUUUGUAAGAACCUCACUCCCAAACCACCCCUUCGUAAGUUCUGCUUGGAAAGACGGACACUGCUAUUUCCUUCAUAUCUGUAGUUCGCAGUUUAUAAACAACAACAACAACAAAGCCUUUUCUCACUAAGUAGGGUCGGCUAUAUGAAUCCUAAAACGCCAUUGUGCUCGGUUUUGUGUCAUGUCCUCCGUUAGAUCCAAGUACUUUAAGUCUUUUCUUAGAGUCUCUUUCAAAGUUUUCCUAGGUCUUCCUCUACCCCUUCGGCCCUGAACCUCUGUCCCCUAGUCACAUCUUCGAACCGGAGCGUCAGUAGGCCUUCUUUGCACAUGUCCAAACCACCGUAACCGAUUUUCUCUCAUCUUUCCUUCAAUUUCGGCUACUCCUACUUUACCUCGGAUAUCCUCAUUCCUAAUCUUAUCCUUUCUCGUGUGCCCACACAUCCAACGAAGCAUCCUCAUCUCCGCUACACCCAUUUUGUGUACGUGUUGAUGCUUCACCGCCCAACAUUCUGUGUCAUACAGCAUCGCCGGCCUUAUUGCCAUCUUAUAAAAUUUUCCCUUGAGUUUCAGUGGCCUACAACGGUCACACAACACGCCGGAUGCACUAUUCCACUUCAUCCAUCCAGCUUGUAUUCUAUGGUUGAGAUUUCCAUCUAAUUCUCCGUUCUUUUGCAAGAUAGAUCUUAGUUAGUGAAAACGGUAACUCUUUGGUAUUUCCUGAUCUUUGAUCCUCACCCCUAACUCAUUUUGGCCUCCCUUUGCACUGAACUUGCACUCCAUAUAUUUUGUCUUUGAUCGGCUUAGGCGAAGACCUUUAGAUUCCAACAUUUCUCUCCAAAGGUUAAGCUUCGCAUUUACCCCUUCCUGAGUUUCAUCUAUCAACACUAUAUCGUUUGCGAAAAGCAUACACCAAGGAAUAUCAUCUUGAAUAUGUCCUGUUAACUCAUCCAUUACCAACGCAAAAAGGUAAGGACUUAAGGAUUGUUGAUGCACAAAAUUAGUGAGAACUUUGGUACAACAGAAAGUAUUAAGUUUGUGAUCUUCGCUAGAUUGAUCCGGUCAUUAGUGUGGAUAAGUAUGUAAAUGGAUAGAGACAGGCAAGCAAACACAAGAUGUACGUGGUUCACCCAUAUUGGCUACGUCCACGUAGUAAAGGAGUUCUUAUUAAUUGUGAAGGGUUUACACAAGUACAUAGGUUCAAGCUCUCCUUUAGUGAAUACAAGUGAAUGAUUUAGUACAAAUGACAUUAGGAAAUAUUGUGGGAGAAUGAUCUCGUAAUCACGAAACUUCUAGUACCGAAGUGUGGUAUCGUCUUCACUUGCCUUAUCUGUCUCAUAGGUAGAUGUGGCAUCUUCUCUGGAAGUACUCUUCCUCCAUCCAGGGGUGGUAUCUUUAACUGGUGGAGAUGCACAAGGUAAUGUAUCAAUUUCACUUGAAGCUUACUUGUAGUUUCAGGCUUGGUCAAGCGCGAUACAAACCAUGUAGUAGGAGUCCCCCCAAGUCGCCGAGCUAGGGGAUCUGCUGAAAGAGGUGACAGACAAGGUAAGCAAUCAGAGCUCCAAGCAAUCAGUCCCAAAUCAGAAGUUUGAUUUCGAGUUCCGGCUAAUUGUUCUCAUUCUCCCUAUCUUGCAGGCAGCAUAAAGGAUAAAGAGAAGAAAAUGAGAAGAGAUGAUAUGAGAUACUUUUGCUCGAACCAGAGCAAAAUGGUUGUGUGGAACGUAAGCAUCAACACAUAACCAUUCUCCCACAAAAUGGUUGUGUGGAACGUAAGCAUUGACACACUAGAGCAAAAUGGUUGUGUGGAACGUAAGCAUUGACACAUAGUGGAAACUGCUCGAACCCUUUUAGCUGCCUCUCAUGUUCCCCAUAUUUACUGGGUUGAAGCCUUCUCUACAUCAGUGUAUCUUAUCAACCGAUUGCCUACUAUGUCUAGAUCCUGCCAUUGGGAAAAUUGUUCAACAAGUCUCCAGAUUAUACUACACUGAAAGUGUUUGGGUGCAGGUGUUUUCCUUGGUUAAAACCUAUGUAACUUCCAAACUUGAGCCUAAAAGUAAGCCCUGUGUCUUUCUUGGCUAUAGUCUCAAUCAUAAGGGUUAUCGGUGUCUUGAUAUUCAAUCCCGCAAGGUCUAUAUCUCGAGACAUGUUAUAUUUGAUGAACUGACUUUUCCAUUUCAUCCAGUCUCUCAAGAUUUACCUGUCAUAAACUCACCUCUUACCCCUUCUUCUUCAAUUCCUUCCACUCUUGUCUUCACCAAACUCCCUCCAACUCCUACUUCUUCCCCACUUCUACACCAUGUUGCUGCUUUAUCUAAUCCAAAUUCCUCCCCUUCCCCACCCACCUCCCUCACCUCUCCCACUUCUAACUCUCCUCAUUCUUCACCUAUACAACCAUUACCACCUCAGAACACUCACCCUAUGCAAACCCGAUCCAAAUCAGGUAUUUUUAAGCCUAAGGCUUAUUCAGCCACUAACCACCCUCUUCUUUCUCACAUAUCUCCUGAUUUUCUUCCCACCACGUAUCUCCAAGCCUCAAAACAUUCUCACUGGAGACAGGCCAUGCAUGAGGAAUUCAAUGCUUUGGUUAAUACCAAUACUUGGUCUCUUGUUCCUCCUCAUUCAUCUCAAAAUCUUGUUGGAUGUAAAUGGGUUUUUCGCAUUAAAAGGAAAGCUGAUGGCACUAUUGACCACUAUAAAGCACGGCUGGUCGCAAAAGGUUUCCAUCAACAUGAAGGUUUGGACUACACAGAAACCUUCAGUCCUGUUGCUAAACCAAUUACUAUCCGGCUUCUUCUCACUCUUGCUUCUAAGUAUGACUGGUUUCUAAACCAGUUAGAUGUCAGUAAUGCAUUUCUGCAUGGAACUCUCUCUGAAAAUGUAUUCAUGCAGCAACCCUCUGGUUUUCAAGAUCCUACUAAGCUGAAUCAUGUUUGCAAGUUACAUAAAAGUCUUUAUGGCCUCAAGCAAGCUCCGCGUGCUUGGUAUGAGAAACUUCAUGGUGCACUUCAAUCUAUGGGAUUUUGUGGUUCACAGAAUGAUCAUUCACUCUUUGUCAAGAAGGAUCCUUCUCUGGUGUUUAUCCUUGUAUAUGUGGAUGACAUUUUAGUCACCGGUCCAUCUUCCCAAGCUUGCAAGGAUACAAUAGCUCAACUCAGUGCUCUCUUUCCGGUCAAGGAUCUGGGUUCCCUUCAUUUUUUCCUUGGCAUCAAAGUUCAUAGGUCCUCUUCUGGAAUCUUUAUCUCUCAAACCAAAUAUAUUCUUGAUCUGCUUACCAAGACCAACAUGGCCGGUGAAAAACCAUGUGCUACACCACUUAGUACAUCUAAGCUGGAUCACUCUUCUCCCUUGCUCUCUAAUCCCGAAGAAUACAGAUCUAUUGUCAGUGGCCUGCAGUAUCUUACUUGGUCCCGACCUGACCUUUCCUUUGCUGUUAACUUGGUUUGUCAAUUUAUGCAUCAACCACGACAAUCCCAUUUCCAGGCAGUCAAACGCAUAUUGCGCUAUCUGAAAGGCACACUUGAGCUUGGUCUCUGGUUUCCAAAAACCUCAGGUUCUCUCACUAUUAAUGCCUUCUCCGAUGCAUAUUGGGUAGGGUGUCCACUGGAUAGAAGAUCUACAGGUGGUUAUUGCAUUUUUUUUUUGGAAACUCUCUCAUUAGUUGGAGUGCUAAAAAGCAACCAACCGUGGCUCGUUCCUCCACUGAAGCAGAGUAUUGCUCCUUAGCAAACACCGCUGCUGAAAUUACAUGGCUUUGCAAGUUACUUGUUGAUGUUGGUGUCUCUCUAUCUUGUUCUCCUACAUUGUGGUGUGAUAACAUUUCCAACGCUGUAGAGAUUGACUAUCACUACAUCCAGGAAAAGGUUCUUUCCAACGCUGUCAUUGUUCAGUUUGUGUGUUCCCAGGACCAAAUUGCGGAUAUUUGUACCAAAUCUCUGUCCACUUCUCGGUUUUUACUUCUUUGAGACAAACUAUCACUUCGGUUGCCUACGUUCAAUUUGAGGGGGCAUAUUAAGGAUAGUUUAUCUUGAUUUUCUGUUGUAAUUUUCUUGUAAUUAGUUGUAGGACAUAUAGGAUUGUUGUGCUUAGUUGGCAAGUGUAUAGCUUCUUAGUUGGCAAAUGUAUAGCUCUAUAUAAACCAUUGAUGUACUCUAAUUAUUUUUCAAUGAAACAGUUUUCCUAAUAUAUCGAUGCUAUUAGUGGUGGACGGCGGCCCAUCUGUCUAAAACUUUAACAUAAAUACCAGCUGUAGAAGGAUCGUACCUGAAAACAAAUUCCGAUAACUAAACAAGAGUAAAACAAAGGAUAUAUAGUAAAUAAAAAAUGAACCUCAAUGCGACGAAGGAUACAAACAACAAACAAAGAACAAGAAAGAGGAAGAUCAGAAUGCGAAACAAGAGCAGAAGUUCAUUCCGAAGAUGAUUACGGACAAUUUCUUUUCCCAUAAAAUUCGAAACAAGAGUUUAUUUAAAGAAUGUACGAGUAUAAGAGCUUUAUGCAGCCUAUGGCCACAUUUUUCCAACAUGCAUACAUCAUUUGCCAUUGAACACAUAAACAACAAUUGGACUUCUAACGCUGUGAACACCAUCAGUCCAAACCAGCGAUCCUGACACUUGAGAUUGAUCUGGCAAACCGCUUCCAGUGACAAUCACAUCAAAAGUCCUCUCCUCGUUCAAAGACUCGAACGAAAGAACUUCAGGAACCACUUUGAUAUCAACUUUGGAGUUCGAGGAGAUCCUGGCCCUGUAAGUAGAGUUUAGGAGGCCAACAUUAUUAACUCUUCUAUGAAAAUUCACUGUAAAAGGCUCCAUUUCUGCAACUUUAGCUCCCAUUGAAGGGUAAUUAAGAUCCCUUGCAUACCCUUUUUCCGAACCUUUAGGGCACGUGCUGUUAUCUCCUGAUAUGAGUCUAACUUUGCCUUCAUCAAACACUGUGCACAACAACUUUAUAUAAUCUUCUUCUGAAGCUUCAUACACAAGCCCCGGGUUUACAGCUUCUACAGGAUUGAUAUGCCCAGAUCCAUAAGCAAAUUCACCGGUAGAAUUGUUGGUACUAUUCAUGGUCCAAGCUAUAUGCACACAAAAAACUCAAUAGAUAAUUUCAGAAUUUAAUGAUUAAUAUGUGACAAUGACAAAUGAAGCAACUGCUAUUAUCAUGAAAAUAUAUACCAGUUGUCAUAAGAGAUGAUUUGAUGGCUGCCGGAGACCAAUCAGGGUGGAAUGCUUUAACAUACGCGGCUGCACCGGCUGCAUGUGGGCUAGACAUGGAGGUUCCAGAUAACAAGUUGUAUUUUACACGCCUCAUGUCUUCAUCAUAUUCUGAGAUAGAGGCAAUAGGUGAAUAUGCAGCCAAAAUUUCAGAACCCGGUGCACUAAUAUCUGGCUGAAAAACAUUAGACCGCAAUUGUUAUUACCAUAACUACAUUUAUUUAACUGAUAUUAGAAUGUGCGAAGAAACAUAUACCUUAAUAAUAUCAGGAAAAAAUCGAUUUGGUCCACGUGAAGAGUAGGAAGCAACAAUAGGUGCAGAAGGGUCUUUUAUGACUUCGCUUUUAAGUAUGUUCGCCCGAGGGUUUCUAUAAAAUAAGAGAAACAAAUCAAAAUAUAAAUAGAGAAUUCAUGAUGAGAGACAGUAACUUCAUCAGCAGUAUUCAAAAGAGUGUACACCUGGUGGAGUUCAUGUAGGACUUGACCGCAUCAUGGUCUUCAUCCAUUAACACGGUUGAAGGGAUUAGGGGAACAUUAAACGCUGUUCUGUCGUUUUCAUGUAAAAGUGAACCAAAUGCAUUGGCUUCGUAAGCCAUAUAAUCUCCGUAUUCAGCAUCGCAUACCACUAUCUUUCCCUUUACAGAAUCACUGUCCAGGCAACCUUCACGACAGAGUCUGAUGUGCAACAAGUGAGUAGUUUAGCUACAGAAUAAGUGAACUAUAUCUUUUCCAGUUAAAAAGAAAUGGGCACAAGAAUCACCCCGCAUUUAGUUGAGUGCAAUUUUUUGUCGCAGCAUCUUUUCCAUAUAUUAGAGGAAAACUUGUUCCAUUUGUUGUGAAAGUGUUGACGGAAUUCCCCUGGUUGGGUAAAGUUCAUCAAAAAUCAAGUAGAAUAUACAAGUACACAAAUAAAAGUAUUUCAUGGAUGAAGGACGUUGAUGAGACUUACAACAAGUGUCUUUCCGUUAGCAAGAACAACCUUGUCAAUGAUAUGGCGAUCUAUGGUACUAGCUGCAACGAGCAAUACCCAUGGUGCAAAAUCUGACGAAGUAGCGGGUCCGGGACCUUCAUUGCCUGCUGACUGUGUGGUCAGUAUCCCUUUCUUCAUUGCAUGAAAAGCACCAAUUAACAUAGGAUCCUCAUCAAAUCGAAUCCCCGAAUCAGCUCCCAUUUGAAUCAUAAUGACAUCAACUCCAUCAGCAAUAGCAUCAUCAAAGGCAGCCAAGAUACUUUCUAUUCUGCACGUAUUAGCACAGACUUUGUAUGCUGCUAUUCUUGCAGAAGGAACACCUCCUCUUGCAGUACCAUUUGCUAGUCCAUAAAAGCUUACGUCCUUAACAGCAUUGCCUGCUGCGAUUGAGGCAACGUGAGUUCCAUGGCCGUCUUCAUCCCUUGCUGACUCCGUGUCGUAGAAUCGAACUCCAAUGAGCUUGCUACAAAAUAAAUAUUGAAAAAAAAUUGGCACUUUUCACAAACACUUACAAUAUCACUAAGUCAGUGAUGAGAAGUGAGGGAGCCUACUUGUUGCAAGUGAAAUUUUUUCCACCUUCACAAGCACCUUUCCACCUCUUGGGAGGAGGACCAAAACCUUCAUCUUUAAAGCUCUCAGAUUCCGGCCAUAUUCCACUGUCAAUAACCCCCACAAUUAUAUCACUCUCAACCAGAGACUUUCGACUGGUUUUCUCAUCUAAACCCAUAAAGUCCCAAGAUCUCGUCGUGUGCAGUUGGAAUGUUGUGCUUGGAAAGACAGAUACAACUUCUUUCAUGCCUGCAAUUCACAGUUUAUAAACAUACUAAAUUUUCAAGCCAAUUCAUUUUACUCUUUUCGAAUGACAUAAGAAAGUAUCUCACAACACUCACUAGCAAGUUUCUCUCUUUCCUCGUCAGUGAGUUUGGCAGCAAACCCAUUGAAACUCCUUUUGUAACUUCGUACCAAUAAAUUUUCCGGUGAACUGGGAGGGCACGAAAGGACCAUAAGAACUAGGUUUGUGACUAAAAAGACCAAAAGAAAAUUCAAUUUAAAUACCUAACGUCUAGAUAGACUACCUGGUCUGAACAACUCUCUGCAGAAUACUAUGGUGGUGAUUCAAGGGCGAGAACUCCCUGUCAGGAAGAGACCCCAAGUACACGAUAUGAACCUGCAUCGCCAUCAUUGAAAUUCCCUAUCAAAAUUACUAUUGCUCAAAGAUUUGUCAUGAAAGGGGAACGUUUUAUUAUUAGUGGUAAAAGACUAUAGUUUUUUCUUUUAAAAGAUAGAAAAAGGAUUAGUCGAGAUUAACUCCUCAUAUUAGCUCCUCGGAACUGUUCAUGUAGAGUGCAAAGCAUCCACCCCUCCCCCAAAUAUUAAUUCAAAAUAAAGGAAACAGCUAGUCAGGGGACAAUUGUUUUGCUGCACAAAUAACUCGUACCUUUCUAUCCUCGUCAGUCGCCUUGCAUAAUAAGCUCGUACUCAGGAUAAAAAUGGAGAAAGCAUAAGAAAAAAGAAGAGCUGCGUUCUUAGCCAUUUUUCUGUUCUCCAAAUUAACUUCAUGGCUGAAGAGUGUAAUACAUAUACUGGGACUACUUAUUGCACCCAGAUUUUCUUUAAUUAAGGGGCCAGAAAAUUUUCCUUUCAAGCAAAACUCCAGACAAGUUUCCUUUCAGAAAAGCUUGGAUUUGGCUAACCCUCGAAGACAUGCAGAGAAGGAUUCAGUAACGGCAGCAACCAGCAUUUACUGCUCCAAACACAUACGCGUGAGCUGUAACAAUACUUGGGCUUUGCUUUUUGCAAUAAGAAACCCAUUGUUAAAUUAAAGUGUGCAAAUACGAGAGAAAAAGUUAUGGUAGUUGGAACAUGUAAACUGAAGACCUACAGAUGCUUCGGUUAGAAAAUGAGUUUGUGAGACAAAAGCUCAGGGCAAAAGAGAUAGAGGAAAAGAUUUGGAAAUAGACUUUAAGAAAAGACAUGGAGUAUUUGGAGCUAACGGAAGACUAGACGCAAAAUCAAGCAUAAUGACAUUCUAGAAUUCAUACAACUGACCCCACUUAGUGAAAGAAGACUUUGUUAUUGUUUGUUGUAAAUACAAGGGGAGAGUUUUACAUAUGUAACCGGGAAGAAAGUCCCUCCUCUCAUUUAGCACUCGAAAACAAGAACGCUGAAAAUUUCAUCAACCGUUAAUAACCAUUUUAUUUUUAGUUUUAGUUUUUAUGGAGAAGUGGGUUUAGCCAAGUUGGGCUAGAGCUCCUAGAAUCAAAUAUUCUUAAGGUAAUCUCUUCUUUAUUAAUACUAACCUCUUGCAAUUUGCUUUCUGGUUACAGGGUAUAACGUAAGAGAAGGAAUUGCAACAAGAAACCCAUUAGACCAAAUUCGCCAGCACAUACAUGAACAAACAUUUGAAUACAAAAACAACAAUUGGACUUCCAACGUCGUGAACACCAUCAGAACAAACCAGCGAUCCAGACACUUGUAAUCAAUUUGGUAAAUCUCUUCCAACGACGAUCAUAUCAAAAGUAUUCUCCUCGUUCAAAGACUCGAACCGAAAGAACUUCAGGAACCAAUUUGAUGUCAACUUUGGAGUUCAAAGAGAUUUUGGCCUUGUAGGUAGAGUUUGGAGUAAACAUUUUUUACUCUUCUAUGAAAUUUAACUGUAAAAGGUUCCUUUUCUGCACCUUUAGCUCCCAUUGAAGGGUAAUUAUGAUCCUUUGCAUGUCUUUUCUCAGAUCUUUUACGGAAUGUGCUGUUAUCUCUUGAUUUGCGUCUAACUUUGCCUUCAUCAUACAUAGUGCAUAGCAACUUUAUGUAAUCUUCUUCAGAAGCUUCAUACACGAGCCCCCGGGUUUACAGCUUUUACAGGAUUGAUACGCCACGAUUCAUAAGCAAAUGCACCAGCGGAAAUGUUGUUGCUGGUAUCAUUCUUUAUGUUUAUAAUGCGACAAAUGAAACAAUUGCUUUUGUCGUAAAAAUUUAUACCAGUCGUCAUAAGAGAAGAUUUGAUGGCGGUGAGAGACCGAUCAGGAAUGCUUCAACAUAUAUUCAGCUGCACUAGCAGCACGAGGAUAAGAUACAGAGGUUCCAGAUAACAUAUUGUAUUUUACACGCUUCUUGCCUUCUUCCAAUUGUGUGAUCGAAGCAAUAGGUGAAUCCGUGAAUAUGCAGCCAAAUUCGGCCCCCGGGGCACUAAUAUCCGGCUGAGAAACAUCAUACUACAGUUGUUAUUUCCGUAUCUAUGAAAUUUUAUGAAAGAUAUACCGUAAGGCGACAAGAAACCUAUACCUUUAUGAAAGAUCGUCUUAGUUGUCAUUACGUACAAUUGAACCAAGUGUACCGGCAUCAUAUGAGGUUAUAUCCCCGCAUUCGGCAUUGCCUACCACUAUCUUUCCCUUAACAGAAUCACUGUCCAAGCAACCGCAUUUACAAAAUCUGACGUACAACAAGACUGUACUUCACUAACGAAAACUUCAAUGCUCCGACUAACAUUGCUUAAAUCCAGUAUUUCUGCCCCAUAAAUCAUACAUGAUACAUUAACAUUACAGUAGUGUUUGUUCAAAUUGUGUCUUCUUCGAAGUGUUUGUUCACUCUUUGACCGGGUUUUUUUAAGCCCUUUUUUUAUCUUCGAGUUUUUGUGCUUCGAAAGGCAUAUCAUGCACUAGGGUUUCUUUCGGGGUAGUGAUUUUCGUACUCCUAAUUUCUCCUUUACACUUUGCCCUUGUUUUUGUCCCUUGAAGUCGACCAAAGGUUGUGCGACUAUCACUCCCCUUUCUAUCCGAGUCUCUGCGCAACCAUCACCUCCCCUUCUUUCCGAGUCCCUUGCAGUCGACCAAAUGUCCACGGACUUUAUGAAAUUCAGGCAAGAUGUCUGCGUGAAUGUGCGAGCAAAAUAGAGGUUGGACAAAUCAACGAUAAAUGUGUAAAGCAGCCGUGAAUAUGAUGACCGGUUGUUGUUCGAGAGGAAGCUGAUUGCUAUGUCAUUCAUCGACAAGCACAAAUAACUUGCAUGAGCUCUGAGAAUACUGUAAACACAGAAAAAAACUUGUAAAUACUAUUCGACUUGGGUUUCUCUAAUUGAGAUUACCGUUUUUCGAAAGUGAGAUUACAAUAUCUUGUAAGUUACAACUACAAGAAUUUGACUACAAUAGUGUCACGUAUAUAUAUAACUACAUUUGCAGAUUCCAGAGCUUGACACCUUUGCAGAUUUCCUAUGCUCUCAAGCCCUUUCAGAAUGUCGGGUAACAAUCAUCCUCGCACAUCCUUCUGGGCAACCACUAGAGGCAGCCGAAUACAGGAACAGAAACAAAUUUGAUUUAAACCAACAUAAACUGAAAAAAAUAAUCAACAAACAUCUAAGCAUAUAUGUGUGUCUGGAGGAGAUUCCAUAGAGUAUUCUUACAUGUUAAUUAUGAUUUGGUCGCCCAAGAAAGAGAUGUUACAAUCAUGUAUGGAGAUAAUUGGCUGCCAUCAUCAAUUCCAGAACCAAUUCAGGUUCAAUAUGAAACUCCGUCUGCUUCCCGCUGUCAAAAAGAGUUGAAUUACAAGUCAGUAAUAGGGAGACGAGAGUAAAUGAAAACUGGCCUUCUGAUCAAGCUCUCGGAUUUUGAUUAGUUCCAACCAGCAACCAUGGAUAAUUCAAGCGUCCAUCAAUAUCUUGAAACCAAUCCCACACUAAAAAUUUGUGCAGCAGAAUAUACACAAAAUAUUCUGAUUGUACCAUCUCCAAGAUCAUUAUUAAACAAGAAAAACCAUUCAAUCAAAACCUGUAAACCUAAUACCAAAUAGAAAAGUAUAUGGACCUAGAAAGUGUACUUCUUAUACCGCUUUUGUCCUCUGUUUUGGGCUUUUUAUAUUCCCUGAGUUAUGUCCCAAGACCUCCAUAUUUGGUUUAAUAUCUAUCCAGUAUUAGAAAUAAGAAAUCAAGUUACAAGAACGAUAAUCUGAAAAAUAAUCUAAACUAUCCAGUACUAUGGUAGACUGCUCCAUAUUAUGCUAGACUGACUACCAACCAAAAAUGAAACAGCAUACAAAGGGGUGUGCUAUUCACACACCUCAUUUUACUUCUCACACACCCCUUGAUAAUUUAUGUCCGUUUAUCUUCUUCAAUUCAUCCGAUCCGACGGCCAAAAAUUAAAAAGGAGUGUGAGAAGUAAAAUGGGGUGUGUGGAUAUCGCAUCCCUAUACAAACUGUCUAGGACCCUAGUCUGCUAUACAACAGACUAUGUCAAAGUAUUAAUCUUUGAUUAAUGAUUGGGCGAACGGAUCUUUGUUUGAAUGUAUGGUCUGUAAUGACAGCCUAGCAAUAAGAAAGUCUAGAGAACAUUAGCCCUACUAACUUUACAUAUUGAUCAAUAAAAUUCCAAUUCAGAAGAAACCCAUCAAUCUUCUAAGCAUUGACAUGUAAAUACCUCAAAUAUUACAACCAAAAGAUUACAAAUUUAAAACUAAAAUAAGUAAAAAUAAAAAAAAUAAAAACUGAUAGAGAGAGAGAGUCUAAACCUUGCAAAUUGAAGGUUCCAGUAAAAGUACUUGCAGAUCUUCUCAAGAAUGGUGGUGCUGAUCUCCGGGAACGUCACCUCGCCGUGCUCCGUCUCAGCAAAACCCCCUACCAACAAAAAAAAAAGAUUUCACCUUGCAAUUUGAAACCCUAAUCCCCAAAUUGCUUCUCUAACUCAAAUCAAUUUCAAACCCUAAUCCCCAAAUUGCUGCUCUAACUGAAAUCAAUUUCAAACCCUAAUACCUGGAGAAGUGAGCAUGUUGCGGAUGGUCUGAGAGACCAUGGCGGCGUCUUUGUGGAUCACGAACUCAAACCCCUCGGCGCUGAUCAGCUUCACUGUGUCUUCCUUCUUCAUCUUUGCGGUAGAAGCCGAUUGAGAUUCGACUGAAUUGUACGGAAGGGAACCGAGUUAUGAACUCAGUGAGUCAGUGCGUUUGGGAGGAAGAAAGUCCCGUGUAUUUAUCUGAUGGAGAUGGAUUCUAGCCGCGGCUAGAACCGUAGGAAUCGGUUUCUAUUAGCAACUUAGAUAAUUACAAAAUCCCUCCCUCCAUUUUAGUGGUUGUUCACUUUGAUCCUCAAUUUGUUUUUUCUGUCUCAGGUUGGUCACUAAAUUUUAAAAAAUAUGAUAAACAAUAGUGACUCUCAGUUACAAAAGUCGACAAAACAAAUGGUAGUGAAUACAAUUCAAUUCGUGGGCUAUUUGGUGUAAGUAGAACCACUUAAUAUAAUACAAUGCAAUGUAAAAACUCAAUUUGGUGUAAGUAGAACCACUUAAUACAUGUUAUAUUUAAUUUUUCAAAGUAGAAGUCUUGUACCCUUGCAACCAAUUCCACAUAAGCCAGUAAUGAGGUUGUAAUUUGGUUCAUUUAAGCAAACAACUUGAGCUUAAGAUGAACCAAACUGAAUCACGAUGUUACAAAUAGAAAUGUGCAAUUUGAGGCUUAAUCGAACAAAACCGAACAUCAACCAACCCUAAUUCAUGAUUCGACGUCAAUGAUGAUUGUCGUCAAUAUUAUUACAAAAAAAAAGUAAAUUAUUAGCAACUAGCAUAAGUCGUAUACGCACAAUUUACCUACACGUUUAGAAAUAAUCAGCCAACCAAAUAAUCAGCCGGCCAUGGCUCUGGCGACUGUCCAAACCGCAACCAAAUCUAAAUUAAUUAAUUAAUUAAUUACGGCGUGGGAAAACACUACAAAAAUUUAAAAUUUUAAAAAAUAAAAACAUCCCUCUGGCACCAACCCGCCAGGCCAGGCUGCCUACUGUCUCACUCUCUCUCCCAAUUCAACAAAUCAAAGAUCCCCAGUUGUCGCCGAAAAACGGCACCGUUUCGACCACCAAACAAAGAAUCUAUUUAUUUGCCGUUUCAACUUUCAGAAGCCCCCUCUAGUCCCUCAUCGUUGCUUCCGCUUGUUCACAUUUUCUCCUUCCCCAAAACCCCCCACCGUGCUCUCCGCCCCAAUUCCUUCGGUUCCUCCGAUCGAACUCUCCGAUCGCGUUCUCUCCUCUGUCGAUUCGCCUCCGGGUAAGCGAGAUCUAUAGAUACAACUGUUUGUGUAUGUAUAGGUUGCAGAGAAAGAGAGAUUUGUGUGAUUUUUGAUGGGUUCGAAUUUUUGUGUGUAUGUGUAGGUUGUGGAGAUCGGAGAGGGGAGACGGCGGCAUGGCGAGUAGAGUAGACCACGAGUACGACUACCUGUUCAAGAUCGUGUUGAUCGGUGACUCUGGUGUGGGCAAAUCUAACAUUCUCUCUAGGUUUACCAGGAAUGAGUUCUGCUUGGACUCCAAAUCCACCAUCGGAGUCGAGUUCGCCACCCGAACUCUCCAGGCAAGUUCGCCUACUGAGCUUUGUUCUUCGUUUUUAGAAGUUUGAUUAGUCUGUUUGGUGUUUAAUCUUGGUGUGAAAGUUGAUUUGUGCUUCAAUUGUUUGAUUUUGUCAGCGUUGUCGAUAUAUUUGUUUGUGAUGGAUUCGAUCUUAUGUGGUUAAUUUUUGGGAGGUUUCGGAGUUUGAAUUAUUUUGGUUGAAUUUUUGUUUGGGUCGCUUGGAGAUUGUGAUUAUUGUUUGGAUUUUGUUUAGGGAUUUACGUGUUUGAUUGGAGUCCAUCAGAAAAUUUGUUAUUAAUAACUUGGUGAAACGGUUUUGGAUUGGUUUUUUAGUGCUGUGUUUUUAGAUGGAUUGCUUCUUGUGGAUAGGGUUGGCAAUGGUUAAAUAAACCGGUGGGAUAAACAGCCGUCUUUUUGUUUGAUAGAAGCUGGGAUUAGAAUUUUAUUUCUAGGAGUUGAACCAUUUGAGCAUUUACCUGUUGUUGAUCUUUAAGUUGUUUAACACACUAGGGAUGAUUUGCAGAGUUCAAGAAAGAGGAGUUGAUUUAUGAGCACUUACAGGUGGAUACUUAAGUUUGAUUCUUAAUUAGAGCCAAUUUUGUAUAAUGUUGUGGGGAAGUAUAUGCGGAAACACGUGUCUCGGUUUCUCCAUCCUUUGUAUUUAGAGCAUAAUAACCGAGUAUGAUACGCUAAAUAACCGCCCAAUAUCUUUCGUUUGGAAGACUGUUGGUUCGUUAGGUUUGUUUUGUGGGUCAUACUGCCUUUUGUUGGUUUUUUUUAUAUAUAGGCAACUAUAUGAAUAUGGCAUAGUUGAAGAGAGAGAACUGGAAUUUCUUCCCCUGUUGUACACGCAACUGAGAAGUGAAACAUCAUGGCUCAAUUGAAUGUGAAGUUAUUCCAGAAACGUGAAAUGUGUCUACUGGACCACUGGUCCGAGAGCAUAUUUAUGAGUUUCUAACAUACAGUUGUCACUUGUCAUUGUAGCGUACCGUUCAAUAUGUUGAUGAGUAGAAAGAAGUCUGUUUAUACAACAAUUGGGUUUGCAAAUUAUGGCUUACAAUCUGAUCUAGCUUAAAUUCUUCCGUGUCUGAAAUUUACAGGUUGAGGGAAAGACUGUGAAGGCACAGAUCUGGGAUACAGCAGGUCAGGAGCGAUACCGUGCUAUCACCAGUGCAUACUAUAGAGGGGCAGUGGGUGCUCUCCUUGUCUAUGACAUAACUAAGCGGCCAACUUUUGAGAAUGUCCAAAGGUGGCUCCGUGAGUUGAGGGACCAUGCAGAUUCGAACAUUGUUAUCAUGAUGACAGGAAACAAGUCUGACUUGAUCAAUCUCCGAGCUGUUUCAGAGGAUGAUGGUCAGUCCUUGGCUGAGAGGGAGGGUCUCUCAUUUCUCGAGACAUCAGCACUGGAAGCAACCAACGUUGAGAAGGCAUUUCAAACUAUUCUAACCGAGAUCUACCAUAUUGUCAGCAAGAAAGCACUGGCAGCUCAAGAAGCAGUCUCAACUACCCUACCUGGUCAAGGAACCACCAUCAACGUUGGUGACGCUUCUGGGAAUACGAACAAGAGAGGUUGCUGCUCGACAUAAAAGAUGACACACACCUAGGGGGAAGGAGGGGAAACAUUUUGCUGGAUGCCAGCUCUUUUGAUUUUUCUCUUUUUAGUUUCUUUUUUUUGGGUGACAGGGAAGCAUGUAGAAUACAAGUUUUACUUCGUCGAUUUGUGAUAAGGAAGCUUUGUGAAAAUUAUAAUGACAGUAGUAUCGAUACAUUUUGAGGGCCUGCUUUUGCUUCCGAUGCACCGUUUUGUUAUAUGUCGCUUGAUAUAAAGUGUAAGUACUGAAAUUUGGAAUGUCUGGUGGAACUCGGCAUCUCAAAUUAAAGAAUCAAUGGAGAAGGAACCUUGUGUGUUCAGAGUUUUAAUUUUUCGGGUUUCGUUUCUCAGUUGCUUCUUCCAUUCUAACAAACGCUUCAAUACCGCUUUCUCAUAUCAUUCUAGACUCAUUUCUUCAGCCUUUUCCUUUCUGCUGCCUUCGCUCUCGCGAUCGAUUGCUUGUGGCGUACAAUGGUGGUGGCAGUUUCAUGGUGAAUCGAGAAGGUUAGGGUUUUUGAAUUCUUUGGGACAUCCGGACGCGAACAUUUCAAUUGCUUGCACAAGAAGUCAACAUGAUUGGUGGUAAACUUAUUGCAGUCUACUAUUCAAUCUGUAUAGUUACAUGAUGUAUUCUGUAAGUACUUUCACAGUAAUCCCUAAUCUCGUCAAUUAUCUGACUAGAACUUACUGCAGGCUCAGCCGUUACAUGGCAAGACAAAACUGUUUUUCCAACCGUUAGCGCCCAAACGUGUAGGUCGUGAAUUUCCUGAACCCCUUUGAUGCACUUGAUGCCCUUUUCUAGCCCGGUGAUAUCAAUCUCGCUUGGCGUUCUCUCCAUCAAUAUGCCAUAUAUAUUUUUGAGCAUCGAUAUAGUUGUGCUGACAGCAAAAACAGAAAAUAUGAGUGUGCAGAUAAGAUCGACUACUAACCAAUCUGGCCUUGCCCAUAUGAUGCCUCCAGCAAUCAUCACCCCAACGGACUGAAUCAUAUCGGCGAUGACAUGCAAGUAGGCUCCUUGGAUAUUUAUGUUUAAUAUUUUAGUCUUCUCCACAGAAUUUGACACCAGACUUGUUUUGUCCUCUUCAAGUAUUGCACUUUCUUCCUCCUUAUGAUGAUCGUGAUUAUGACCAUGGUUAUGAUCGUGACUUCCAUGAUGAUGAUGAUCGCGAUUAUGACCACGAUGAUGAUCGUGAUUGUGAUCAUGGAGAUGGUCUUGACCUAAGCCUCCACAUGCAUGAUGAGUGUGAUCGUGACCAAGCCACACGACCAUGAUAAGGUUGACAAGAAACCCAAAUGCUGCGACUGAAAACAUGAGUGGCCCAUUCACCUUUUCCUUGUUGUGAAGGAUCCUGUUGACUGCUUCAUAGAUCAAGAUCCCAGAGACCAGCCAUAUGAGCUGCACAGAGAAAAGGGCGCUCAAAACCUCAAGACGGUGAUAUCCGAAAGACUGGUACGAUGUUGCCUCCCAACCUGAAGCCAUUACUGUGAAAAGAGCAAUAGAGAAUCCAAUAACAUCAGUGAGCAAGUGGGCUGCAUCUGUGAGUACUGCAAGGCUGUUGGCUUUGACACCACCAAUAAUUUCUACAACCAUAAACAAGAGAGACGCGACAACGAGUCCAGAGAGUUUUGUAGCUGACUUUGACCGCUGUUUUGAAUCCAAACUACAAUGCUCGUUUUUGGAGAAAACACAGACACACGAGGAGGGACGCAACUGUGGUGGCACAGGAAGAGUAUCAAUGCCUUCAGAGACCGUUGGGAUUUCAAUUUCCUGAGACUCUGUUCUCGUAAAGGGUACCUUCUCAUGUUCCAUGUGCUUCAGAAAAAGUGAUGGUGUUAAUUUCUUAAAAAAAGAAGAGCAAAUGAAGAGGCCUAUUUCCAGAUAUUAAGCAAGGUCGGAAUAUAAAGCGCAGAAGGGCAGGUUGCUGCACAGAAAAACAGAGCAGCUGUGCAAGCGAGCACACAGAAAACCGAGCUAGCACACAGCUGCUCAGAACCAAGUCAUUCCAGCUCAAAGACCAAAUCGGCAGAAAGCUGUUUGGCAUUGGGCAACUAUAACUCAUGCAACAGCUUUAAUGUUAAUCAAGCUUUAGCUAAAUUCUGUGAGAUUAGUUACUAGCACGGAUUUGUUAAGCUUAGAUGGAAACUCUCGUGGUUCGGUCAACUUGGUUUCACUGCGUGUGCAACCAUGUGUGUACGACUGUUACACAUUUAGUUAUUGAAUGAACGAAGAACAUUAUCGUUCCAUUCUUCGUAGGAAAUGAAAAAUCUUGGAUUUUCAUCAAGAGCCACCUCAAACACCCCUAACCCCUUCAUCCUGUUGGACCCCGAAAAUGGUAAUACCUAUUUUAUUUUAUUUUUCCCUACAAUCUCAUGCCUCUAUGCAGUGGCGGAUACAGGAUUUUAAAUUCGGGGGGUCCCAAUAAUAAAGGUAAAAAAAUUUAUAGAUAAAAAUAACAUUGAAAAGUUAAAUAUAAUACACUUCAUUCAAAAAUUAGAUGGUGCUAUUGGCUUUGGCUUGAAAAAUCUUUCCAUAUUUCUCAUUUCUAAACUACACAUUUAACCAAAAACACAAAUAUAUACCAAUCAACCAAUAAACAAAAAUUCCAUCUAAAUUGCAAUGAUAAAAUGAGUAUACAAACAUAAAACAUAUCAACAACCAUAUCAAUAAUAGACUAAAAAUCUCCACCAAUAUCUAAUAUAAUUUAAUUGAGAUUAGAUUAGAAUACCAAAAAACAUACGUGAACUUUGAACUAAAUAGUGGUGGCUUGGAGAAUUGAAACAAGUGGAGGUAUGAUAUUGGAGUAAUGUAAUUAUAAUAUGAAAUUGGGUGGGAUUAGGAAUUGGGUGGGAUUAGAAAUUGGGUUUUGGGUGAAUAUAAGAAAGAUGGGGAUUAGGGGGAAAAGCAGAGGAGUGGGGAAAGGAAACGGGAGGGACUCUCGGGAAGGAUGCGGCCCAUGUGGGGCUUUAAAAGAAUAUGGAACAUCAUGGACAAACAGCAGAGUUUGUCUCAUUGAUUUUUUUUAUUAAAUUAAAACAAUUGGCCAAAACUAUGCCGUUUUGGACCAAUUGUUAAAAGGCCCUGUUUUCUUUCUUCUUCCCCUCCCAGCUGUCUUCUUCUCCAUUAGAACCUGCAACUCCAACCCGUAGCACAUACCUCGUGUCGAGUACGAGGGGUCCUCCAGAAAAUUUCUAGCAGCAAUUUAGGAUCGCCGAGGGGUCCUGGGACCUCCCAGGUCCCUCUGUAGAUCCGCCACUGCCUCUAUGUGCUGCACCAAGAACCCGAAAACUCGAAAUCUGGGUAGCUUUCUGAUUCGAAAAGAAUCAAUCAUAAAACACAGUUCAACGCCAAGCAUCCAACUUUGCAACAGACCCAUAUAAACUAACAGACCCAAAUCAUCAAAUUCCAUAAACUACCAUUAAACCAAUACAACCAUAUAAUAAAAAUCAACACAAAGAUCAAAAUACCAACUUGAAAAUGCAAACCAAAGAAUCCAAAAACCCAAAAAAAUGGAAAAACAAAACGGAGGAAGAGAGCUCAAUUGGGAACGAUGGAGGAGUACCUGAGAAUCUGAGGAGAGACAAGUAGAGAUUUUGAUGGGGGAUUUCACUUGCAAAAGAAAAUGUUCCAUACUAAUGGAUUCGGAUCCAUAACCAUGGGUUCAAUGUACGAGAUCUUGUAGCACUUACCAAUGAGGCCUAUCGAUUAGUAUUACACAGAAGAAAUCAAUUAUAGACACUAAUAUAAUUAGAUCAGCUCUUCAUAGACAAACUUGGGAUCGCUUGGGAUUUGCGAUCCCAAGUUCUCUCUCUCUCAAGGGAUGAAAUCAAUAGGAAGAGAAAUGAUUAGGGUUUUUGCAUACAUGGAAACUCACUUGUCAUUUGUGAUCCAAGUCCCACACGUUCUCUCAUCUCUCAUCAAUCCGUGGGGCAACGGCAUUCAGCUUUGACGUUAAAGACAUCGGAAGCAGGACGAAAUCAGGGGUUAAUUCAAUUUUCGAGAAAAAAAAUCCCGAACUCCCCCAAAAUUGAUUGGGGAAAAAGUUCGGAGAUUUCUCAAAUUUGGAAACAAGUUGAAGUUGGGCUUUUGAUUGAUUUUUCUCAAACUUUGGUAAUUCGGGAGGGAAGAGGGUACUCUUCAGAUCUACUUUGUCGCGAUGCUAGGUUAGGUUAGUUGUAUAACGUCUGAUUAGUUUUCGUCAUUUUAUAUAAAAAAUUAAAUUAUUUCUGAUUACACGAUAUAUGAUGAAUAAUAAAGAUAUGUGAAUUUUUAAAAUCCUUACAAAGUAAAUGUAGAAUCUAAUUCCUUUUUUGGAGUACUUUGUAGAAUUAUACGUUGCGUUGGGAAACUAAAGUUAACUUUUAACCGUGAGAAAUGGCAAAAAGGUGUCAAUAUUAUAAAACUUUUAAGUUACUUUUUUUAUUAAUAUUAUAAAAUAUUAUGUUAUAAAUAUAAUGAAUUAAGAAGUCUAUAAUCAUGUAUUAAAUCUUUUGGCAGCCAUUUAGGCCGGUUUGGUGAACCGAACAAUAUUGGAUCUUAAGGAUAUGAUUUUUUGUUUUUAGCCUACUUAGAAUAUUAUUUGAUUGACAAAAACUUAUAAGAUAAGACUUAUAACUCAUGUAUAAGUUGAAUAUCAGAGUACACGAUGAACAAAACUAUAAAAGAUUACAAAAUAAUAAGAAUAUUAUUAAACAAAGGAGAAUGCCGAAACGGCUACAGAAUCUCAAAAGACUACAUUGUGAAUGACAUGUUUCUCAAACUAAAUUACAAGAAAUAUUUAUAGAGAACUAAACCUAAGAAACUCUAACUCGGAUGGGCUUGGCCCAAAUCCUAAACUAACAAGUAAAACCUAAAUACUAAAAUAAACCUAAAUACUAAUAUUUUCCAACACCCCCCGUCAAACUCAUGGCGGUACACGACAUGGGUUUGCCAAAGUAGAUGUGGAUGCAAAACUCCAAAUUCUAGUGCCGAUGCCGAUGUCGAUACCGAUGUCGAUGCCCAUGCUGAUGCCGAUGCCGAUUUCCAUUCCAAGUUCAAGCUACCAUGCCCAAUGCAAGAAUACACAGGCCACAAAACUAUAAAAGAUUACAAAAUAAUAAGAAUAUUAUUAAACAAAGGAGAAUGCCGAAACAGCUACAGAAUCCCAAAAGACUACAUUGUGAAUGACAUGUUUCUCAAAGUAAAUUACAAGAAAUAUUUAUAGAUAACUAAACCUAAGAAACCCUAACUCGGAUAGACUUGGCCCAAAUCCUAAACUAACAAGCAAAAUCCAAAUACUAAAAUAAACCUAAAUACUAAUAUUUUCCAACAAUAUAAGGAUACGUUAGAUAAUUCACUCUAAUGUGGAUCCAUAAUCCAUCAUGUUCAUCUCACAUUUUAACACAACAAAUGACGACAUGGACUGAAUCCAAGUCCAUUUUAAUUGAUUGCAACCUAUCUCAUAACCCACCAAAUGGAGUUUUAGAGUUAGCUCGGCCAAUUAUUCUCCGAAUUUUUGUGAACAUAUUUUUUUAUUUGUCCGUGUAUUUUAAUUCCAUUUGCAUAUCUAUUGUAACAUGGAAUAAAAGAAUAAUCUUUAGUGAAUGAGAUUCAUGAUAGUUGAAGGAUGCCGUGCAUGAACCUAUGUAAUGAGACUAAGUACUGAUUUGGUGCUGAUGUGUUUUUAUAAAAAGUGGGUAUAUUUUUGUGAACAUAUUUUUUUAUUUGUCCAUGUAUUUUAAUUCCGUUUGCAUAUCUAUUGUAACAUGGAAUAAAAGAAUACUCUUUAGUGAAUGAGACUCAUGAUAGUUGAAGGAUGCUGUGCAUGAACCUAUGCAGUGAGAUUAAGUACUGGUUUGGUGCUGAGGUGCUUUUAUAAAAAGUGGGUAUAAAAAAAGCUGAGCUCAAAAAUGUGUUUGGUAAACACUUAAAAACAACUUAUUUUCAUAGUUUUGGGUGAAAAAAAAUGUUGAAAACGUGAAGCAGCAGAAAUGAGCUUAUUCUCAUAGUACAUCAGAAGCAGUUUUUUUUUUCAAAGCACAACAAUACCAAACUAGCCCUAAGGGCAGCCGAUUGCCAAAAUAUUAACAAAUGAAUAGUAACAUUGCUUCACCUCAUACAAACUUACACGAUAUGACUGUAUGAGAUUAGAAGAAAAUAAGCAUAAAGAAAUAAAAGGAACUUUGUGGCCGACUCACAAAACUUUGUGCUAAUAAUCGAAAUCGUCUAUAAAUAUAAAUAAUUCUUGAUGAUCAUCUCUGUAAAAAAAAAAGCAAUUAAAAUUAAUAUCAUUUAGUGAAUCAAUUAUAACAAAUAGAUAGACAGUUUAUAAUAUUUUUACCAAAUUUGUCCAUUUGUUUAUAUAGCUUAUGACUGAACGAUCUUAGUUUUAAUUAACUUUUUAUAAAACAUCUUUACAAAAUAAUUUAUAAAAUAAACAAUUUCAUUUAUAAACUCGAAAAUUUUGUGAAUAAACUGCAAAGUACUUUAAUUCCUCCUCAAUCCUCGGGGAGUCAAGUAACUGAAAUAACGGAAUGGGCUUAGACCCGGCCCGCAAACCGUGAAACUCUUCCAAAAGUUUUGAAACAAUUGUCUCUUUCAUUUGGGCCUACGGACCGUUAGAAACGUUUUCUACACAGCCAGCCACCGCCUUCUCUCUCUGUGCCGGAUCGAAACCAUCACCGAGAGAAACCGCCGUGCAGAGGCUGCAGCGAGAGCGACCGAGACGGAAACUACCGUCCUUACCUCGCCUUCGCUCCGCCAUGGACUCCCGCCACGCAACUCUCGGCCGACGAACGGUACGGAUCUCAUCGCCAUCGUUUACUUUCCUUUUCUCAUUGAAUAUUUGCAUUCGAAAAUACGUAAUUCUCCUUCAAUUUUGUUCAUUUUAUUUGAAUUUUUAUCAGUUGGAAGAAAUUCGCCAAAAGCGAGCUGCGGAAAAGUUGAGCAAAACUUCGUCGGGACCCGAUCUCAGCAAAAUCUCGAUUCCAAUCGGUUCGCUAUCUUUCUUUUUUUUUGUUAAAUUUGAGAUUUUUGUAUUUUCGCUGAAGUUUUUGAUUGCGCAGAUAAUGGAGGAAUGCGAAAAUCGGAGAGCGCGAAUCGGCUCUCUGAGGUAGGAGCUGAUUUCUUCAUUCAUUAUCUGUUGAGAAAAGAAAAUUUUCGGAAUUUUGUUUUUAGCGAAGAAGGCUUUGGUGUAUUUAACACAAUACGUUGAAAUGAAGGAAAGCUUAUUUAUUGAUAUCCCCGAUAAGCUACAAAUAUGUACAUAUACAUGAGUCAAAAUAAACACACAAGAGGGAGCCUUCACAAAGGUUGCUUAGGAGAAGUCUCAGCAGUCGGUAGAGCCCCAGAAAGAGAAGGCACCGGAGGGGGAUCAUUUGGAGCCUCAGUACUGGACAGAACCCUAGAAGGAGGAGGCAUCAGAGGUUGAUCAUUUGGAGCUUCAUUACGCGGUACAGCCCCAGAAGACGAAGGCAAUAAAUGCCUUUGGAACAAACCCACAAAUCUAUGAUGAUCAAGUAAAACCUGACCAUCAGUUUCCUUCAUCUGGUUAAGCUUCCUCUUCAUGUUUGUAGCAUAGUCAUGUGCGAGCCGGUGCAACUGUUUAUUCUCAUGCUUGAGCUCUCUAAUCUCCUGUUUGAGACUCAUCACUUCAGCCGCCAAUGAUUCAACUUGGCGGGUUCGAGCAAAUAGGCGUUGGGCCAUAUUAGACACAGAACCUGCACACUGAACACUGAGAGCCAGCGAAUCCUUAACAGCUAACUCAUCAGACCGUUUGGAAAGUAGUCUGUUAUCUUUGGGAGUGAGAAGGUUCCUGGCCACCACCGCAGCGGUCAUAUCAUUCUUCAUCACGGAAUCCCCAACGGUAAGAGGACCAGUUGAGGAGACGAAGGAUGGGCGCCAUAUGUUGUCUGGAGAAGGCGGGGCUGCCUCUUCAACAAGGUUCAAGUCAAAACGACGGUCGGAGGAGCCAGACAUUUUCAAAGGUGUUGAAGAGAGAAGAGGUCGGACAAAUCAAGAUCUUAGAAGUGCAAGAAUGAAGCUUCUACUGGUGGAGAUUCAAGUGUGCUUUGGAACUUAAUGCCAGCCUCUAUAAAAAUCUGCACUCGACGGAGCUUCAGAAAUCGAAGAGGCGCCUGCUCAGAAAUCGAAGAGGCGUUUGCUUUCUCAAAAGUUGGGCUGCUUAGAGAUCACGAGGGUUGAUCUCAGAAAUCGAAGAGCCGUUUGCUUUCUCAAAAGUUGGGCUGCUCAAAGACCACGAAGGCCGAUCUCAGAAAUCGAAGAGGCGCUCGCUUUCUCAAAAGCUGGGCUCCCUAGAGACCACGAGGGCCGAUCUCAGAAAUCGAAGAGGCACCUACUUUUCCAGCCUUGUCAGCACCUGUCACACGCACACUCAGCUUUGCAGAAAUUAUGGGCAUUCUGUCAAAGACUUCUGGGGAAGUAGAAAACACAUGAAUCUUACUGUUCAAUCACCAACUUCCCACACGCAACAAUAGCUCAUGGGUACCACAGAUAACUUUGCCAAAGUUCUCUGCCAAAGUUGAGCACGUGAAGCUUGCAGCUCCCACUACAUCGCUCUGACCAAGAAGGGUAAAAGAAUAGCAAAGAAACAGCACUAACAAAGUUUAGACCCAUAAAUUUUGAAGGUCUAGCUACCAUAUUAUUACCCACAAGGGUAAAGGAACAGUACCACUGCUGGAUAAUUGGAAAGUCCAUGUAUGUCAACCUCUGUGCUUCGUGGCAAGGUAGACUAGCAAACAUGCCCAACCUUUACUCACAUUCGAGAAAACACUCCCAAUAAGAUUGCUUGCUCCAAAAUCGAAGAGGCACCGUCCUCCGAAUCUAAAGAGCCAGACUCCCAACAUGACUACUUUCUUAAAAAUCGAAGAGAGGGUAAAGGAACAGUACCAUUGCUGGAUAAUUGGAAAGUCCCUGUGUGUCAACCUCUGUGCUUCGUGGCAAGGUAGACUAGCAAACAUGCCCAACCUUUACUCACAUUCGAGAAAACACUCCCAACAAGAUUGCUUGCUCCAAAAUCGAAGAGGCACCGCCCUCCGAAUCUCGAGAGCUACUCUCCCAACAUGAUUACUUUCUCAAAAAUCGAAGAGACACUGCUCCCCGAAUCUCGAGAGCCAGACCCCCAGCAUGAUUGCUUUCUCAAAAAUCGGUGAGGCACCGUUCUCCGAAUCAAUCGAAGAGGCGCUCGCUUUCUCAAAAGCUGGGCUGCUCAGAUACCACGAGGGCCGAUCUCAGAAAUCGAAGAGGCAUCUACUUUUCUAGCCUUGUCAGCACCUGUCACACGCACACUCAGCUUUGCAGAAAUUAUGGGCAUUCUGUCGAAGACUUCUGGUGAAGUAGAAAGCACAUGAAUCUUACUGUUCAAUCACCCACUUCCCACACGCAACAAUAACUCAUGGGUACCACAGAUCACUUUGCCAAAGUUCUCUGCCAAAGUUGAGCACGUGAAGCUUGCAGCUCCCACUACAUCGCUCUGACCAAGAAAGGUAAAAGAAUAGCAAAGAAACAACACUAACAAAGUUUAGACACAUAAAUUUUGAAGGUCUAGCUACCAUAUUUAUUACCCACAAGGGUAAAGGAACAGUACCACUGCUGGAUAAUUGGAAAGUCCCUGUGUGUCAACCUCUGUGCUUCGUGGCAAGGUAGACUAGCAAACAUGCCCAACCUUUACUCACAUUCGAGAAAACAGUCCCAACAAGAUUGCUUGCUCCAAAAUCGAAGAGGCACCGUCCUCCGAAUCUCGAGAGCCAGACUCCCAACAUGACUACUUUCUCAAAAUCGAAGAGAGGGUAAAGGAACAGUACCAUUGCUGGAUAAUUGGAAAGUCCCUGUGUGUCAACCUUUGUGCUUCGUGGCAAGGUAGACUAGCAAACAUGUCUAACCUUUACUCACAUUCGAGACAACACUCCCAACAAGAUUGCUUGCUCCAAAAUCGAAGAGGCACCGCCUUCCGAAUCUCGAGAGCCAGACUCCCAACAUGAUUACUUCCUCAAAAAUCGAAGAGACACUGCUCUCCGAAUCUCGAGAGUCAGACCCCCAGCAUGAUUGCUUUUCUCAAAAAUCGAAGAGGCAUCGUUCUCCGAAUCUCGAGAGCCAGAUACCACAGACCACUUUUUCAAAGUGCUCUGACAGAGUUAAAACAUGUGAAACUGGCAGCUCCCACUACCGUGCUAUGACCAAGCAGGGUAAAGGAAUAGCAUUACUACUUGUUGUUAGGGAAACUCCUAUAUAUGUCGACCUCCAUCCCAACGGACAGGCAGACCUGCAAAAAUGCUCAACCCUUCAUCAUAUCUGAGAGGGCACUCCCAACAAAGCCUUUCGAAAUAUUCAGCUUUCUUUUCCCCCGAUAAUACCUCUGCAAACAAGCUAUACUAGAGCAAGAAUAUCUCAUAUCAUCAGGGUUAAAAGCAAGAGUAUCCCAUAUCAUGCUUUUUCCUUGUUUUUUCUUUUGGCCUUGUUUUUACCUGCAAGACAAGGAGAAAGAGAGCAAUAUGUCAGCACUUGGAAUCAAGCUUCCAGCCAGGAACUGACUGCCUGGAACCCCUUACCUGAUUACUUACCUGGCAUUGCUCUCGAGUACUCAUCUUCAUCAUCUUAUGUUUCCAGGGAAGAUUCCGCAUCUGCUUGAGGAACAGAUAGGGCAAGUGCGAAGGAUACAAGGAAGCAUGUGGAGACAAGCGUAACAGCACACGUGCCGAUACAUCCAUUACUCUGUCAAAAGCAAAAGUAUCCCAUAUCAGCAGGGUGGAACGUACUCUAGAUUUGAUGGACUUGUUUUGACCCUCAAAUUCUUCAGUCGACCUUAUACUCUGGAGGAAAACCAGAAAACCCUCCAGCUCAGUUCAAGAAUAAGCCUGUGGAAAGUUACUUCUUCAAAAGCAAAAGUAUCUCAUAUCAUCUCUUCUCAUUUUUCUUCUCUUUAUCCUUCAUGCUGCUGCAAGAUGGGGAGAAGGUGAACAAUCAGUCGGAGCUCUGAUUGCUUACCUUGUCUGUCACCUCUUUCAGCAGACCCCCUAGCUCGGCGACUUGGGGGACUCCUACUACAUGGUUUGUAUCGCGCUUGACCAAGCCUGAAACUACAAGUAAGCUUCAAGUGAAAUUGAUACAUUACCUUGUGCAUCUCCACCAGUUAAAGAUACCACCCCUGGAUGGAGGAAGAGUACUUCCAGAGAAGAUGCCACAUCUACCUAUGAGACAGAUAAGGCAAGUCAAGACAACACCACACUCCGAUACUUAGAAGUUUCGUGAUUACGAGAUCAUUCUCCCACAAUAUUUCCUAAUGUCAUUUGUACUAAAUCAUUCACUCGUACUCACUAAAGGAGAGCUUGAACCUAUGUACUUGUGUAAACCCUUCACAAUUAAUGAGAACUCUUCUAUUCCGUGGACGUAGCCAAUCUGGGUGAACCACGUACAUCUUGUGUUUGCUUUCCUAUCUCUAUCCAUUUUAUAUACUUAUCCACACUAAUGACCGGAGCAAUCUAGCGAAGAUCACAAAAAGCGACCGUUUUCGUUACCUAGGAUCUAUCUUGCAAGAGAACGGAGAAUUAGAUGGAGAUCUCAACCAUAGAAUACGAGCUGGAUGGAAAGAGUGCAUCCGGCAUGUUGUGUGACCGUCGUAGGCCACUGAAGCUCAAGGAAAAAUUUUAUAGGACGGCAAUAAGGCCAGCGAUGUUGUAUGGCAGAGAAUGUUGGGUGGUGAAGCAUCAACACGUACACAAAAUGGGUGUAGCGGAGAUGAGGAUGCUUCGUGGGAUGUGUGGGCACACGAGAAAGGAUAAGAUUGGGAAUGAGGAUAUCCGAGGUAAAGUAGGAGUAGCCGAAAUUGUAGGAAAGAUGAGAGAAAAUCGGCUCUGGUGAUUUGGACAUGUGCAAAGAAGACCGACUGACGCUCCGGUUCGAAGAUGUGACUACGGGACAGAGGUUCAGGGCCGAAGGGGUAGAGGAAGACCUAGGAAAACUUUGGAAGAGACUCUAAGAAAAGACUUAGAGUACUUGGAUCUAACGGAGGGCAUGACACAAAACCGAGCGCAAUGGCGUUCUAGGAUUCAUAUAGCCGACCCCACUUAGUGGGAAAAGGCUUUGUUGUUGUUGUUGUUGUUGUUGUUGCCGAGAAAGUUUUAGUUUUAAUUCCCAUGUAUAUGUGAUUGCUGGUGCAGAGCGACGUUAGUGUUUUGGUUGCCCAGAUAAAAGACUUAGAGAAGAAAAAUGCGGAAUUGGAGGAGCAAAACAAAAACUUGGCUUCCAUGGUAAGACUAUUGUUUCUGUAGUUUGCUUGUUUGAUUCUUAGUUUCGAUUUUACGAGGGUAUUGGUUUUCUUUCACGAUCAAUUUUUUGAUGCGCAAUUAUUUUGCCCUCUUGAUAUUUCAGCUUGAAACAAAGGAAGCCGGGGGCGAUGUGCUGCAGAAACGUUUAAAUGAUCUGGUAAAUGUGACACCUUUAAAUAUCAUCACAUUUUUUUCCCAGUAAAGAGUAUGUCUUUUUAUGCAUUAAUGUAUUCUCAACUCUAUCUUUCCAUAUUUUAUGUCUUGUCUUCGUUUCAUGGUCCGUAGAAACAAUGAAUGUGCAGCUAUAGGAAAGAAAAAAGGGCAUUCCUUGUUAACUUUUUCAGCCUAUUCUCAUCUAAUACUUUGUGUAAAUUGCAGGAGAAAAACACUGUACCGUCUUUGAGAAAAGCUCUCAAGGAUGUUGCAAUGGAGAAAGAUGCGGCAGUUGUUGCACGGGUACUGACCAUCUAUAUUUUAGUUGGUGUUUCAUCUCACUUGGUUCAUUCUGUUUUAUUUCACUCUCACAAUUUGAUUUCUUAAUGUAGGAGGAUCUUUCAGCCCAGCUUCGUACGCUCAAGAAACGGUUAAAGGAUGCAGAAGAAGAACAGUAUCGAGUAUGCAAUUAGUUUCUCUAUUAAAUACCUUUGGAACAGUAUCUUUCUAUGCUUUUCUCACUUGUUGUCUUGCAACAGGCUGAGGAAGAUGCAGCCGCUUUGAGAGCUGAACUGAAUAUGUUACAGCAACAAGCAAUGAGUGGUUCACUUAGUGCAAUGAACUCAAUUUCUAAUUCACCAGAUCAGAUGCAAAUGUUAGAAAAGGAGCUGGCUAGCUUAAAAUCUGCGUUACAGGUGAUAAUUUGUUUGUUGGAAUAUUUGUAGUUUCCCAAUUUCCCAACUGGUGCAUUGUUUAUAGGUGUCCAACUGUGGUAAAUUUCUUGUAGCAAGAGUCACACUUGAGGCAGCAAGAGAGACAACAAUUAGCAGAGGAGCAAGCCCGGGCAUCCACCCUUACAUCUGUAAAGCAGGAAUUGGAGGAAAAGCUUGCAGCUAUGUCUAGAAAGGCUUCAGGUACCAAAACCAUCCAAAUGUACAUUUCUACACCAUAAAGAAUUUCAGAAAAUCUCCUUUCAGAUGUUCAAGUUAUAAAAUGGAGAGGACUUUAGGAAGCCUCCUUUAAAUCUUGGGGGCCGCACGGUCUGAUGUGAAAGAGGCUAAGGAACAAAUGUACAUAAACAUUGUUGGUCUAGAAAAGUCAAACAAAUUGACCGUUAUUGGCCUGAAUUUUUCCUCUUAGUAGUUUUUUCUUCUUGUUUGCAUAUUUGGCACUAUAUUCAUACUUCCUCUAUAUCUAAUUUAAGAUUCAUAAAUGGAAAUCCAUGGCGGCUCAUGGGUUCAGUGUACUUGGAGUCGCAACUGGAAACCCUUUUGGCUUCUGAGUUCUAGAUUCCAAGUAAAAUUGUUUAGUCUUGAAUACCAUCUAUGGUGUUGCAAUUCCCCAUAUCCCGUUUACGCUUCUGUCAAUUUUGUUGUUCUAUUGGCCUUCCAUGAUUCUUUUGCUGCAUGGUGGCAUUUUACAAAAAAGUUAGAUCUUAUGAAUGUUGUUAUGCCCGUGGUUCUUGCACUGCAGAAGUUUCAGAGAAAGUGGCUGGCAAGGAAUUUUCACUCGUAAGUCCAUUUCAUGAUGACCUAGAAAUUUUACAUUUGUCAGGUUUAAUGAGUUCCUCUCAGGAGGCACUGUUACUAUUACCAUAAUAUGAGUGUCCUCUCUUCCCGUUGUUCCUUAAUAAAUUAUUAAUUUUAUUUACGGGUCAAUGCAUUAAUGAACAGGAAGACAAGGAGAAACUUGAGAAGCAGUUGCAUGACAUGGCAGUAGUGAUUGAGAGAUUGGAAAGUAGUAGACAAAAACUUUUGAUAGAGGUUAUCUUUGCAACACUCUCUUUUAUAAUUCCAAUAGGAACCCUUUUUAAUUUUUGGUGGUGUAUUUGUCUUUUGGCAGAAAACUCACUUUUUGUACUUGGUGGCAGAUUGAUUCCCAAUCUUCGGAGAUAGAAAGGCUUUUCGAGGAAAAUUCUGAUCUCUCGAAUUCUUAUCAGCAAGCAAUGAGCAUAUCAGGGCACUGGGAGAAUCAGGUAAUUGUCAAUGGCUUAGCACAGAGAUUGACAGAAUGUUGGCUAUAUGUAAAAUUAUCCAGUAUUAUUUUUUUCUAAUAAUAUGUCUUUCUUUGGUUUCUCAUUAAACAAUUGCCAACUGGAUACGGAGGUCUUACCAUUUACUAUGCUUGACUAGCGAAUCUAACUAAUCUGGUUCAUGUUUGCAGCUUUUGUAUUUUCGUGAAAUGUCUUAAUUUUUGGCAUGUGAAUAUGCAGGUGAAAGACUGUCUUAAGCAUAAUGAAGAGCUCCGUGCAACUAUAGAUAGGUUGAGAACCGACCAGUCCAAGGGGUUACUAGAAUCCCAUGAAGGCGGGGCCAAUGAGACUGGUUCAGCUGCGUAUACAACUGAAGUUCUCUCCAUCAAGGUUAGUCAGCUAGCAGAAAGAAGUUUUAUUCAUUUGUUUUUUGAUAUGAAAAAAACUAUAUUUGAACUUUCCAUGGUGCUUUGAUUAAAGAUUCAGGAUGGGGGUCAUUUAGCUUUCAUUAAUUGGCAUCAUUUUUUGAGUUUCAUCCGUGCUUUUAUUUGUAGGAUCAACUUGCGAAAGAACAGAGCAGAGCAGAAGCGUUAUCAGCUGAAGUAUUGCAGCUCUCCGCACGACUCCAACAAGCUACCCAAGCAUACAAUGGGCUUGCACGCCUGUAAGCUCCCUCUCCCUCUUUUCCUCCCUCCGUUUUCUUCUUAUAAGUUUCGUGCUAACAUGAAUUUCAUCCGACGAGUUGCAGCUAUAAACCAGUGUUGCGAAACAUUGAAAGCAACCUCAUCAAGAUGAAACAAGAUGGCCCCAUGACCGUGCGGUGAAUGCAAAGGCAAUCAGCUCAACCCCCUUCAUACUAAAAUUGGUUAAAGUAGCACAGUUUUCUUUGUAAAGUUUAUGAAACGCAUUUGCUCGGCGUUCUUCGCAUAUCAAAAUGUUCACUAGGUAAAGAAGCAGAAGUGUCUAGUCUGUGUUUGGAAACAGGUAAUCUCGGAAGGCUCGAAUCACGAACAUAAGAAUGGUAAAUUCAUACUUUACACAUCACUUGUACACGGCAUUGGAGCCUUGCAUUCAUAUAAAUUUAUCGUAUUGUAGGAUGAAAGCGUGACUCGCCUGAGUAAUGCUACACUUACCACAUUUGUACCGCCUCUCUAAUUUGUGUAUUGUAUCAAGUUCCGGUUUCACGUAUUCUACUCCAGUAGUAGUAAGACCAUUAUACCCCUCACGUCUGAAGGCAAUAGUUCUAAUCCCUUUGGCCUCAAGCACAAAAGAAUACAGUAUACGUCAAGAGAUUAGCUCUCUCGGGUAAUCCUGUAACUUCAUUUUCCUCAUUUUUUCGCUCCGAAAUGAAAGAACGUAAGUCGAACUUUUGUUGUUGUGCUUGCUGCUCAAUUAGAUAAUAAAAUGUGUGCCACUGCCAACCACCAGUCCGUUAGGUGACGAAAGGGUCGAAGACGGAGACGUAUUCGUUUUCUUGUGCUAUAAGCAAGUGAUUAACAGCAUAAUUUUAAAAAUAACCACCUAAGCUAUCAUAUGCUUUUGCUACUAGCUAGUCUUUGCUACAGUUGGAAAUGUAGCUAGAUUUAUGUGUUUAAUUUUAAAACUUGUCAUUGACUUGGGUGGUAUAUCACAGCAACGGUUGUAUUAAAAUGUAGACCAACAAAUAUCAAUGCUUAAGAGUUGGUAUAGAGAAAAAGGCAAGUGGUGAGCAAACUCGUAAAAUAAUGAGGAUCGAAAAACCUGCAAGACUUUCAAUUUCUAACGCUGGUGAAUUACACGAUGCUAGCUGGGGAGGCUGAAAUGUCUCUUUGAGUCUUCUCGAUCCCUGUAGGGUGUACUGCAGUGGCAAAGCCAUCAGUUGGUCCUCUUUCUUGAAAAAAAAAAAAAAAAACCAACAAAUAUCAAUGCUUAAGAGUUGUUAUAGAGAAAAAGGCAAGUGAUGAGCAAACUCGUAAAAUAAUGAGGACCGAAAAACCUGCAAGACUUUCGAUUUCUAACGCUGGUGAAUUACACGAUGCUAGCUGGGGAGGCUGAAAUGUCUCUUUGAGUCUUCUCAGUCCCUAUAGGGUGUACUGCAGUGGCAAAGCCACCAGUUGGUCCUCUUUCUUGAAAAAAGAAAAGAAAGAAGAAGAGCCUACAAGACUUUCGAUUUUUAUCGCUAUUGUAUGUGCAAGUGUGGUAAGCUACAUCUGUUUUUUUUUUAUAUUAAGUUCAGGACUAAUGUACAUGAUGUUUAAAAUAAAAUGCCACAAUCCACGCUAUUGUAUGUGCAAGUGUGGUAGCUACAUCUAUUUUUUAUAUUAUGUUGAGGACUAAUGUACAUGAUGUUUAAAAUAAAAUGCCACAAUUCAGGAACAAACCACAUGGCUACGAAUUUAAUACUAAAACUUGUAUAAAUUUUGGGGUGUGUUGUCCACACACCUCAUUUUACUUCCUACACAUCCUUUAAUAAUUUAUGUCCGUUGAUCUUCUUCAAUUCAUCCGAUCCAACGGCCGAAAAUUAAGAAGGUAUGUGAGAAGUAAAAUAGGGUGUGUGGAUAUCACACCCCUAAAUUUUUGGUACCACCAACGGGCUAAGCUGUUAAAUCAAGUACUAGUGGUUGUUGUCGAGAAAUUUUGAUAGGGAAUACCGUCAAGUGAUGUACAUCACGUGUUAUAGUAUGAGUAGACGAUACAGUUAAUACAUGUAUGUUAUGGCAUAUGAUAUGGUGUUAUAUUGUGAAUGAAUUGUAAUACCAUGCUAUAUAUGUUAUUUCAGUGUUCUCUUCCCCCUAUAGUUCUCUCAUUUCUUACCACAUCUUACGCAUUAAAUUUCAUUCAUAAACUACAAAAAUGGUGGAAAUUAGAAUUAUUCCAGAAAGUGUGGGAAACCUAUGGAACAAAUGGAACCUCCGACUCCUGGUCCUCUGCAGCCUAUGCUUACAAACUGUCCUAGUGGUGUUGGGAAGCCGAAGAAAGUACAGCGCUAAAACUUGGAUCAGAAUCGUCAUUUGGACAGCGUACUUAUCAGCGGACUGGGUUGCUACUGUCACGCUUGGAAUGAUAUCCAGCUUCCAAGUAGACGAUCAAGAAAGCUCCCCACAUCCAAACAACCAUACCAUUAUGGCUUUCUGGGCGCCAUUUCUUCUCGUGCACCUUGGCGGUCCAGACACCAUCACUGCUUACGCGUUGGAGGACAAUGAGCUUUGGUUGAGGCACCUGCUGGGUUUAGUUGUCCAGGUUGAAGUGGCUUUUUUCAUCUUUUUAAGAUACUGGACGCCGAGCACGUACCCCCUCUCAUUGCUAGCAAUACCAGUAUUUGUUGUUGGACUUACCAAGUAUGGAGAGCGGACUUGGGCCCUGCGGUCUGCAAGCAGUGGAACAUUGCGUGACUCCUUGCUCCCUGCUCCGAAUCCAGGUCGUGGUUAUGCCAAUUAUGCAGCUGAAUAUAGCGCUAUCAAAGCUCGAGGAGAUGAGGUUGCAAUUGGAAGUACAGGUGGUGAAGGUAUUUUUCGUGUUGGGCGGAUCAAUCCUGUUAUUUCCGAAGCCAGAUAUCUCCACGAAGCAUUUGAAUUGUUCGACCUCUUUAAGCGCCUUUACGCAGAUCUCAUCCUGGACUACAAUGAUCGCAAUUGCUGCAGUGAAGUGCUUCAGGGUCAUUCACCGAAAGAAGUCCUCAAAGUAAUAGAGGUUGAGCUUGGUUUUGUUUAUGAUGUGUUAUACACAAAGGCAACUGUUGUGUAUUCUCGCCCGGGUAUUAUUUUUUGCUUCAUCAACCUUCUUUGCUCCAUUUCCACACUUGUAGUCUUUGCCUCUGUUGUUGAUAAGCAUUUUUAUUCCACCGUUGAUAUAACUCUCACCUACUUAUUGUCUGCCGGAGCCAUUGCUCUUGAGUUGUACGCCAUCAUUGUACUAAUUUGUACAGAUUGGACACUCCAUUGGUUAAGCAAGCGGACGCACUCACUUGCUUCUCGUGUCUAUCAAGCAAUCUCUUCCUUUAGAUCAAGCUGGGGCUACGACAAAAAUUGGUCUGAAUCCGUGGCACAAUACAAUCUCAUCGAUUUUUGUUUCAAAGAGAAUCCCCCGAAGUGUGCUAGAAUUCUCAAACUCCUUCACAUCUAUGACAUGUUAGAGAAAUAUUGGUACACAGCCAAGGAGGAUGUCCCUACUGAGAUGAGAGAGCUUAUUGUUGCGCAACUCCAAGAUGCUCAAAGAGAAAAUGUUGCAACCAGUGAAGUCUUGGAUUGGAGAGGCACUCAUGCUCUUCAAAAGAGUAACUGUAUCGAAAAGUUUGGUUGGAGUGUGGAAGAAGCUUCAUUAGACCAAAGCAUUCUUCUAUGGCACAUUGCAACAGAUUUAUGCUUCAACAAUGAUCUUGAAAGUAUAAAUCAAGAUCCAUCUCUAAUUAGUUCCAAAUCCAAGGUGAGCAAGUUGUUCUCAAAUUAUAUGAUGCACAUUCUCGUCUUCAGCCCCUUCAUGUUGCCAGAGGGAAUUGGGCAGAUUAGGUUUCGUGACACGUGCACAGAGGCCACAGAGUUUUUUGAAAAGAGAAGAGAAGUCAUAACCAAAGGGGCAGGCCAUGCCAGGCAGGUUUUGCUUGAGGUGAACACGGAGUUAGUUCCGGCAAUGGUGAUUGGUGAUAGAAGCAAGACAGUGUUGUUUGAUGGGUGUAGGCUUGCAAAACAGUUGAUGGCAUUGGAAACCGAGGAGGGAAAGAGUAAUGAAGAAAAAUGGGGGAUAAUAAGCCAAGUGUGGAUAGAGAUGUUGUGUUACGCAGCAAGUCAAUGCAGUUGGAAGGAGCACGCGCAACAGCUUAGGCAUGGAGGAGAGCUUCUUACACAUGUGUGCCUUCUCAUGGCAAAUCUUGGUUUCAGCCAACAGUUUCAGAUCAAACAAGGCACACCAACAGUAACUCUUUCUGCUAUUAGCAAGCAACCCUAGCUUCUGCUUGAAAACUUCUCCUCAAGUUCAUGUAAAAAGAAAAAUAUAAAAGAAGUGUAAAACAUUUAAGAGAAAUUGGCCAAAUGAUCAAUUUUCAAAUUCUAAUAGCAGAAAUGGUCAGUUUUUCAGUAUGUCGUUGAUUUAUAAUAUUUAUAUAUGUUGUCAAGUUGUCAAUAUUUCAUUGUUGUGUUAUCAAUACUUGAUCAUUAUGUUGUUAAUAUUUAAUUUUAGUUGUUUAGCAAUUGAAAUUUGAUUAAAAUUAUUUAAGCCAAUUUCUAAAAGUUCGAUGGGAUUUUAACUUUUUUAAAGAAGGCUUUCUAUAGCAUAUAUAAUAAUGUUAUCAUUUUACCUUGAUAAUACUAGUACUGUAGCACAUGCCACGGAAACUGAAUUAAUUAACAUGUUAAUUUGCCCUUAAGAUAUGCUCACAAACACAAACCCCAUACCACUUAUUUACAAGCUAUUAAUCGAUUUUUCUUCAUCACAAAUUUUUUUAGGGCUGUUAAGCCCACUCUCCAGCGAGACCAAAUAUUCUACACUUAAAAUUCUUUGUGACCUCUCUGUGUUUUACCUCAAUGCUUGACAUCUGUCUUUAAUGCUUCCCAUCCUUACAUCGGAUCACCCCUAUCACUUGUAAAGAACUUGACCUCGAGUUUUCCUUGAGUCGAAUUUGAUCAUAAGUAGACAAGUAGCUUGAUCAGCAAAUAAAUUCUUCAACUCAAGGAGUCCAAGCUUCUUUGUGCCUAGAUGGUACAAUCAUGAAAACAAGAUCACAAGUAAAAAUCAAAUAUGAAAUUUUAUAAUUUAAUUCCUUCUUGAUUGACGACUCUUGCACCCCUUACUUGUUCAGUCAAUCUUGAAAUUUAAGUCCACAUUUAUCGGUUGUGGAUUUUUCAAAUCAUCUUUAUCACGUAAUUGAAUUUAUAUCCAUACCUCGAGUUUCAUAGUGGAUCACUUAUAACUCGUCCUGUUUGAUGUUUCGGGAUCCCUUCUUUAAGCAAAAUAGAGUUCGCAAUGGGUACAAUACUUCUUCAGGCUCUUCCUCCAUAUCUUCAUUGCACAUUGGAUUAUUACUUUGGCCUUCACUUCCCAUCUUAAUAGAUACAAAUAUGUUCAAACAAAAACCAUACCUUUACAAGUCGUUUCAUUGUACGCCAAAUUUUGAUAGGAUUAUUAUUAUUUUUUUCUUUUGAGUGACACUGCCCUUUAAAGGUGUAACUGAAAAGUAAAUAAGUUUUUUUUAUUAUUAAAUGGUUUAUUUCUGCCACUUAGUACUAUGAUUUUGUUAUAUUCAUUUUCACUUGUAAGUAAGAGGCUUAUGUUUGAUCCACAUUAUUGUUAGCUUAUUGUGAGGUUAAACCCAUCAUUUUUUCUUAGUGUAGAUAAUAUCAUUUAUUUUAAAAAAAAAAAAAAGGCUUAUUUCUCUUAUCAUUAUUUGAUACGUAUAAUAACUGUAAAUGCUAAACUUUUUCAUGAUCUAAAGGCAGUGAUCAAAUUUGUUCUCUUUAAUAAUUCAAAAACCUUGUCUUAUUUAGUGCUUCAUCUUUUUGUGUCAAAGUUUUUUUUUAAAAAAAAAAAAGAAGAAAAGCACGAUAAUUUAUUUAUGAAUGACAUUACAUAUACACAUCUAGAAGAUAUCGGUUUAAGAGGAAACAUCUAAGGGAAGGGAUUCCAAUUUUUUUAUUUUUAUAAAAAUAGAGAUUAGUUGUGGAAUUCAUACCACAUCAAACUUUAACAAUCCGAACGUCUAUUUUCAAGUUGCACCUCAUAAAUUAUCUUGGCAAAGUAUUAGCCAAAUCAAAAAUGUUUAAGACAUCUAAUUGAGUUCAAAAAAA
This 93277-nucleotide long non-coding RNA is filed under the name Malus domestica (apple). RNAcentral's name for it is "long non-coding RNA (MDOM_LNC010034)". The stretch from base 1942 to 2013 matches the Rfam family "tRNA". The record is from RNAcentral. Lineage: Eukaryota; Viridiplantae; Streptophyta; Magnoliopsida; Rosales; Rosaceae.